AGCCAUGUUCGACCGCAAGUUUCCAUCUUGAUACCCACGGGUACAUGUCGGUCUUCGGGACAAUGAAGACUUGGAUCUUUGACCACCGCGACAAGGACCCGAUCGAUUUAGCGGAAUACGGGAACCCAAAGCUCACUGUUCAAGACCUCAAGAACAAGCCUCUUCACUGGUUCAUACCUCUCCUAAUGGGCGAGGGGACUGCAAGCACCAAUUUAGCUUUUCGAAGCGAUAAUUUGUAUUUAUCUGGCUUCACCAACCAGAAAGGUGAGUGGUUCAGUUUCCAAGUAGAUGAGGAUCAUGAGUACGUGAUUCCGGGGUCGACAGUUUUAGGCUUUAAAAGUAACUACGCAAGCCUCGUUGGAGGUGGGCCGGGGACGGGUCAUGAACCUUGGGAGUUUUUAGUAGAUUUAGAUAUAAGUAGAGCUGAAAUCUUAAGCGCGAUAGCUGUCUUGAGUGAGUACGACCCAAGCACAACGCCUGACCACGUGAUCAAGUUAGCAUUAGCGAGGCUAACAGUAGCGUUCAUGGAAGCUCAAAGGUUUCCAUUUAUCAGGCAAAGGAUGUAUGAGUUGUGGGAGAAUGGUGGUCCAGGCACGCUCGGCUGGCGGGGAGCCAAACUUGUUGUGCAUUGGAGUGACAUAUCGUGUGCCCUUCGAAUUUGGGACACGAGAGCCGACAAGGCCAGAUGGGACAGUCGCGAAGCAGAAGGGUUGAAGAAGGAACCUCCCGUCGGCCUCGGCAUCGCUACCCCCGAACAAGCGCUGGCCGAGAUUUGGCCGAUUCUUAUCAGCCAGUGCACCGAGUAGUGAAAAGCACACGACUUUAUUUUCUUUACCAUACAGUUUAAAUAAAUGUACCGUAGUACUACUUGUAACCGCUAUAUGCACAAAGUAUCGAGAUGGUAUUUUCGACAUGUGUUAAAUUCCUGCCUGCUCCUGUGUCCCCCAUCUUCCUAUUAUAUUUGGAAACACGGUUCACAAUCGUAAACAAAUCGAGCCCAACUUUCCUUUUACAGUAUAACCGCUCAGCGCUGGUACGCACAGAGCCUUCGGAUGAGCAACACGUGGUAUCUAUCAGGCCCGUGCAAUUUUCCCAGCAGAUUACUACCGAUGCACACAAAAGUGAUUCAUCCAGCAAGAAAAACUCACACAUUCACAGAAAAAAGCACAGGUCCCAAAUUUUCUCAUACGCAAGUACAUGAACCUAAUUUGCAAAAAAAAAUUACAAUAUGCUAUUUACACUAAACAGUAAAUAUCAGCAAGUAGUAGUUUCAGUAAAGUCUGAAAUCCAAAAAAAAAGAUAAAAUUGUCUCAAGGUGGAGCUUUAAUUAGAACUACCCUUUCUCAAGCAUCGACAUCUACUGUAACAUAGGAUGCCUUAAAUCUAUAUCUGUUCUAGUUUACCUGAUGUUUAUGUUCCAUAUCAUAGAUGAUAGAUAAUCCAGCGGGCAGCUCAGCUAAGCAGGAAAAAAAAGGAUAAAAGGGGAAACAGAUCUCCGAGGACGACAGCAACAAGGUCUUCCUGCUCCUCUAGGCCAAGCUCAGCAACUCUAACGGUUCCCUAAAAAAUUCUUUCCAAAAUGAUGUACUAGAAGCUAUGCUAAAAUUUUCUUUCCCUAAAAACAUAUCAACCCACAGCAGAACGCCAAUAACUACCCCCAAUAUUUGCCACGUCAUCAUAAUUGGGCCUGCCUCCAGAACAGAGCCCCCAUCUACCUCCAGAAUAGAGCUCCAUCGCUCCUUUGAGCAGAGCUUGCCGCCGGCUAAAUUCACCGUAUCCCGACCGCCUCCGUUCGAUUCCUCGCACCAACAGCUUCCCUCGCCGUCCUGCAUCCAUUUCACCCAUCACCGGCCUUUCUCGUCCAUUGUCCAGGGUCUCCGCAGCUCCACUGCGCACACGAGUUCUGCAUUGAGUGCGUCGUACGCUACAUCAAGGGCCGCAUCGUGGACUGUGCGAUGGCCGUGGACGAGCACCACAGCAACGGCGGCGGCGAGGGCCAUGGAUGCGUGAUGUCCUGGCUCGCCAUUAGCAGCUCCUCCACCUCGCGCCCGUUGCUCCCAAUCCCGAUCCAGCUGCCCGAAGCCAAGCCAACACGUAUUCUCCUUCCCUCCCUACCUAGCUGGCCGGCGUGGGGUGAGUGACGCGGGCCGAGCAGGCGGUGGCCGGUGCGCUGCAGGCGGUGCACGCGUGCGAAAAAAAAAGAGCAUGGGAAGCAUAUGGUGCGCACGGGAACGGAGCUCAGGGGGAGUGGGGAAGGGCCGGCCUCGCUAAUAUAUGCGCGGCGACGAGGUCUUUUUUCGCAUUGUCAAUCUUUUGCGAAAGUUUUGGGUGAUCGGUUGGAGUUUUUUUUUUCAUUUUUCCCUAAAGAAAGUAUUAGGGUAAGAUUAGCAGCUUUUUUUUUUCUCAUGACUCGGAUACUUGUUUUUUUUCCCUAUACAACGCGAUCAAGGAUUUGUGCAAGCAGCCUGCCAAGCUCUUUGAGAUUUUCUAACCGGAACUAAAGUUUAUUUCUCUACGGUCAAGAAUUUUGCACGGUUGGUGGCUGGCGAAUUAGGUGCAUACUUGUUUUAUUUGCAGGCACGUCAUGAUCGCACGGCACGGCAGGCCGGGAUCGGACUCGGGCAUCGGUAUGAACCACCAUGCAGCUUUGCGUGUGCUCGCUUCCGGGUAAUCUGCAGAAUUUCUUUAUCUCCAGAUAUGAAAUUUUUUCCUAGAGUUUCAUAGUAGCUAGCCAUUGUAGCCAGGAAAAAUUAGAAAAUCCCUUUUUUUAUUUUGUCUCAUAACUCGGAUUCCUAUUUUUUCCCAAUACAACGCGAUUAAGGAUUUGUGCAGCCAGCCUGCCAAGCUCUUUGAGGCCCGUGCAAUUUUCCCAGCAGAUUACUACCGAUGCACACAAAAGUGAUUCAUCCAGCAAGAAAAACUCACACAUUCACAGAAAAAAGCACAGGUCCCAAAUUUUCUCAUACGCAAGUACAUGAACCUAAUUUGCAAAAAAAAAUUUACAAUAUGCUAUUUACACUAACUGAUUUGCCUCCCACAUUUGCAUAGCUGAUGAGCUCCUUUCAUGACCUGCCACUACAAUGAGAAAAAUGAACCAAAUCAGUUAGCAUGUAACACAUAAUAAAAAGGUCAAACAAACAAAAAUAUGUUGGAUGAAGUGAAAAGCUAGUUUGUGUAUCAUGAUAAUCAACAGAAGCACCCAGAAAAAGUAAAAAAAUGGUCAUCUGAAAUUGCGUUGGCAAUUGGAUUGAUUUGCUUGUUCGUAACCAAAAAAUUGCAUGAUAUGGACCAUAUAAUUGCCUACUGAACUUAUUUUUGCACAAAUCCACAACAUAAAAAAUUUGCAUGCUCCUGUCCAUUUUAUUACCUACCACAUGAUCAUAUAAUCGCCUACUGAGCAUGAGAAAUUAAAUGCAUGGAACCAUUUAACUUGCAUGUGGAGAAGCAUGCAUAUGCCAGAAAUGAUAAACAAGAAUAGAAAAACUUGCAUGAUAUGAACCAUAUAAAAUUGCUUUUGAUUUCAUAUAAAAUGCUUGGCAUGCAUACACUAAAUUGCCUAGAUUAUAAACUGGACCACCCCAGUUGCACACUGUAUAACUAUUCAUGAGUGAACCAAACCAACCUUUUGUGCCAGCCACCAAUGUACAGAUUAUACAAAAACAUGUAUAAAUACAAAUCCUCUACAUGCUUAACAACAAACAAACUCAUUUUUCUCCCUCUCUAAAGUAUAAAACAAAGCUUAACAACAAUAAAUGAACGGAGCAUGAAGUAGCUAACCUUCACAACACUUUGCAUGAGUGAAAUCCCCACGGAAAUGAGGAAAAAAAAUUCAGUAGCACCCCCCUAGGCUUGCUUCGGCGCCAUGGAGAGGAUGAGCUUCUCUGUCUUUGUGGAGUGGAGUGGCUCGGGCUGGAGGAGUGGUCCCUCCUGUAGAUAAGAUUUUAUCCCGGUUGGUAAAUCUAACCGGGACAAAAGAUUAGAGCUUUUGUCUUGGUUGGUGUUUACUUCCGGUUGGUAACACCAACCGGGACAAAAGAUCCAACAUUUUAUCCCGGUUUGAAUUACCAACCGGGAGUAAACCGGUUAUCCUGGUUGGAAAAUCCAACCGGGAUAAAAGGUUGGAUCUUUUGUCCUGGUUGGUGGAUCCAACCGGGGGUAAAGGGUGGCGCCGUCGGUGUUCGGAAACUAGCUGUUUUAACCGAAACUAAAGGGUGGCCUGUAGUCCCGGUUGCAAAAAAAGAACCGAGAGUAAAGGUGCGCCCCAUUCCAGCCAACCGUGGCGCACCCUCUUUUCUCCCGGACCGAAAUUAAACCGAGACUAAAGGGGUGGGAUCUAAAGUCAGUUCUCUAGUAGUGGCCGCUGUGCCAGCAGAAGAAAAAAGCACCCCGGUGCUGAUCUUGCAAUAAGAGAAACUUUGGUAGAUGUAGCAGAUUAGCUUCAAUUGUGACCUAUUAGAUUGAAUGCAUGAUCAGCGUGUGAUUCUUUAAUUUUGGCCUCAAUGUGAUUGUUCAGCUCGAUUACUGACAGAUGAACACCUUCCUACUCAAACAAUAUAAUCUGGCCACACAGAUUGUUUUCAUUGUAACAGCACAGGGUGUCAAGAUGAGAAUGCGCAAAUAUAUCAUGAUUAGAGCAUCUCCAACAGUUUGGCAAUUUUCGUUUCCAAAAUCUUGUUGUUUGCCAACUCCCAAAAUAAUAUGGGGAGGAAAAAAAGAUCUCAUGUCCAACAGUUUGGCAAAUUUUGUUUCCCAAAAUCCAAAAUUGUGGACCCACACGUAUUUUUGCCCGCGCCUUUUCUCUUGGUGGCGUCGCCUGGUCACGCGGGAGGUGUCGCGCGGUUUCUUGGUCGUGGCGUCGCUAGGUCGCGGACAAGGGUUCCCCGAGGUCGCCGCCGGUGCUGGUCUCUAGGAAGCCACGGAAGCCACGGACGGGAUCUUCCUUCCAGCUUGCCAGUCCAUGAGAGGUCGCCAGGACGCCGGAUCUUCCUUGCAGCCGGCCGCCGUCCUCCCAGUCAGGCACUGCAGGUAUCCAAGGUUCGUGCUUCUUAGAUCAAUAACUUGCGGCUGGGAUCCUGUAUAGAUUGUUUGAUGUUCUCAGCUGCACAAUUGUCAUUUGCAGGCGGGUUAGUCGACGUCAUGAUUGCUUACAAAUCACUUCUCCAAAGAGAAUUGGAUGACGAUUCAUCUUUAGAUGACGAUGAUUAUUUCAUCAUCACAGCUGCUCGAAUUGUGCAAACGUUUUCGGGUCAUAAAUGAAGACACGGUGGUUCUGUCCCUAGCCAUGUUGUUAUUUAUCGAGAUAGAGAAGGCGGCCAUCAAAGGAUGUUUCAAGAUUAUUGGGCGGAUAAUCCGACGUAUCGACCACAUUUAUUCUGUCGGAAGUUGGUGUUCAUUCACCUUUCAUUAGCCCUGUACUAUGCACUUAACUAUUAUAUGUCUUGUUGAAAUUUUGUUUAUUUUCUUCAGGUACAGGAUGAGUAGGGAGCUUUUCGUACGCAUAAUGAAUGCUGUUGAGUCACAUGAUGAUUACUUUGUGCAAAAAAAGAAAUGCGGCCAAUGUACUUGGAUUAAGUUGCUUCCAAAAAGUCACUGCUGCAUUUCGUAUGCUCACAUAUGGGGUUCCUGCUGAUGCUACAGAUGAGUAUGUUCGCAUUGGUGAAAGUAUUGCACUUGAGAGCCUACGUAGGUUUGUUGCUGCAGUUGUUGAUUUAUUUGAAGAUGAGUACCUGAGACAUCCCAAUGAGGCCGACACAGCACGCUAAAUGGCACUCGGUGAGAAAAAUGGUUUUCCUGGAAUGUUAGGGUCCAUCGACUGUAUGCAUUGGGCGUGGAAGAAUUGUCCAGUAGAAUCUUAGGGUCAGUACAAGGGGCAUGUGGAGAAGUCCACUAUCAUUUUAGAAGCUGUGGCUUCGAACGACCUUUGGAUAUGGCAUGCCUUUUUUGGAAUGCCUAGGUCUCAUAAUGACAUCAAUGUCCUUCACCGGUCUCCUUUAUUUGCGAACCUGGUGGAGGGUAGAGCUCCAGAUGUGAACUACACCAUUAAUGGUCAUGAUUACACUAUGGGUUAUUAUCUAGCAGAUGGUAUAUACCCCUCAUGGGCUACUUUAGUCAAGUCCAUCUCUCUACCUAUGGGGAACAAGAAGAAAUAUUUUGCCAAAGCACAGGAAGCAGCGAGAAAGGAUGUCGAAAGAGCUUUGGGGUUUUGCAAUCUAGGUUCGCCAUUGUUCGAGGACCAGCUCGCUUGUGGGACAUAGAGACACUUGGAUUGAUCAUGAGGGCUUGUGUGAUCAUGCACAAUAUGAUUGUUGAAGAUGAAGGAUUCGUCGACCCUACUGAGCGGUUCGAUUAUGGUGGUCAAAAUGUGGAACCUUCUCGUGGCCAGGCUACUCGAACACCUGUUGAAUUUAUUGAUGCUCAUAAAAGGAUCAGAGACCAGGAAACACAUUUCCAGCUGAAAGAAGACCUCAUCGAGCACCUAUGGAACCAUCAUCAAGAUUUAUAUUAGCUACAUAGUACUUUCAAUAAAAGGUUGUCUCAAUCACAUGUAAAUAAAAGGUUCUCUGAAACACAAAAAAAAACAAAUGUUUACUGAUUCCUCAAAUUAUUAAAUAACAUGAACUAAUAAUUUGCCAAACGCCGAGCGAUGAUCUUCUGCUACAUCGUCUCGUAGUACUGCUUCUGCACCGGGGUAAGGGAGCUCAUGUCCAUUGGCAUUAUUUCUUUUUCCUCUUUGAUCAAGUCCGCUUCAGCUUUUUUUUCUUCUAAUGUGAGUCGCUUCUUCUCUACCUCAAGUGAAGCCAGGAACCUCUCCUCUUUCUUCUUCUCUCUCUCCAUGUGAAAAGCCUCCUUCUUCGCCCACAUUUUGUCCAAAGCCUCCAUGCAAGCUUUGCCACCUCCUCAUCUAAGAGCUUCUUUUGCCUUCUUCACACCCUGUGGCCUUUUUCUUGCUUCGGAUUCUGGAGCUGCAAUCUCUAUGACAUCUUCAGUGUUUGUGGCUUCUACAUUCCUUGGUGUCGAGUCCAUGUUAACCUUUUGUUUUUUCUUGCCUGCUCGCUUCUCCUGCUCGGCCAGUUCCACCCUCUUGGCUUUCCACUUGUCUUGUUCCUUAAAUUUGUUCCAACAAUGUAUAAGAGUAAAUGUCUUCUUGUCCUUGUCUAAUGACAGAAAGCAGGCAACAACAGCCUUUCAUCCUAGCGGAGGCAGGCAGUAGCACCCAGCGGCGGCCCAGCAGGCCCUAUAGAAGCCUAGCAGCCGAUGACGUGGAUCAAUCCUAGCGAGAACCCUAGAGUGCAGCCGUCGUUGUGGAUGAAGGAUCAAGAUCGGCGACGGGAAAUAGAGGGAAGAUCGUACCUGAACCGUAGCGCGCAGCUGCUGUCGUCGAUGAUCUGGGCUUCGCGUCGAGGAAAAGAUGAAGACCGGCGACGGGAACAAUAUCUUCGCGAGGGAAGGAGAUGGGAAGAAAGUCUUCGCGCGCGUGGAAAGGAGGCGGCGGGGCGGAGAAAGACUGAUGCCAAGCACGGAAUCCGCGCGUAUAUUUGCACGCUAGACAGGGAGAUAUGCCAAUUUGGAAAAGAUGGGGAAUUGGGAUACCAAACUGUUGGAGAGGGUUUUUCCUCAAUUUGCCAAAAAAUUAUGGAUGGGGAAGGCAUUUGCCAAACUGUUGAAGAUGCUCUUAACCAGAUUCAUUUGUGCACUGUAAACAUGGGCGCAUGAGGGCCUAGGUGGUGAGGCGACGGGACAAGGCGGGACGACGAUUGAAGUGCAGGCCGGGUGGCGACGGGAGCCUAGAUGACGAAGACAGGUGUGGAGACGAGAUGCCAACCUCGGCGACUACUGCGAUUUGACGAGCGCAGCACCGGCGGUGGAAGGCGAUGCAGCUGCGGGCAUAGCGGCGGCAGCGGCGGGAGCCGAAGCAACGGCGUGCAUAGCGGGAGGCAAAUAGCGCGCGGGCACGACGGAAGGCAUAGAAGAUACUGCAUUCGGUCGAUUUUGGAGCCCGACAGGCGUGAACUCGGCGAUUGGGAGUGCGCGGAUCCAGGGUAAAUUUGGCCCCCGACGCUGCAUAUUUUGGCCGAGCUGAGCGUAUAAAUUGGGAGUUAAUUUUGGGAACUGUUGGAGCUUUUUUUUAUCACAUCCAAAAUUAAGUUAUUGGGAGUAGGUUUUGGAUACUUUUGGAGACUAGGAUCAUGCCCGUGCGUUGCUACGGGCAAUUCACAUUCUAUCUUACUGGAAAGAAACAAUUCAGUAUAUAAUUUUAAUUACAUUUCAUUAUGUUACUGAUAUAUGACGGUCCAAAACAUAUAUAUCACACACCAAUACAUCUUACUUUAUAGAUGAAGUAUAUAUGACAUCUCAUAUUCAUCCCUAUGCACAAGAAAAUAAAUCGAACUUCAUAGGGAGUUAUCCAUUGGAUUAUAAAAAGGGUUCGCUAUUUCUAUUGAAUUUUUAUGUAGAAUGUUGCGACGCAAUUCUUGACGCGCUUUGUACGGUCACCCUCCCGUGACAGCGUGCCCCCUUGGUCAUGGUUCCCGAUCACAGUAGCCCAAGGAAGUUUCAUGUUGACGGCUGGAGCAAUUGCAGCAUCCAUAGACUUGGCCACAUCAGUAGAAUCCGUGUCAUAGAUGUUAUCACCUGCCCAACAAAAUUGUCGUAAAUUAAUACUCUUAAAAUGGUCUGCUUGCAGGCUUGCAGAAACUUGUAUUGCUCAGGCUAACGCAGGGUAAGAAGUAUUGCUUACUCUAACAGGACGUGCAAGUGGUUUUGCAUCUUGUUCUACCAUACUCAGGGCCAUUGCAAAGAACACUUAUGAAGUUAUGAGAAACAAGACACAUUUAAAUUAUGUUCAAUGUAGUAUGAGUUAAAGACAUAAAAAGAUAAAAAGCUUUUCCACCAAAGAUGUGACCAACCAAAACCCGAGGGGUUAGCCUGAGCUACACUAUCUGUUGGAUUUAGAUAAAGCAAAAGAUAAGGGAGCUGAAAAGUUGUGAACAACUGAGAAAUAACAGAUAUCAGUAAGUAUAGCAUAGAAGUUUUAAAACAGGUGUAGUGCUAGGCCACAAAUCAUUUUGCAUUCUGAUGAUUAUUAAAUUAUAGUAACAUGAAAUAUGCAUUUUAUUAUAUGAUUCAGAUGUGUGUAAGAUGACGCGAAGAGUUAGGCGAAGUCACAGCCAGUCCACGAAUGCAUAAAGCUAGAUUUGCAAUAAAAAAUGAAUAUGCAGAUAUUGCGCAAGCAUGUUUGACAUAUGUGCAGUUUAUUUUCAAACAAGGGACAUAUCUUGUUCCAUAUGUUUGAUAUGGUUGAAGAUAUUAGAAAGCAAGGGGCCAAGGCAUAAAUUGCAAGAAGCUACAAACCAGCUUUAGAACAUCAAGAGCAAUUGAGGCACCAGUGUGUGGUCCCCAUUUCUAAUUGAUGCUCAGUCGCCGUGGCAGUGUAAAUCAACCAAGAGAAACUACAUGGAGAGAACAAAUAUCAAUCCUUGUUAGUUUCCGCAUUGUUUAGCAAUUCAGACCAUCAUCAAAAUGAUAGAUAUAAUGACCUGCCACAUUGGGAAUUCCUGAGCCAACCUCUUCGCAAAAGACCCUUCACAGACAAAACAGUUUGUUAGUAACAUGGUUUACAAACAAAACACAAAGACAUCAAGUUUUGUUGUUCAAUUGCAAACUCGUAACAAAAUGUGAAAUGCGCCAAUACAAGAUUAAGUCAAAUUUCAGGCAUGUAUUGAGCACUGCUCAUUUACCCCAGUUUUUCCUGCUCCCAAGGAUGCCAUGAAGGAGAACACCUGUUGGUGGAUCAGGUAUUGAUUUGUCCAUAAAUGAAUUCCACUGAAUCUGAAGUUAAGUGUUGAAUAUGAUUUAUCCUGAAUUCUUGAUAGCCCAGGAACAUUUCAACAUCGACCUAGAGUUACAACAUGGUGUGUUUCAGAACAAUUUGCAUGAACAUCGGUAUCUGUUAUACUUGAUAUAUAAUCAGAAAGCAGGCAAUAAGUAGAAAGUAGGCAACCAUGGGCUCAAACAUUUGCAUAACUAUAAAGUAAAAUAAUGAAAGAAGGAAAAAAUUAUACACAGUGUACCUUGAUGGAUCAGAUAAGGAAUCCCAUGCUAGCUGAUCAACCUCUUGUAUGCCUCUCAUUUACUCUAAUCCAAUCUCUCCAAUAGUCCAAUCUCAUGAGCUAAUAUUGGAUAACAAAGGAUGGAUAAAACUUCUCCUUGAAGCAUAUGCUCCUUUGCCUGGCAAGUCUACGUAUGUAGACAGAGAACUAUCUUCAUGAUAACAUGUUUCCAGCAAACCAUCUUAGAAAAGGGGAAUGCUUGAGAAAAUUGCUAUCUUCUAUUAAGGUACAUUAUUUUGUAAGAAAUACAAAAGUUUUUUCUGGUGGAGUUUUUCUAUGCCAGAUUUUCUCACUUGCUUGCAAAGAAUGUUGUGCUCUGGAAAGUCAAACAGAAUAAAGAGGAUCUACAACAUUAGUUCCUGCAUACAAACUGGAAGGAUUUAACUCAGAUAAAAAAAGAUACUUAGUAAGAGACUUUGCCAUUUGACACAAAUUAAUAAUCCCCAAAAAAUAUAUAUCACUCUUAAGAAGAAAGAGAGAAACGAACUACAUAUAUCACUCUCAAGAAGAAACAUAAAUGUUAUUUGCCACAGCAAUCACCAUCAGUUUAAAAGCUUCAAGAAUCACAAUCAUUUUCUUUAUAAAAAAUGAUCACUAUUGGUGAAUAGUAAUUUAAUUAAAACGUGCGACCUGUAUGGCAUACAAUGGCACAAGGAAAACAUCUUUUUGAAGUGUUACAGGACUACUGUUCAGUAUCAUAUCAGAAAACUUAGAGUAGUCAUUUCAUAAAACACCUUUCUAAAAAAUAGUUGAACAUUAACUGGUUGAUGGCCUAAUGUUGGACCAUAGGAAGAUACUGUUCUGCGCAUUCCAUAGCAACUUAGUAAAGAAAGAAAUUCUAACCGAGACCUUAGAAAUGCAUAUAAUCAAUGAAUAUGUAACAUCUCUCAUAUUUGAAACCGAUGCGCUAAAAAAAUGAAGGUAAGAGAGCACCAAAGGAUUACAUCUUCUGCAGUUGGACGAUUCUUUGGAUGAACAACUAAUAGCUUUUCCAAUAGUAUGCAUGACAGAACAAGGAAAAAUAAAAUAUAUCUCUACCAAAGAAAGGACAGAGCUUCCAAGACAAUACGUACUAUCUGAAAACAACUAAAGGAAGCAAUCAACAACAUGUCCAAAUAUGAGAGUUCUAUGUGAAGUGCCCAACCAUGACCUAGCUUAGGUCAAAGAAGGUAUUGCAGUGAAGGUUUCUUUAGAGCUGUUUCUAUACAACCUAAAAAUUGAAUAUUCUAAAAAAUAUUCUAUAUGAACAAAUUGCUAUUUUUUUAUCAGACAAGCAACAUAUGUAGCUCAUUUGAUCAGUACCACUUGAGAACAUAAGGUCAAAAAUGACAGCUACAAGCAUAAUGUCAGAACAUCACCUCAUACUGAGUGAGUGUUAGAUAAGUACAGAUUCAUCACCUUAGGUUGACUGGCAAAACUAAUUGAAGUGCAGCUGCACUCCUCGUAGCACAGCAGACAACACCUCGACGCCUAAUAUCCUGUUGUAGCAACUUGAGAAUUGAAAAUAAUCAACUAAUAAAGAAAAAGAUUUGGCAUACCACUCCAUUAAUAUAAGUAACAAAUUAUAGCAGUUAUUCAUGUAGGCACCAUGAAACUAGAUACAUGUUUCUGAAUCAGAAAAACUUGGUACUUUUAAGUUUUAAUAGCUUUUUUAUCAUCAUUGUGAUCACUCAACACAUUUGGCAAGGCAUUCAUUUAGCGAUUUCACUAUCCUAUCUAACAAGAACAGGUGUAUUUACAAAAAGGUAACUGCUGUGUCAAACAGAUUCAAGAGGUUCUACACCACCAGUCACUGCAUAUAAACAAUAUAUACUGCAAUUCAAAAUUCUCAAAUAUAAUAACUAAAUUCUACGAUGUUGGCACAUUCACGCCGCCUCUCUAAAGUUCACACUUCAGCUCUACAAUUCCUAUAGAAGUUUUACGACAGAUCGAACGUGAUGAUAUUAGCAUGUUAUGGUGAACAUCAGAUCAACAUAAAGCCUGAAAAAUCAGCAUAAGGUAUACUACUAUGGAUACUUUACAAGCAUUGAUGGACAAAUGACUUCUCUUUCAUUUUCUCUUAAACAACAUUUUUUUAAAAACCAGGAAGAUCAAAUGGUGUGGACUAACCUUCAUUUGCAGUUACAUUAGAACUGGUCUCGCAUAUCUAUAAGUAUCAUCUGGAACCAAAACCAGAUAUACAUCGAUGAGGAAGUAGUAAAAGCUUGAUAGCACCAAUGUAGGUCAGGGCUCAUUGCAAUACCCAUUACACUAUCUAGAAUGGAUCUAGUUGUGUUGCAUGUACAUUCCUGCAUGCUGGUGGGUGAAUGCAUUCCAUAUACUUUGUCCUCGGCCGUGUGCCCCUUUCCAUUGCAGCACCCUUUUAUACUAUUUGGUGUCCAGCCAAUUUAUUAAAUCAAUUUUAUAAAUAAGAUAAUAUCAACACUAAUGGAGAUAUGAUUCUUACCGAUUCAGCAUGUUGUUAAUGAAAAAGGUCAGCGAAAAACAUACAAACACAAGCAUUUUAGACAGCAUAUGUAUAGUGGUAAUUUAAUCGAGCACCUAGCAUGUGUCACAAGUGGUGUACAUCAGGAGCUAGUUAAUCAGAUGCAACUGCCACUACACACACCUACUCAUCUUGCAAUCUGAAUCAUCAGCCAAGCACUGGAAUCAAGGUUCCAUGACGAAUGGUGGAUUGCUGGGAGAUUGAUGGCAACCAAAGACCAACGAAUCGACCAGAUCGAGUCCGGCAGGGAUGGUUGCUGUACCUGGAGGAGGAGAACACGCCCUCGGUAGGGAGAAUCAUCGAGAGAGAUCCCGCCACCGCUGCUAUGAUGGAGCCCCUGCAAGAAGCACGGCUGAUCUCGCAAGGCUGCAUUUUCUCCUAGCUCGGGAUGGCCGGUGGAUCCCGAUGUCGUCUCCCUCGCGGACAUCGGGCGGUGGGGUGGCCCUCCACCACGGACGGUGCCCGAUGCCCGGAGCGAAGGAGUGCGGUGACGGCUGGGCCGACCAGCGGAGGGCGGCGGCGACGGCCGGACCCAUCCUCCAGCUCUAGGCCACGCCGGCAGAGAGGGAGGGGCAGAGGGGCUUACCUGAAGAUGAUCCAUACAAUGACAGAGACGGUGAGGCAAACCGAGAAGAACUUGACUAGUGAGGACGCCAUUGUCGGCUAGGCAAUACGACUUGACUAGCCGCUGACAAGUUUGCCCUCGGGUAAUACGACUUGACCACUGCAAGGACUUGUUUGCAGAUAGUCUUACAUAGUCCAGCAACUCUACCCGGGGCAGCCCUUAGUCUCUCGGCUAGCGAGCGAGGCUCAGCAUCAUCUUCAAGUGGAGCAACGACGUUGACUAUAUCUUGAGCAGUAGUAGUCGAUUCGUGAAGAUCGCCUUCCAGCCGUUCAAUAGUUCUACCAUGGCUUCUACAGGACAUCAUAGCCAAUGCAAGCAUCACUCCAUUCCAGUUCGUCCUCUCUUUCUCACGCUCAUAAGCCGCUUGAGUUUCAGCCAAUGUUGUCCUAAGAUGGGCAGCCUCGUCAGCUACCCAGUCAUGAGCGUUUCUCCAAUCAAGCAAUUGACUACUCGUAGCGACCUCUUUGCUUUUAAGCUCUGCGCCAAAAAUAUCAUAGAUCAGAAUUUAUGACUACAAUCAAGCAUACUCAAGAAGUAUGAGUACUCACCAUGGUAUCUCUAGCUCAAAGAUCUAUAACGACUCUCCAAUCAUUCCUAGAGGACUUCAUGAUCAUUCCUUUCAAUUGCAAAAGACUUGGCAGCCUCCUCAUGAACUCUCAAGGAAUCUGCAAGGCGGCGACACUCUUGCUCCAAAUGUGCUACCCGCUGCAUGGCUUCACUGCGUUCUUGAAGAGCCCGAGUAUGUCUCUGAGCCUUGUCAUACAGAUCCUUCAAAAACACAAAACAAGCCAUCAAGACUCGUCAAAACACAAUAAGAUAGAAAAUGAGUUAUGACGCACCUGAAAGCUUUGGAUAGCUCUCCUAAUCUCCAACUCUGGUGGCAACUCGAGUACCGGACCACCAAUACUCUUGGCAGUUUCAGGUUCUGGCUCUCUACCCACAAUAGACCCCGAAGAAAAAUCAUGAUCAACUAUCAGAUACAAAGGAGUACCCCUUCCAAAAAGUAUCUACACUCAAUAACAAACUUGUUGCGCCGACUUCACCCUUCUCUGUUGCAACAACCAGUGCCAAGGUUUUAGCACCAGUCGUACUCACAAUUGGCGCAACUUCAGCUGUUGAAGACGGCACGCCCGAAGAACUCUCGGGGAUUGACGGGGCCCUCUACUGAGUGGAUGACCUCCUGGAGCAUGGAUAUAGUUGCACCUAGACGACCUGCGUCGUCAAUCUCAGGUGCAUCAUCCAUAGUCAAGUCGACUAUGGACCCAGAGAGUAUAGCUGGCGGAUUAGCCUCCGUCCCCACCUCCACAGGAAUAAUGUCUUCUGCAUCCCUGGAUCAACCAAGUCGCAAGAUCAUAAUCUGGCUACAGAUUACAAAAUCAUCAAAAGGAAAUAUUACACAAACCCUUACCGAGAUGACCGCGAGGGCAAACAAACACACUUCUUCUCGGCUACCACCGGCUGGAUACUCGGCACCACAAAGGUCGCAGGAGGAAGGUCCUCCACUCCGCCGCCAAGUCCUGACAGAACCAAGGUUGAGACUACGAACGCACGACUACCAGAAUAGAUCGCAUACUCACCACCGGCAACACCCUCAGACAACAAAGCGUUAGCAACCACCCCUAGUGUCUUCACAGCAUCCGCCAGCUUAGAAGCUGUAGCCUCAUCAACCGAUGGCCCAGUAGCCUGCUCGGGGGCUAUCAACUCAGGGACUAUUGGCGCAGAGACUACCUGCUCAGUGGCUACGGAUCCCGAGUUCAAAGGUGGCGCCUCCAUAGGCGGCUCUUCAACAGCCGCAACACUGGCAACUGCGUCUCCGGCAAUCACGACUACUUCAUUAGAAGUGGCCUCAUUAUCGCCAAAGGUCAAGUCGGCGGCCUUUCCAACACAUAGACUAAUAUCGUUAGUAUUCUUCAAAGUAAUAUGACUAACAAGAAACUCAAAGAUACUGGAAUGCAACGUGCAACUACACACCUUGGUACCCUAUGACCCCUCGGGGCUCAAACUCGAUGAAGUUGUAACAUGCUGAGCAGCAGCUUUCUUCCGCACUACUCGACGUUUCUUGGCAGGAGGAGAAGGAGCAUCUUCAGUAUCAACCACAACACUCUCCUUACCCUCAGACGACAUGGGCAAGAAACCAAGAAGCACCCGGUACUACAAACCACAAGACAACAAUUCUUACUCGGAAAGUAUUACUACACCUUCGACUACCCAAAGUAAGCAAAAGAAAGAAUAAAAUACCUCUGUUGGUUCAUACCAACCAUCAAACUGAUGAAGGACUCCUGGGAGCACUGGCACCCCUUGAUAGUUCCUGAAUAACUUACCCAACAAUGCCUCCACAUCAUCAUCGGAUAUGUCUUCAGGAGACAUGCACGGCGGGUCAUCAAAACCCGUAUACUCAAAGCCUGGGUGAGCACGCUACUGCAGAGGCUGAACUCUGCGCUUAAGGAAACUGGCGGCUACAUUGAUCCCAGUCAACCCCAAAGAUCUCAACUUAGAAAUCUGCGCCAACAAAUUUGUGAUCUCAAGGGUUUCCUCAGGCUUAGUCACCCAGUUGUCAGCAUGUUUGGGAGCAUGGCCAGUGACUACUGGCAAGACAGGAUCAUGAUUGCCAUAUAAAACCACCUCUUUUUCCAAUCACCAUGAGAAUCUAGCAAAUCGUACUCGAGAUAUGUACUCGAGUUCCUCAAUUGAAACCUAGCCCCUCCAAAUACUUCAGUCCUAGUCGCGUUGGGUUGCGGUUUACAAUGAAACAACUUUCUAAACAGAUCCAGACUAGGCAGAACACCUAAGUACACCUCGCACAAGUGUACAAAGAUAGACAUGUGCAGCACACCAUUUGGAUUCAAGUGGACUAGCUGAAGAUUAUAGUACUCGAAAAUACCUCUAAAGAAAUCAGAAGAAGGCACAUCCAGUCCUCUCUUAACAAAAUGUGCAAGCAUCACCGUCUCUUUGGGGUGCUCCUCGAAUUGCCACGCAUUACCGAAUGCGGGCCUCCACUCAAGCUGAACUCUUGGUUGAAGAAGCUUUGCGUCGACCAAAGCCUGGAUCGCCGGCUCCUUCAUCACGGAAUGCUGCCAGGUGAUCCUAGGAGGCGGCGGUGCAGUCUGAUUUGUCGAACCACACUUGGGCGCCGGCAACACAAGCUCCUUGCCCUUCUUGGAUUUGGAUCAUAACUUACUGGUGGCUGCGACCUCCCCCUGGAUCUUCUCGGGUUUCUUUCCCAUCUUCUUGACAUGCAUCAGUUGAUCUUGAGAAAAAAAAAGGAGGGAGGAAAGGACUGCAACAAAUCUCUCUCCUAAAGAACAGGCAAGAGCAACAAUGGCGGUGGCGGCGCAAGGAGGAGCAACCGGUGCUAGGGUUGCAAGAAAGGGGUGCAAAUUACAGAUCUAUUAAAACAAAGCGUAUCGCUAAUUAGUGCUGGGCCCCCCUAUUAUAUCAGCAGCAUGUUCGGAUUCCAAGCGUCAAUUAAGCAACGGUCAGAUACGAGUUAGAUUUACCACCAUAAUGACCAAUGGCUACUCUAACCAAAAGAUUGAUCCCUUCACCGACCAAAAACUAGUCGUCCAAGUGCUCGGGGGCUGUGUAUACUAUACCCGUUGGAUAAAGUUUUCUUUUUUCGAAGAUUAAGGCAACUCAAAACAAAAUUACAAGAUUGACCCUCAGCCUGAUUCUUCGAUUCAACCUAAGUCUCGGGGGCUACUCCAUAUGGAGUGCGAUUGUCAUCGCACUACCAUACCAAAAAAAGGGAGUCUCAAGGCGAAGAAUACUUGAAGCAAACAUUAGGCACUGAUAAGUACCUUCCAGUCACGCGACAACACCGGUACUCGAAGGUUGGCCGCAUCGAGGAGUACUCAAGGAGCACUAGGAGGAACUCGGGCAACAUCCUCAAGCACUCGGAGCUGUUUCUCUCGACUACAAAGUACUCAAGGGCUUGUCGGCUAGGCACCCCUGGACCCACCAGAAGACUUACGAACCCACUCAAGGGAACGUACCCAAAACCUAAUCGGACAUGAAGACUACUCCGCAGGGCGCGUAGACUUCAUGUACUCCCCGAAGACUAGUCGGCUCAGAAGGAAACCACUCUACCGAGUUCGAAUAGGACUCUGUAAAACAUACUCGACUAGGACUUGUACAAUCCGCCCUAUAACCCUGCUCCCCCGACUAUACAAGGACGGGCAGGGACCCCCUCCAAAACAAAGAACACAACUCGAUCAAUACAAUCAACACAUAGGAUGUAGGGUAUUACACAAUCUAGCGGCCCGAAUCUGUCUAAAUCGUGUCCCUUGCGACACCAUCGACUCCUUGAUUCUCGACGACACCCACCGCACAAAAGACCACCUAGGGUACCCUCUAGGCGGGGUGGCGGUCUAAAACACCGGCAGCCAUGGCCACCCCCACAGCAGCGCGUCCGCCAGAUCCACGUCACGCUACCUGGAUCCGGCCCGGCGCGGUCGUUGAGGCCUCCCUCGACCCUUAGUCUCACGCGUGCUUGGCCCGCGGUGCGUAAGGGCGGCGGCGGGUGAUCUCGCUUGGUGGGCAGCUGUGGCAGAACCGCCCAAAUUAACCUGACUAAAAUGCAUUGAAGUCGCCUGACACGCGAUUAUGCACUUAAAGCAAGUCAACUUGGUCGACCGUCGGAUUUCCUCCGAUAAACCACAUAAACAGGAUCGAGAAGCAUCGCUCAUGUGAAGGUGAGUAGCACGGAGGUUACAACAUUCCAUCAUGACAACAAGUUCCACAUUUUAUUACAUCAGAGUUUUCAAAAUUUAGACCGAAAUUUGCAAGGUUUGAAGUCAAAUAAAACUAGCGGAAGCUAAACAUCGAUACAUGACAUCAUGACGGAGCCGAUCAUGACAUCAAAAACUCCUUCCUUCGUCGUCCGAGGAAGGAUCCCACUCGAUGGUCCAGCUUGGGGGAAGCUGGGACGGCCAAGUGGUACCCGCAACCAAACUAUUGACAUUACCUGAAAAAGAUUAGCCACAACAAGGCUGAGCAACUAGUACUUAGCAAGACUGACCCGUCGGAAAGACACGACCGAGACCUAGACAUGCAAGGCUUUCUGGCUCUGGGGUUUUCUUUGCCAAAAGCGUCUAAAGUCAGUCCUUACUUUCAACAUUUUAGCUCAUGUUCUAUGUUCCUUAUCCAUUCUAGAUUAGCAACUUAUACUAAACAAACAUGGUUUCCAUGCAAUUACUGAACAAGCAUCAAGAUUAAAAUCGUCAUCAUAUUCCAUCUUUACUCAGUGCAGAAUAGUGAUCAAGUAGUCCCAAUCUGUGAGAGGCAGACGAAUCGAUUCGAAUUUAUUAACCAUGCAUGGCAACCCUAAUCUCACGACAUCCGCGCACCACGAAGGGUCGCUUCAUUUGUCAGCCGUCCCCAUCGAUCCCUUAGGCACGUGUCAGGGCCAACUUCCUUUGGCAUGCAAUGCUCCACAGUCCCGGCCUAUUGCUGCACUGUGACCACACUUGCACCCACAUGAUGCACCAUGGGAACGACGUUCCAAGGACAGCCGGAGGGUAUGCCACGCCCCAGUUCAAUCAGGUACUAGGCUUCCCCAUCCCAUACUUGGUAUGAGAUUAGUACUUUAAAACACUUGAUCACGAACGCCGACAUGUUUCAACCUUAGUUCAUUUUCAUUUAGACAGACGGUGUAAUCCACCAAGUAUCGAACACAAGCCUGACCCCAUCCGUCGUCCUUAUAGUUGCGACAAAUCUGAAACAUUCAACUCCUAUAACUCGCGAGUCACAGGAGAUCACUCGACUUUUACCGAAACCUAUUAAGUAGUGCAACUACUCGGCCUUAGCAACUAGUAUUCAAAAACAAGGUACUAAGUUAUGCAUCUAAGGUUCCAUUACAACUCCUCGAAACGUAAAUGCGCAAUCAAGUAAUCAAUAAUAUUGCAUGAACUCAAGAUAGGAAUUUAUGCUCCGGGGCUUGCCUUCAGAAAAAGCUUGCGGGUCCUCGGGGUCUUGCUCCGGUUCGGGCUCUCCUUCACAGGGAUGCAAUUCCUCGGCGGGGUCUUCUUCCAGUGCUGGAUGAAGCUCGUACGUUCCGUCGGCGAGAUUCAACUCUACACGGAAAUGCAAUGCAGGGGUUAAACAUUUAAGAUGGUUAAUUCAACACACUAAUGUUUUAACACGGACACUUGUAGCAAAGCUACAGGAAAGGUGGGGGAGUUCAACUUCUGUUGGUGGAGAGCAGGAUGAGAGGGUCGGAUUGGGGAAAACUUAGGGUCUGACCCUCAGGUUUAAGGAAAAACCGUACCGAGGUCCUAAGACUCAACACAGAGGAAUCCCCGAAAAUAUUUCACCAAUACCUUCGGGUCAAAGAAAAAGUUACAGCCGAGCCCUCGGGCGAGGUGGAGAAAGGGUCGGCGAAACUUGGCAGGGUCGGGCGAGGCAAACGGGAAAAGGUCGGGCGAGACGAAAAGAAAAGGGGUCGGGCGAACCAAAACAAAGGGGUCGGGCGAAAUGAAAAAGGACAGGGGUCGGGCGAGACAGAAAGAAAAAAAAAGGUCGGGCGAGACGGAAAGGACAGGGAGGUUAAGUAGCUUACCUCCUGGUCUACUGGUGCUUCUUGUGGACACCAGCAAGCUCGAGUACCACGCGGAGGAGCGGGCGGCUGGUGUGUUGGGAGAAACGGCUUGAGGGUGGCGGCGAAGUCGCCGGAGUGUGGGGGUGGCGCAAAGGGGUGAGCUCCACGGAAGCUCAGCGGCGGUGCGGGGAGAAAGCGGUGGCUCAGAGGAGAAAGCGGCAGCGCAGGUGCGGGCGGUGGCAAGGGGUGGCAUUGCCGGUGAGGGGGUUCCCUUUUAUAGGACCGGGGUGGAGCGGAGGGUCGAGGCGGGGCGCCGGUGGGGAAAGGAUAAGGUCGGGAGCGGCGAGUGCUCGGGCGAGGCGGCCAUUGGCCGACGACGCCAUUGGGUAGAGGAGGUGGACCUUCGGGUGGUCUUCGGCGGUGAUUGGCCUUGGGUGGCGCGCGUCUGGGGCUUCCGGUCUGUUGGGCGGGCGAGGCGGAAGGGCUACCGUGGGGGUUGGGCGAGCGAGCGGAGGCGUGGGACGUCGGGGUCGUCUCAGCUUUCUCGGUGAACGGGCGGAACAGGGUUGGCAGAGCAGAGCCGUGGCAGGUGGAAGGCGACCUACGCGCGGCCACUGAUUGGCUAGCCCUGCGCUCGCUCCGUCCUGUCGCGGCGCGGGUUGGGCGUCGUGGCUCUCGUCCUGUCGCUGUCGCGCUGGUGAUAGGGCGCCGGCGAGCUGCCAGUGGCCGGCGGCCACGCGGCGCGCGGGCGUCGAGGCUCCUUUCGGUAGCAAGCCCGACCAGCUUUGGAGCGAUCCUUCUCCGAAUCUUUCAACACAACUUCCGAAACUCCCUUAAACAAACUUGCUCAACUCUGAUUGUUCUUCAAACUUUGUUUAAGGUGCUGGUUUAGAUUGUGAAAGGAUUCAAAGAUAUUUCCGGCCAAGUUAGCCAAAAAUCUGGGAUUCCAGACUUAGGAUUUUUAAGGCACCAGGGGUGAGUUGACUGGUUUACCUCACUUUGACCGGGAUUUUGAACAAGUUCGGGUCCGAUUUGGAUCUGUGUCAGAGUAACAAAGUUGGAACACUCUUAAGGUACUACAACUUUCAUUCAGGCCCUGACUUGAGUUUAGAUAGGGAAAACGGGAGAUGAAAGCUUGCAAAGAUGGAGGAAAACUCGAAUUCCAGGACUUAAGCUUUGGUUGCUGUUUUUGACUUCCUUCCACUCUGAAUUGGUCAAAGUGCCUUUAACAAAAGUUGUUGGAAUUAAGAAGUUUUACAACUCUUAUUUGGGCAAAAACUUAAGUUUGUAUAUAAAAUUUCAAGCUUUAAAACAAACUCCAGAAGGAGCUUCUUAGGUUUAUAAAGGUCAUUUCACUUCUUAACUUAGGGAUUUAUCACUGGUUUAGAGUUAAAAGUACUUAAUUUAGGUAGAGUUGUUACAGCCUACCCCCCUUAAAGGAAUCUCACCCCGAGAUUCAAGUGCAGAAGGAACUAGUGUGGUUGGUGCAACGUACCUCCUUGCUCGAAAAGAAAACCGCGGAAGUUAGCGUUGAGGUACUCUUCCGUCUCCCAGGUUGCUUCGUCUUCCGUAUGGUUACUCCACUAAAUUUUGUACAUCUUGACCAUUUGCCGACGAGUAUGUCUUUCCUUGCGGUCGAGGAUCUUAACAGGAUACUCCUUAUAUGAUAAAUCGGGUUCGAUCUCCAUUUCUUCCGGGGGAAUGAUUUCAGUUGGAAUCCUGAUGCACUUCUUAAGUUGCGAGACAUGGAAAACAUCGUGUAUCGCUGCAAUCUUCUCUAGAAGUUUAACUCGGUACGCUACGGAUCCACACGCUUCUAUGAUCUCAUAGGGACCAAUAUAGCGCGGAGCUAACUUUCCCUUUACUCCAAAACGUUGUACACCUUUGGUCGGUGAAACCCGUAGGUAUACAAAAUCUCCAACCUUAAAUUGGAUGGGUCUUCUUCUUUGAUCGGAAUAGCUCUUCUGUCGAGAUUGGGCGGCCUUGAGAUUUUCGCGGAUGACUCUCACUUUUUCUUUGGCCUCUAUGACCAGGUCAGGUCCAUACACCGUUCUCUCUCCGGGUUGCAACCAGCUCAGUGGGGUUCGGCAUCUACGUCCAUACAAGGCCUCGAAAGGUGCCAUUUUCAGGCUAGCUUGGUAACUAUUGUUGUAGGAGAAUUCCGCUAAUGGCAAACACUUAUCCCAGUUCUUGUCAUAAUGAAUAGCACAGGCGCGCAACAUAUCUUCCAAAAUCUGAUUAACCCUUUCAGUUUGCCCAUCGGUCUGAGGGUGAUAUGUGGAACUGCGGAUCAAUUUAGUGCCAAGUGAAAACUGCAAUUGCUCCCAAAAGCGUGCUACAAACUGACUACCUCGAUUAGAGAUGAUCGUUUUAGGUACACCAUGCAAGGAAACAAUCCGAUCAAGGUACAGUUCUGCAUAUUUCUGUAUGGUGUGAGUGGUGUGUACUGGAAGGAAAGGUGAUGUUUUGGUUAGUCUGUCUACUAUAACCCAUAUGGAGUCAUGCUUGUGGGAGGUAUUGGGUAGUCCGACUAUAAAGUCCAUGCUUAUAUCUUCCCAUUUCCACGAGGGAAUAGGCAGCGGCUGCAAGGGGCCAGCUACCCUCAAGUGGCUUGCCUUAACUCGCUGACAGGUAUCGCACUCUGAAACAUAGCGAGCAAUGUCGGGUUUCAUCCCUCUCCACCAGAAAUUUUGUCGGAGGUCGUGAUACAUCUUGGUACUGCCGGGGUGAAUCGAGAACUUGGACAGGUGUGAUUCGUCCAGAAUUUGUCGCUUAAGCUCGGGAUCAUUUGGAACUACAAGUCGAGCUUCAUAAUGUACCACUCCUUUCCAGUCCUGUCAGAAACGUUUAUAUCCCUCAUCCUUCUGUGCAAGUUUCCCUUUGAUAAUGUCUAUCUCUUUGUCCUCUAGCUGUGCUAGAAUGAUUUGGUCAAGCAGGGUGGGCUCCAGAGAAAUAUGACUUAAGGUGCCGUGUGGAACAAUUUCCAAGUUGAGUUUAGCCAUUUCGUGACACAGGGUCUCGGCAUAAUUAACCGCCGAUAGGCAGUUACAAUGGAUCUUGCGGCUGAGUGCAUCUGCAACUACGUUGGCUUUUCCUGGGUGAUAAUGCACUUCUAGGUCAUAAUCCUUGAUUAAUUCUAACCAUCUCCACUGACGUAUGUUGAGGUUUGCUUGAGUGAAUAUAUACUUAAGACUCUUGUGAUCUGUAUAGAUGUUGCAUCGGGUUCCCAUGAGAUAAUGCGUCCACAUUUUCAGAGCAUGAAUGACUGCCGCUAACUCAAGAUCAUAAGUAGGGUAGUUCAACUCAUGUGGCCGUGACGCUCGCGAGGCAUAAGCAAUGACUCGGCUGUCUUGCAUAAGAACACAACCAAGUCCAGUGCCAGAGGCAUCGCAAUACACAUCAAAUGGCCUAGUGGUGUCGGGCUGAGCUAAAAUUGGCGCAAAAGUCAAUAACUGCCUCAAGGUGUGGAAAGCUUCUUCACAUUUGUCACUCCACACAAACUUACUCCCUUUCCUCAGCAGUUCCGUCAUUGGCUUAGCUAUUUUUGAGAAGUCAGGGAUGAAGCGACGGUAGUAACCGGCUAAACCAAGAAAACUUCGAAUCUGAUGAACUGAAGUGGGCGGCUUCCAAUCCAUUACUUCUUGCACCUUGCUUGGGUCUACUGCUAUACCGUCUCUGGAUAUGGUGUGUCCCAAGAAUUUAACACUGUCCAGCCAAAAGUCACACUUAGAGAACUUGGCAUAGAGUUGGUGGUCUCUUAAGCGUUGGAGUACAGUAUGUAGGUGCUCUGCAUGUUCUUGUUCAUUCUUCGAGUACACCAAGAUGUCGUCAAUGAAUACCAUGACGAAUUUGUCGAGUUCGGGCAUAAACACCGAAUUCAUGAGGUACAUGAAAUAAGCCGGUGCAUUAGUAAGCCCAAACGACAUGACUAAGUACUCGUAGAGUCCAUAUCGUGUAGAGAAGGCAGUCUUUGGAAUGUCGCAUGGGCGGAUCUUGAUUUGAUGGUAGCCAGAACGGAGGUCAAUUUUGGAAAACACUCUAGCUCCAGCUAAUUGGUCGAACAGAACAUCAAUGCGGGGUAGGGGGUACUUGUUCUUUAUCGUCACCGCAUUGAGAGGUCGGUAGUCCACACACAUUCGCAGACUAUCGUCCUUCUUUUUCACAAACAAGGCGGGGCAACCCCAAGGUGAUGUACUUGGGCGAAUAAAACCUUUUUCCAACAAAUCAUGCAACUGAGCUUUCAUUUCUGCCAGUUCGGCUGGUGGCAUCCGGUAUGGUCUCUUUGAGAUUAGGGCGGUACCUGGUUGCAACUCAAUGGCAAACUCGAUGUCUCUCUCAGGCGGCAUACCCGGCAAAUCAUCUGGAAACACAUCCGUGUACUCGCACACUACUGGGAUAUCUUCCAAAUGGGCUUCAGACACGGGAUAGGCACAAGAAGUUUGGCACUCUCGGGGAGGUAAGUGUAUAGUGGAGCUACCAUACUUGGGUGAAUUUAUAUGGAUUGCCCUGGUAGGGAUAUCUAGGGUCACUCGGUGUCGGGUCAUCCAAUCCAUUCCCAAGAUAACAUCUAUUUCUUCUAUCCCAAGGGUAAGCAGGUCUUCCUUAAGAAGGGUUCUCCCUAACUGGAUAGGUACUUUGCGGCUCACUUGGUGUGGAGCUACCUUUCCACCCGGGGUAGAGAUUAUGUAGGUACCUUUGGUGUGACAGAAAUCUAACCCACACUUAGUACUGAUUCUAGUCCCAAUGAAACUAUGGGAUGCUCCUGAAUCAAAAAGAAUAAGGACGGGUUGAUCACAGAUAGAAAAGGUACCCGUCAUCACUGGUGCGCCCUCUGGAAGUUCAACAAGGGUGGUGAAGUUCAGCCUGCCUUGUCGGACCUGCACCUUUGGCUUCUUCCCCUUGUUUCCCAGUGUAUUGCUUUGACCGGGUCGUUGAUUCUGGUUGCGGGGGUAGUCCUUGGCGAAGUGUCCUGAGUUCCCGCAAGUGAAACAGCGGUUUCCAGUGACCGGGCGCAGUGGCAUCGGGAGAGCAGGGCGGGGUCCUUGCAGCUGGAAACUGGGGAAACGAGGUGCUGCUUGCGGUGGAGGUCGAGCAACCCAUCUCCCAGGCUGUGCGGGCCUGCGAGGCGCUUGUGGGGGAACCAUUCUGUACUUCUGGGUAGGCGGGCUGGGUGCCGGCAUUGGGGCCUUCCUCUUCAUGUCAGCCUUAAGAGCCUUCAUGCAAUCUUGCUGGGAAAUUGCCAGGUUCACCAGUUCAUUGUAGGAACCCACUUUGAUGGGGUUCAGCCUUUCCUUGAGCUCCAAACUCAAGCCUCUGCGGAAGCAGUCCCUCUUCUUUUCAUCGGAGUCCGCAUGAUAGCCUGCAUAGUGACACAGGUCGUUGAAAGCCUGCGCAUAGUGCAGGACAUCGCGGCCUUCCUGGGUGAGAGCCAGGAACUCAUUGAGCUUGCACUCCAGAAGACCCUCAGGGAUGUGAUGGCCCCUGAACGCCGUCUUGAAUUCCUCCCAGACGACGACGUGGUCGGCCGGCUGCAUGGCGUGGUAGUGUUCCCACCACAGGAGAGCAGAACCACGCAACUGCUGCGCGGCGAACCGAACCUUGUUCUCAUCCGGGCAAUAUGCGGUGAGAAGGGAGAACUUGGACUCGAUAGCGCGAAUCCAGGCAUCGGCGUCAAGUGGGUCCUCCGUCUUGUGAAAUAGAGGAGGCUGGGUCCCCAGAAAAUCCUCAUAGAGAGCAACAUGUGGCUGAUGAUGGGCCCUUCCUCCUUGGGGCUGCUGCUGCUGCCCCUGAGCGAUGUGCCUCAACAGCUCGGUCUGGGCUGCCAAGAUUGACUCGAGGGUGGUCGGAGGCGGAGGUGGGGGAGGCACCUCACUGCCACUGGGAACGGAGCCGGAGCGUGUGCGAUGCGCCAUCUGCAAGAUUCACCUUUCCAUCAGUUCCAUAAUCCCAGAAGUAUUCCAAAAAAUGUGGGAAAGUAUGUGUUAAUUCGGCAAAUGCAACUUUUGCAACACAACACAUAUCCUUAUCAAGGAGGUGCACAUAUCUUAGCUAGCAACUAGCCCGUUUCUGCAACGUCAUUCUAUCCUUACUGCCGAUCGGAGAGGUAUUUUGAUCCACGUUUCGUAGGGUCCACAAGAUCCGGUUUCUCCUUGGUUGGUCUGCAUACACCCUUGGGGGAGCCAAAACCUUAUCCUCGGGGUCCCACUAAUUCCGACCUCUGGUGCCAGGGUCGGGUGAAAUGGAGCUUCUCAACACGGGGUCGGACGAGGCGGAGACCUUUCAACAUGGGGUCGGGCGGGGCGGAGACCGUCCGCGAGGGGUCGGGCACGUCUGACCUCGCGACUCGGGGUCGGUCAGCUUUGGACAGGCCCACAGGAGACGGGUGUGUGGUCACAGCACUAAAACCCACACAACUUGGCAUCCACGGCAUGUCGCAAGGGUCAGAAGUAGAGUCAAGAGUGAAACCAGGAACUGCUUUCACCAAGAUCAUUUCAUUGCUGGUCUUAAAAUACAGGAGGAGUACUCAACUCAAGGCUAACCUAUUAUAUUAUUGGCCAAAAAUAUAGGUCGCCGAGGAGUACAAUCAAAAACAAAAUAGAACCGCUCAACCUAGUUUGCCAUAACUAGAAGUCGUCGAGGUUGCCCACGGAGGCAAAGCUAAGGACCGGAGAGUGAGCAUCACCAACUGGAGGCUGCGGUGAGGCAUUCUCAUAGUCCAUGCUCGAAAAGCCUUCGAUCUCCUUAGGCUCCUCCUCCUAGGCCAUUGGCUCAUCCAGCUGCACCUCUAAGGCGUGGAUGGCAUUAAGCUCAUCGUGAUGCUCCUGCAGGUGCUCAUUGGCGUUCGCCAGCUCCAUGUUCACAUCAUAGAACUGGUCAGCCAAGAUCUCCAUAUCGUGCUCCAUAUCCACAAUCUCUUCCUACAAAUGAGUAAUCUUGUCCUGCAUCUUAGCAAUCGGAACAUCCUUCUGUACCAGCUCGAGCGACUGGUCCACCAUGCCACUCUGCAUGGUAGAGAAGGCAACCUGAUUGGCUACUGCCAUCCCAAUCACCGUAGCCAUCGCUCAGCUCUGCAGCUCAACCAUCCUGUAAAACACAUUUAGGCAACGAGCUAAAACAAAAAUCGUGCGCUGAGGAUCCAUAAGCCCGAGCAAGUCCAUAUGCUCCAUACGAUCCAACCAGUCCGAGUCCCUCGUAUCCCGGGCAGGGAACAACCCAAUCGGGUCUAGCAUGAUGUCAAGAGGGUGUGCCCGGCAGAACUGGGUCAAGGUCUGCAAGGCUGCGAACUCCCAGGCAUCGUGGAGCGUGUGUCCCUCAGCCAGUACCUCCAACAGCGGCCACUGUGGCUGAUCCGGAGGCGGGGGUACCCGCACGUGUACGCGGCUCCGCGGAAUCCCGUGGUCCUGGUACGCACGGCCCGCAUAAACCGGCGGCGACUGGUACCCGAAAGAGCGCAGAGUGUCCCACAACACAACUGGAAAACCCUCGUAGUGAAGGCACCGUGAGUAGGUGGUGCCCUCCGUACCGACUGCCACGUGCACGGGCUGCGCCAUCUGUAACCAAGGGUCACGUGAGAAACGGGGUUAACACUUGGAAAUCAACAUAUUUCUGGCAGUUAGAGAAAAGCUCAUAACUCAGCAAGUAUUCCUCCGAAAUUUCUCAAAUUUUACCAGCAUGUUCUUUAGAUAGUGGGUAACAAGUUUGGUGUUCAAAGGUAGGGCUAGAACAGAACCUAACAAGGUGACAAUCUCAGAUUCCCAUUAAGUGUACCUGCUGGAACUCUUCAGACCGAGUCAAGAUAAACUGAAUACAUCUUCCAAACCAGAGACUUUAACAAAACCGAAACUCUACCAGUAAGCCCUUCACUAAGUUCUGAAGAACUCUGCUUAAAGGACUCCUCACAGAAAAGGUCCUUAAGGUGGUCGAAAUAGCAGAAACUCCGCUGGUGUGCACUUUGGGCUAACAGCCAACAGGGGGUCACCAAACUGAUCACAACUCUCAUCCCAAAUGGUAGUACCUUGUGGCAGUUUUACUUGGGAGUUUUAACACAACUUUCUUAUACAAAGCUUCUGGAGUUAGCAUGGUGGAAAAAGGACAGCUAGACAAUCCUUAACGCGGUGCAUUACUUUUUACGACGUACUCCAGUUUGGUUUUAUUUCUGAAUGCAUGCACGUCCUAGUCGUCCUCUCAACCAAAAAUAAUUGCCAAAAAUCUUUGGACUUAUGUGGUUAGUGCCGGUGGCAAGGCAACAAUACGGCUCUCACUAUAAUAACAAGUCGAGUUACUAGGCAUCGUUUUGAACGCAACGUUUGUUAGUGUACCUGCAGAAAAACACAACACAGCUUGAACCUUCCGUGCCAGCACUCACGAAAGCGUCCACAAUCAUUACCGCUCACUAUAGAAACGGCACCCAUGCGUUUAACGCUGCAUGGACAGCGCAACAAUCGUGGAAAUAGGUUCCUUUGAAUAUAAUCCUAUAACCCUUCGCAUUCUCGUGAUGCGGAAUCAUGCACCAUGUAACAAACGUGGGUGAACAACCGUGACGAUAGGCUUGUUGGAAUCGAACCAUACCAUCCUUCGCAUGUAUUAACAUACGGAACCUGCGCACGUAUAAUAGAUGUGGGCGAAACAACCGUGAUGAUAGGAUCGUUGAAAUCGAAUUCCCAUCACCCUUCGCAUACUCGCGAUGCGGAUUUCGGCACACGUAUGAUAGACGUGUCAAAAAGUGCUGGAAGUUAGAAGAUAACCAAUAACUAUUAGCCACCUUAAAAACAACCCCAAAAUCCCCUAGGGCUCCCGAACUAAACUCAUCCUUAGCGAACUUACGAACAUCUUGAUUUUACUUCUUGCAAAAUUUUAGUUAGAAAAAGAGUUUUAAGGUUUGUUGUUCUCCGUACUGUGCUUCGAGCUCUGAUACCAGCUGUGGCAGAACCGCCCAAAUUAACCUGACAAAAAUGCAUUGAAGUCGCCUGACACGCGAUUAUGCACUUAAAGCAAGUCAACUUGGUCGACCGUCGGAUUUCCUCCAAUAAACCACAUAAACAGGAUCGAGAAGCAUCGCUCACGCGAAGGUGAGUAGCAUGGAGGUUACAACAUUCCAUCAUGACAACAAGUUCCACAUUUUAUUACAUCAGAGUUUUCGAAAUUUAGACCGAAAUUUGCAAGGUUCGAAGUCAAAUAAAACUAGCGGAAGCUUAACGUCGAUACAUGACAUCAUGACGGAGCCGAUCAUGACAUCAAAAACUCCUUCCUUCGCCGUCCGAGGAAGGAUCCCACUCGACGGUCCAGCCCGGGGGAAGUUGGGUCGGCCAAGUGGUACCCACAACCAAACUAUUGACAUUACCUGAAAAAGAUUAGCCAGAACAAGGCUGAGCAACUAGUACUCAGCAAGACUGACCCGUCGGAAAGACACGACCGAGACCUAGACAUGCAAGGCUUUCUAGCUCUGGGGUUUUCUUUGCCAAAAGCGUCUAAAGUCAGUCCUUACUUUCAACAUUUUAGCUCAUGUUCUAUGUUCCUUAUCCAUUCUAGAUUAGCAACUUAUACUAAACAAACAUGGUUUCCAAGCAAUUACUGAACAAGCAUCAAGACUAAAAUCGUCAUCAUGUUCCAUCUUUACUCAAUGCAGAAUAGUGAUCAAGUAGUCCCAAUCUGUGAGAGGCAGAUGAAACGAUUCGAAUUUAUUAACCAUGCAUGACAACCCUAAUCUCACGACAUCCGCGCACCACGAAGGGUCGCUUCAUUUGUAAGCCGUCCCCAUCGAUCCCUUAGGUACGUGUCAGGGCCAACUUCCUUUGACAUGCAAUGCUCCACAGUCUCGGCCUAUUGCUGCACUGUGACCGCACUUGCACCCACAUGAUGCACCAUGGGAACGACGUUCCAAGGACAGCCGGAGGGUAUGCCACGCCCCAGUUCAAUCAGGUACUAGGCUUCCCCAUCCCAUACUAGGUAUGAGAUUAGUACUUUCAAACACUUGAUCACGAACGCCGACACGUUUCGACCUUAGUUCUUUUUCAUUUAGACAGACGAGGUAAUCCACCAAGUAUCGAACACAAGCCUGACCCCGUCCGUCGUCCUUAUAGUUGCGACAAAUCUGAAACAUUCAACUCCUAUAACUCGCGAGUGACAGGAGAUCACUCGACUUUUACCGAAACCUAUUAAGCAGUGCAACUACUCGGCCUUAGCAACUAGUAUUCAAAAACAAGGUACUAAGUUAUGCAUCUAAGGUUCCAUUACAACUCCUCGAAACAUAAAUGCGCAAUCAAGUAAUCAAUAAUAUUGCAUGAACUCAAGAUAGGAAUUUAUGCUCCGGGGCUUGCCUUCAGAAAAAGCUUGCGGGUCCUCGGGGUCUUGCUCCGGUUCGGGCUCUCCUUCGCAGGGAUGCAGUUCCUCGGUGGGGUCUUCUUCCGGUGCUGGAUGAAGCUCGUACAUUCCGUCGGCGAGAUUCAACUCUACACGGAAAUGCAAUGCAGGGGUUAAACAUUUAAGAUGGUUAAUUUAACACACUAAUGUUUUAACACGGACGCUUGUAGCAAAGCUACAGGAAAGGUAGGGGAGUUCAACUUCUGUUGGUGGAGAGCAGGAUGAGAGGGUUGGAUUGGGGAAAACUUAGGGUCUGACCCUCAGGUUUAAGGAAAAACCGUACCGAGGUCCUCAGACUCAACACAGAGGAAUCCCCGAAAAUAUUUCACCGAUACCUUCGGGUCAAAGAAAAAGUUACAGCCGAGCCCUCGGGCGAGGCGGAGAAAGGGUCGGCAAAACUUGGCAGGGUCGAGCGAGGCGAACGGGAAAAGGUCGGGCGAGACGAAAAGAAAAGGGGUCGGGCGAACCGAAACAAAGGGGUCGGGCGAAACGAAAAAGGACAGGGGUCGGGCGAGACGAAAAGAAAAAAAAAGGUCGGGCGAGACGGAAAGGACAGGGAGGUUUAAGUAGCUUACCUCCAGGUCUACCGGUGAAGCCUUGGGGCCGAACAGGAGUAGGCUGGGACGGGAAGUCGUACGCGCUAGGGCUUGGGCAGCGGCGAGACUUCGACGGUUGUCCGGUGGCGGCAGUGCUUCUUGCGGACACGAGCAAGCUCGAGUACCGCGCGGAGGAGCGGGUAGCUGGUGUGUUGGGAGAAACAGCUUGACGGUGGCGGCGAAGUCGUCGGAGUGUGGGGGUGGCGCAAAGGGGUGAGCUCCACGGAAGUUCAGUGGCGGCGCGGGGAGAAAGCAGUGGCUCAGAGGAGAAAGCGGCAGCGCAGGUGCGGGCGGUGGCAAGGGGUGGCAUUGCCGGUGAGGGGGUUCCCUUUUAUAGGGCCGGGGUGGCGCGGAGGGUUGAGGCGGGGCUCCGGUCGGGAAAGGAUAAGGCCGGGAGUGACGAGUGCUCGGGCGAGGCGGCCAUUGGCCGACGACGCCAUUGGGCAGAGGAGGCGGAGCUUCGGGUGGUCUUCGGCGGUGAUUGGCCUUGGGUGGCGCGCGUCUGGGGCUUCCGGUGUGUCAGGCGGGCGAGGCGGAAGGGCUACCGUGGGGUUUGGGCGAGCGGGCGGAGGCGCGGGACAUCGGGGGGGUCUCAGCUUUCUCGGCGAACGGGCGGAACAGGGUUGGCGGAGCAGAGCUGUGGCAGGUGGAAGGCGACCUGCGCGCGGCCGGCGAUUGGCUAGCCCUGAGCUCGCUCCGUCCUGUCGCGGCGUAGGUUGGGCGCCGUGGCUCUCGUCCUGUCGCUGUCGCGCUGGUGAUAGGGCGCCGACGAGCUGCUGGUGGCCGGCGGCCACACGGCGCACGGCGCGCGAGCGAAUGUGCUCUGGCGCGCGGGCGUCGAGGCUCCUUUCGGCAGCAAGCCCGACCAGCUUUGGAGCGAUCCUUCUCCGAAUCUUUCAACACAACUUCCAAAACUCCCUUAAACAAACUUGCUCAACUCUGAUUGUUCUUCAAACUUUGUUUAAGGUGCUGGUUUAAAUUGUGAAAGGAUUCAAAGAUAUUUCCGGCCAAGUUAGCCAAAAAUCUGGGAUUCCAGACUUAGGAUUUUUAAGGCACCAGGGGUGAGUUGACUGGUUUACCUUACUUUGACCGGGAUUUUGAACAAGUUCGGGUCCGAUUUGGAUCUGUGUCAGAGUAACAAAGUUGGAACACUCUUAAGGUAAUACAACUUUCAUUCAGGCCCUGACUUGAGUUUAGAUAGGGAAAACGGGAGAUGAAAUCUUGCAAAGAUGGAGGAAAACUCGAAUUCCAGGACUUAAGCUUUGGUUGCUGUUUUUGACUUCCUUCCACUCCGAAUUGGUCAAAGUGCCUUUAACAAAAGUUGUUGGAAUUAAGAAGUUUUACAACUCUUAUUUGGGCAAAAACUUAAGUUUGUAUAUAAAAUUUCAAGCUUUAAAACAAACUCCAGAAGGAGCUUCUUAGGUUUAUAAAGGUCAUUUCACUUCUUAACUUAGGGAUUUAUCACUGGUUUAGAGUUAAAAGUACUUAAUUUAGGUAGAGUUGUUACAGCAGAUGGAGGCGUGCGAGAUGGGAAUGGGGGUUAGCAAGGGGAGGAGGGGGAGGGCCGGUGCUCGGAAGAUGGGGGACCGGGGGAGGCGGCGCAGGACGGCGAGGAUGGGGAGGAGGUGCCAGGGCGGUGGUGAGCUGGGUGCAUUGUGCGGCUUUGGGGAGGGAGCGGAGGGUUGUGGAGGAGGGAGCGGACGGCUGAGGACGACGCGGAGGGUAGAAAAAGGAUCGCACGGCUGUAAUCGCACGCAGCGCGGGACAAUGGUUCGGGGCGCUUGACGUACGGCGAUUUCAUCUUGAUUUUGUUUUUCUUUUAAGCUGUAGAGAUGCUCUCAAUGCUUACCUCGUUGUCUUUUGUUGCGGAUGGCUAUCCAACUUAUCGUGCCACGUACGGGAAAAUGGUAACCCCCCACCCCGCGCGCGGCUCUUGGCAAAUGUAGGAACAAUUCGAAAACUAGCAAUUAAAUACUGGACGUUCCCAAUAUAGACAAAAAAUAAAUAUCCAACUAAUCACGGAAUAAUCCCAGUAGUAAACUAUAGAAGUAAUUGAUGGGCAACUGAGUCAUCGAACUUACAAAUCGGUGGGAGUAUCGGAGAUUACCCCUUUUUGUUUUCAAAAGACUUUAAAGUUGAAAUGUGUGACUUGUAGAAGAAAAACCCAACGCACGCGCUUGCAGGGUCAAUUAAUGAUUUUUUCUGCAACGAUUCUCGGCUGUGUCUAACAGUAGGUGCGGACAAACUUAGGCUCCGUUUGGUUCACAUGACUAAAGUCCAGUUUCUGUGACAUCAAAUGUUUUUAGAUACUAAUUAGGAGUAUUACACAUAGACUAAUUACAAAAUCAAUUGCACAGAUGGAGGCUAAUUCACGAGACGAAUCUAUUAAGCCUAGGGUUUAGGAUUGUUUAGGAUUUAGGGUUUAAGCCUAGACUUAAUAGAUUCGUCUCGCGAAUUAGCUUCCAUCUAUGUAAUUAAUUUUAUUAGUUUUAUAAUUAACUCAUAUUUAGUCCUUUUAAUUAGCUUUUAAAGAUUCGAUGUGCCACGAACUAAACUUGAUCCAAACACCCUCUUGGUGAAAGGAAAUAAGGAAUGGUGUAUGUAGUAGUCAAUAUGGGUGAAUGGGCGUCGUUUUCUAAUAGUGAUUGAUCCUAGCCAUGAUAGAGAGGUAUGAAUAAGACAUUCUGCAAUGACACGGCAAUUUCAGUCGGCCUGAUAGAUUCAUCGGUCAUGCUUUACGAAACCACGAUAGUUGUAGAAGAAAAACCCAACGCACGCGCUUGCAGGGUCAAUUAAUGAUUUUUUCUGCAACGAUUCUCGGCUGUAUCUAACAGUAGGUGCGGACAAACUUAGGUUCCGUUUGGUUCACAGGACUAAAGUUCAGUUCCUGUCACGUCAAAUGCUUUUAGAUACUAAUUAGGAGUAUUAAACAUAGACUAAUUACAAAACCAAUUGUACAGAUGGAGGCUAAUUCACGAGACGAAUCUAUUAAGCUUAGGGUUUAGGAUUGUUUAGGAUUUAGAGUUUAAGCCUAGGCUUAAUAGAUUCGUCUUGCGAAUUAACUUCCAUCUAUGUAAUUAGUUUUAUAAUUAACUCAUGUUUAGUCCUCCUAAUUAGCUUUCAAAGAUUCGAUGUGACACGGACUAAACUUGAUCCAAACACCCUCUUGGUGAAAGGAAAUAAGGAAUGGUGUAUGUAGUAGUCAAUAUGGGUGAAUGGGCGUCGAUUUCUAAUAGUGAUUGAUCCUAGCCAUGAUAGAGAGGCAUGAAUAGGACAUACUGCAAUGACACGGCAAUAUCAGUCGGCCUGAUAGAUUCAUCGGUCAUGCUUUACGAAACCACGAUAGAUACCCUCGUAUCGAUGCCAAGACUGAUAGCACGAAUGGGACACUACGACCACAAUGUCACGGCAUUGCCGUAUGUUGACUUCACUCGUACGUAUGGCCUAAUCGACAGGUCAAGAAGACGGCAUGGGCACCUAUCGCUAAGAUGGAUGGGAAGCGAUGACACGGCAUGUGUCGUUGUGCCGUGGACUCAAAAAACCUAGAGAGGAAGUUCUCUUCGGUCACUACUGGAAAAUUCACCUUCAGUUCCGGUUUGAUAGGGUUAUAAAUUCCGAAAAUGUAAUCGGGACUAAGUUUUCAAGACAAAGAGGAGUCCUUUAGUCCCGAGUCAUUCACCCGGGACUAAAUAUCCCCUUUAGUCUCGAUUGGUUUUGCCAACCAGGAACCAAUCGGGACUACCCUUCAGUCUCGGUUGGUUUUACCAACUGGGACUAAAGAGGUAUGUGCAGGCGCAUGCACGUACCCCUUUAGUACUUAAGACUUUCUUUCAAAUUCUUUUCCAUAUUAAUAUUGUAUGCAAGUCGUAUAUAUAUUUCAUGACAGUAAUACACACACAAUUUUUAGUAUAUUAUACACAUCAAACUAGUAUUUAUACAAUUACUAUAUAUACAAUACUUUGUCCUCUUCAUUCUUAGGAUCCUCCUGUCGUGGUGUUGCUCGGUUCGGCUAUUGAAUGUCCGUCGUAAUAAAAUUCUCCCGCGGGAUUUAUCACCUCAUCCACCAGAAAUUCUAUGAGACCUUGAUUGCCAAAAUCCUCUCCUUCUCCAAGAGUCUUUCUUAAAUUCUCAUCAUCUGUAAUUAUUAAUAGUUUUAUUUUACGUACAUGUAUAUCAUCCAACGACACCACCUUGUCAUGCACAAAAUUAUUCAUGUGCUCACAAACGUAGUAUCCAUAUAAAUUAUUGUCUUGUUCCUGUCUCAAGCACUUUAGUGGAAAAAAUAUAAGUUAUGAAAUAUUUGUGUUAUAGAAUGUACAAAAUGUGCAAACUUCAUACGUACUGGAACGUUGUAUUGAAUGUAAGUUUUUCUUUGAAUUCACCUCGGUGAGUCUUACAGAAUCGUUUCCAUGCGCUGCGGAUUAAAAUAAUGAAUGAUACAGUGUUAGGUAAAAAUUUAGGAAACAAACUUUUGCAUAGAGAUAAAGUUCCAAAAUUAUUACAAGUUUAGCAUGUCUUGAAUGUCUUUGUACUCCACCAGUGGUUUCUUCAAUGAAUCGAACACAAUAACGUGGCUUUUAUCAAUCAUAAUUACUAGGAGAAUCCAAUGGAAACUGUAUACAUAAAUAUUCAUAUUAGAACUAACUAGCAUUAAUUAGGUAAGGAAAAGGAAAACAAAAAUAAAUGGUAUCCGCACUUACUUAAAGUUGUAUGGCAGUAGUAUGUAUUCCUUGUAAUUUUGUUUCUCCAAGAAAUUGUAUUUUGCAUCCAAUGUAGGCUUUGGUUGAUCCCGUAUCUGAUCUUGGUUAACGAGCGAUGGAUCCAUGAAACCAACGUUGAAGUACGAUUCUCUGUGGUACCUCUGAAUUAGCAUCCUACACAAAAUGGAAGACAAAGUUAGUAGAGCGACACACACACAAAAUAAUGAUCUGAGCUAAAAUUUACAUCUUGAUAACCAGACAUUUACAGAACCCAGGCGCUGAUGAGAGAGAUAUCAAGGGCAUCCUGAUGGUACACUUCAUAUAUAUCCUUGAAUUGCAUCCAUAUGAGUUUCUCACCUUCGCCGAAAAAAUCAAUCGGUUUAACACGAAGAGCGAACAUGAGCCUUUCGUUGCUAGACUACUCCAUGUACCAUUGAUGGAAUUCGUACAUCUUCAUAGAGAGCUUUUGUACCAAUUCAGGCCUUACUAGAGGCUUGCCUACCUCAAUGGGCCAUUUAGGUACAAUCUUUGCUAGAGCUAGUGGUUCAACUUGCCCUAGAACUUCAGCAAGCGACGUACCUGAUCUUGCAUAAACGUAAUGACUUAGAUUUGUUAUUCUAAGGGCAUUGCUGCUAUAGUUUGAGCGUCUUUAUCUAGUUGCUCCACGAGCUGGGGACUUGACGACUGGAAUUCGACUCUCCUCGCCUUUUUUCUUCUGAUUAGACUUAACUAAUGAACGCUCGUAGUUGAAUAGUAAAGUCCUUUUUACUUCUUUUUUUCAUGCUAAUAAAUUUUUUUAAUUUCGAUGGAUCUAUGUAACGAUUGAGCUCUCUAAUGAACAUCGUUAAGAUCAACAAGAUCAUUAGUCUUUUUAAGCUGAUGAUUAGUAGCUUUCACAGCAAAAAGACCACAAUGACCUUAAGGAGUUAAACUAUUGUUUACAUCCUAAACCAUGUUUUUGCACAACAACUUUAAGUUUCACCAACAAGAAAGUUGUCCAACUGGUUAACUACCAGCAACCUUGGUUCUCGACUUUUGUUUUUCCUUAGCCAGCCAGAGCUCUAAAUCUGUGAGACAAGUUCAACCUUGGAGCCUUUUUACUCCAAUCCAUCGCUAUCUUGAUCUAACUUCUUUUGGCAAAGUUGUGCACGAGUUCAAGGACAGAAACUUGUUAAAAAGUUCAAUUGGCGCGCGGUUCAAAUUUUUGGGAGAAGAGUUGCAAAGCAUGUAACUGCUCUAUCUCUUCGCGCCCCGAACCAGAGCCCCUGUGCGACGUCGCCGCGUGACACGCCACCACCGGCAGCUCGCCGCCAACCAACCCAUAGCCGUGACGCGACGGGACAGCGCUAGCACUGCCCAAUCGCGCCAGCAGGCCAUCUCUCCUCUCUGUUCCGAAUCCCCAGCGUCCAAUCCCGCUCCACCUCUCCCCUCUCCGCGAACGCCACACCGCCGCAGCUCACCGGCGCAUGCCCUCGCCCAGUAACCAAUGUGAUGCGACCACACGCGCGUGCAAACCUAGCAGAUCUGCGUGCCCAGCAAACCCGCCUUGCCCCAUCUCCAAAUCCUUGCUGCCCAACAAGGGCAAGAUUGCGUCCGAGCUCGCCAAUGGAGGCGCCGACCAAUCGCCGCCGCGACAGAGCACUUCCUUCUCCCUCGAUCUUAUCCUCUCUCCCGCUCGAGCUCAUUUCCUUCCUCCGAACACUUCCGCGCAUCUAUAAAAAGGUACCGAAGCCUCUUACCGGAGUUCCCUUCGCCCCCACCGCCAUUGCCGCACUACCUGCUCUGUUUGUCUCCACCGCACUCAACGCCGCACUUGGAGCUACCACUCCGGCCAGCCCCGGGCCGCGACUCCUUCACCGCCAGCUUCGCCUUGGUCGCCUGGAGCUCGCCGACCUGCUCAGGAGCCUCUGAGGCCCUUGUCUCGCCGGAUCGCCGCCGCCAGUUUCCGCGACGCCGACCCGAGCCGCCGUUGUUCCUCGUUCCACCUCAGCUUGUUUCUCCCGACCCUGAGACCUCGUCAGUAGGACCGGAGGUGAGCUGCCGACCCCUUUCCAGCUCUUCUUGACCCUGAAUCGUCUGCAAAAAUGACCGGACCUUGUCUGCCUCGCCCGAGUGCUGUCCUCCUCGCCCGAGUGUUAUCAGCCUCACCAGAGGGCUCGGUUGUGUCUUUUCUUUUGACCGAGGGUAUCUGUGUUAAAUUCCGUGGACUUCUCUGUGUUAAAUCUAAGGAUCCCGGUAUAGUUAUACUUUAAGUAUAAGGGUCAGAUCGUAAGUUUUCUCCAAUUCGACUCUUUAAACUUGAAUUAAAUCGACAGAAACUUGGAAAUUACACCUUAAAUCGAGGAAAAAUUAGAAAAAUGUGAAAUCACUUUGGUUGGAAUCCUGGUUCUGAGUAGAAUCCAAUAAAGUAGAUUUCACACCUUUUCCUGUAGUUUUGCUACAGUUUUGGGUAUAAAUCCUUGCAAAUACUAUUGAAAUCACGUCUAAGUGUCUUAUCCUUGCAUUGCAUCUUGUGUAGAACUGAGCGUUGCCGACGGCACCUACGAGCUGCAUCAAGUGCUUGAUGAGGACCCUGCUGCAGAGCUACUCCAAGCCGGAGUAGAGCCCAUUGCUGAACUCGCCGAAGGCCCUCAAGCUAACUUAGCGUGUGAGGGCAAGCCCCGAAGCAUAACCCAGUUUUUUUUUCUAAACUUGUGCAUGCCUUCUAUUGUUAAUGUUUAUGCAUUUACGUUUACAGGAGUUCUUUGAAAACGCUAGUUGCAUGAUCUUAGGUUCCUCUGUUCUGAAUACUAGUAUGACAGGAUCUCAAGUAGCUUCUUUGCUUAAAUAGGACUCGGUAAAAGUCGAGUGAUUUCCUGUCACUCACGAGUUAUAGGAGUUGCUUGCUUUCUUUCUGCAACAACUAUAAGGACGAUGGACGGGGCAGGGUCUUGUGAAUUGUUUUGUCGGUCAGUGGGUUGCCCCGACUAUCUAAAUGAAUUUGACUAAGGUCGAGAUGUGCUAGUGUUCGUGAUCAAGUGCUUGAACAGUACUAAUCUGAUACCUAGUAUGGGAUGGGGAAGCCUAGUAGCUGAUUGAAUCGGCAAGUGGCUUAUACCCCUACUGUCCUUGGAACGUAGUUCCCAUAGUGCAUCAUGUGGGUGCAAGUGUGGUCACAGUACGGUAGAGAUCGGGACUGUGGAGCAUUGCAUGCCAAAGGCGGUUUGGACUUGACACGCGCCUGGCAAUUGAUGGGGAUGGUGGACAAGUGAAGCUAUCCUUGGUGGUGAGCGGAUGUCAUGGGAUUAUUUCCACCAUGCAUGGUUAAAACUCGGAUCGAUUCAUCUGCCUCUCACAGCUUGAGACUACUUAAUCACUAUGCUACACCGAGUAAGAAGAGGCCAUGUUGAUGAUGUUAAUGCUGAUGUUUUCUAUUAAUUGUUCGUAUAACCAUGUUUGUUCAGUAUGAGUUGCAAAUGUAGAAUGGUUACUGAACUUGAACUCGUGGCUAAAAUGUUGAAAGUAAGGAUCCACUACUAGUUGUUUUUGGCAAAACAACCCCUCUGGCCAAACAGCCUGCAUGUCUAGGUGUUGGUGGAUUAGUACCACCAACGGGUAAGUCUUGUUGAGCGUAGUCGCUCAGCCUUGUUGUGGCUUAUCUUUUCAGGUUUUGUUUUGGAAGAAGGUACCGCUUGGCCCUCCCAGCUCCCUUCGGGAUGGACGGUCGAGUGGGCUCCCUCCUCGGACGGUGAGGGUGGAGGUUACUGAUGUCAUGACCGGCUUCAUCACGGUGUCGGGCGUCGACGUUUAGUUACCGUUGUUUAUUUUCGCUGUUGAACACUCUACAAAUUUGUGUUGAAUUUCAAACUCUUUUGUUGUAAUAAACUUAUGCACUUUUUAAAAGAAUGGACUGUUGUAAUCUCUGCAACCGCUCACUCUUGGGUGAGUCCGCUUUUGUGAUCCUAUAGCGUGGUUUCAUCGGAAAGAAUUCGACAAAUGACCAAAUUGGCCUGAUUAAGGUGCAUGAUCGCAUGUUAGGCGACUUAAGUGUGCUUUAGCUGAGUUAAUUUGGGCGGUUCUGCCACAGCUGGUAUCAGAGCUUUGCAAGCGUGACAAAGAAAGCAACAGACCCUAAAAUGUUUUUCUAAAAUAAAACUUGCAAGAAAUGAGUUCGAAAAUCUCAUACGAUCGUUUAGGAUGAGCUUAGUACGAGAAGCCCUAGGGGAUUUUGGGGUUAUUUUUAGGUAGCUAGUAUUAUUGGUUAUUUAAGCUAACUUCCAGCACUUUUGGCCACGUGUAUCAUACGUGAGCAAGUUCCGCAUCGCGAGCAUGCGAAGGGUGGUAGCUUCUAUUCAAGCAGAGCCUAUCAUCACGGUUGUUUCACCCACAUGUCUUCAUACGUGCGCAAGGUUCCGUAUGUUAAUCAUACGAAGGGGUAUACGACUCUAUUCAACAGGGUCUAUAUCAGGUUGUUAGCCCAUGUCUAUUAUACGUGCGCAUGAUCCCGCAUCACAAGAAUGCGAAGGGGUAUAUUGUUCUAUUCCUCAGAACUUACAUCAGGUUGUUGCGCUGUCCAUGCAGCGUUAAACGCAUGGGUGAUAUUCCUAUAGUGGACGGUAAUGUUUGGGGACGCUUUUGUGAGUGCUGGCACAAAAGGUUCAGUUGUGUUGAGGUUAGUCUGUAGGUACUCUAACCGCACUUGCGUUAAGAUAAGAGUAGUGCCCGACUAGCUACUAUAGUGAGAGACGUAUGUGUUGCCUGGCCACUGGCACUAACAUCGUAAGUCCCAAAGCUUUUUGGGCAAUUUCUUUCAAGUUGUGAGGACGUGUUUGGUUUGCAUGCAUCUUAUGCUAAGAACACAAACUAAAAGAUGAGAAGAAAUCAAUCUCCCUCACGCCUAAACCAUUCACAUAAUGCUCACAAGUUGUUAGCCUUCCCCCUCUUAAGCAGUCUGGUUGUGGGUUUUGUUUCUCCUCGGUUGUUUAUCACCUACAGAGACUUUGCAUACGAGAGUUGUGCCUAAUCUCUUGGUUAAGCUGUUGGUACAAUGUGAGGAGUUUUCCUUCAGUAAGUUGGGUGAUACACCAACAGUUUGCAGUCUCAGUCGGUUUCAGUUUCUGGUUGAGUAAUGGUUGAAGUUGUACCUUCCCGACCCUCCAACUAGUCUUCUGUGGGAACCACUUUGAGAAAGUUGUUGCGCACUAAAUGGAUAAGGUUGUGGUGAAAUUUCAGCCUUGUUAGACUGGCAAUUUAAGAGUUAUGUUCUUGGUUUCCUCCGCUUGAUCCCUGUUGUUCCGAUAUGUGUCACUGUCAAAACCUCGAGUUUUAACCUUCUUGAGAGAUGUUUCAACUCCACCUUGUCAUCCCUAUUUCAGAUGGCUGACCCCGUGUACGUGAUGGUUGACACGGACGGCGUAGUCCACUCUGCGUGCCUUCACUGGGAGGGUUUUUCCUUCAUUUUGUGGGACACGUUGAGGACUUUUGGGUACACCGCACCACCUCUCUACUCGGGAAAGGAGGACCAGGAGCAUGGAGUACCUCGGGCCAGCGUGCACAUAAGUGUACCUCCGCCCGCGGAGCAGCCACUGUGGCCACCCUUGGAGGUCGCGGUCAUAGGACACACACUGGUGGACACAUGGGAGACUGCCGCACUAGAGACACUCACCCUCUUCUGCCAACAACACCCGUUGGAGAUUAUCGUGGAGCCGAUCAGUUUGUUUCCAGCAAAGGACUACCAGGAUGCUGAUUGGAUAGACAGGGUAAACCAUCAGGAGUUGAUGCAUUUGCUACGUCGUGCGGAGACAAUCCUUACUUCCACUCGGUGCAUGAACGCACUAUUCCGGUUGAAUGAGUUACGCGAAAUGGCGAUGACCACUCUAAGUGAGUUGGCCAUAGCCAACCGAGGGACUCUGUCCACUGUUCAAGGUGGCAUGGUGGAUCUAUCUCUAUAACUGGUGCAAAAGGACAUUCGGAUCCAUGACAUGCAGAAUGAGAUAGCAGAAUUGAAGGAGGAAAAGGCAAAUAUGGAGGCCAAAAUGGAGUUACUCAAUGAUCAGUUUAAUGAUGUCCACAUGGAGCUAGCAGAUGCUAAUGAGGUCAUAGCUGGACAUCAGGCCGCACAGCAGGAGGCGCAGCAGGUCCAGGAGGAAGAGGACCCAGAGGAGAUGGAAGGUGUGUCGAGUAUGGACUUUGAGGAAGCCCCGCCUCAGUCACCGACAGUAGCCACUCACUCUCCCGCUGUCAGUAUGGAUUCCGUAGGUAACCUUGGUGACUUUUAGAUGAGUCCUAGGGCUUGGAUGGUUUCUUUUGUAAGCACUCCUCGGUAACCUAUGCCUUUUGGGUGUUGGAUGUAAUAGGCUUACCUAGAGUUGAGUUUCCUUCUAGCUACCAUAAACUUGUUGAUUCGAAUUGGACAUGCUUUGGUCAUGACGAUUGGUGUAAGCAAAAAGUUGCAAAUUUGCAGUCACUAUUGAUCUCAGUUUUCACCUUGCCUCUACUCACUUCUGAGUCGAGGGUUAAAAACCAAACUUUUGUUGGAUUUUCUUGUAAAAUUCCUGCCCCAUCGGAGUCACAAAACGCACAUGAGCAUCUUUUACCGAUGCUCAGCGUGCUGAAAAACAGCAAGAACGGCAAAAUGCUAAGUUCCUAUUCAGCUUGAUUCUUCUCGUUGUUUCGAUCCGCGAGGGCAACGAGGAAGUAGCAAGACGACCAUUUUAUUCUGCAUGUAAAUUUUCCUUGGGAUCAAGCAAGCUUUCAAAUUAUGUGACCAAUGGAAGAUAAUGCCUUGAAGAUGGCGCGUGGCACACGUUUUGGAUCACUCUCGGUCGGUGCUAGGGAGGAGCAACUUCCCCCACCACCCCAGGCACCACCCCCCUUGGAGGCACUCCUGGCCGCUCAGAUGGAACUAUUGCGACAUCUUGUCCAAGGGCAACAGCAACCGCCACAGCCUCAGGGAGGAAGGGCUCAGCAGCAGCUCCACAUUGCUCGCUACGAGGAUUUCCUAGGCACUCAGCCCCCGACCUUCCACAAGUCAGAUGAUCCUCUUGACGCGGAUGCAUGGGUUCGCACAAUUGAGUCCAAGUUUGAACUUCUCAUCACCCCGUGUCCAGAUCAGAACAAAGCACGGUUUGCGGCGUAGCAGCUGCGUGGUUCCGCUCGUCUUUGGUGGGACCAUUACAAUGCCAUGCUGCCGGAUGACCAUGUCUUCAGUUGGGAAGAAUUCAAGACAGCUUUCCGAGCUCAUCACAUUCCCGAGGGUCUCCUGGAGCGCAAGCUCAAUGAAUUCUUCGCUCUUACUCAGGGGAAUCGCAGUGUGAUGCAGUGUGCACAAACCUUCAACGACCUCUAUCGUUACGGAGGAUAUCAUGCGGGCUCAGAUCAGAAGAAGAAGGACCGGUUUCGUAGAGGAUUAAUCCUGGAGCUCAGAGAGAGGUUGAACCCGAUAAAGGUGGAUACGUACAAUGAGCUGGUCAACUUGGCCAUCUCACAAGAGGAUUGCAUGAUGGCUCUUUCAGCCGAGAGAAAGAGGAAGGCUCCGAUGCCAUUACCCGAUGCUCCCGCACCCAAGUUCAGAAUGGUUCCUUCCGCAACACCCCGCAGGCCAUAGCAGUCGGGAAGAUGGGUUGCUCGUCCGCCACCAUCGGCAGCACCUCGUUCCCCAGGAUUUCAGCAGCAGGCACCGCGGCCGACCCUACCACUGCCGCCUCAUCCUGCCAAUGGAAACCGCUGCUUCACUUGUGGUCUUACGGGACACUUCGCCAAGGACUGCCCCAGAAACAAAGAUCAGCGCUCAGGUCAGAGCAAUGCAAUGAUCAACAAGGGGAAGAAGCCCAAGGUGCAGUUUCGCCAGGGUCGGCUGAACUUCACCAACGCAGCAGAACUUCCCGAAGGUGCACCAGUGAUGAUGGGUACAUUUCUUAUCCACAAUCACUCAGCUUUAAUUUUGUUUGACUCAGGAGCAUCACAUAGUUUUAUUGGAAGAAAAACUAGUGACAAAUAUGGGUUGAAAGAAUGUCAAACAAAAGGGUGUUUUAUGAUAUCUACCCCGGGUAGGAAAAUCACGUCAGAUAGGAUGAAUGUCAAUGUGCCUAUUAAGUUUGGCAAAACCCUCUUUAAGGAAAAUAUCAUCAUCCUUGGUCUAGAAGGGAUUGAUGUUAUCUUGGGUAUGGAUUGGAUGACUCGACACCAAGUCAUGGUUGACGUCUCAGCCCAAGCUGUCCAUAUUAACUCACCUCAUUAGGGCAACUCUAUUGUCCAAUUGCCUCGCCAAGAAUGUGUAAAUUCUUAUGCGUAUCCCACAGUUGAGACACGGCUAGAGGACAUCCCUGUAGUCUGUGGGUAUCCCGAUGUGUUUCCUGAUGACUUGCCAGGCAUGCCGCCCAAUCGAGAUGUGGAGUUUUCUAUAGAGUUGAUCCCCGGCACAGCCCCUAUUUCCAAGAGACCUUAUAGAAUGCCACCGGUAGAGCUGGCUGAGUUGAAAACCCAAUUGCAGGAGUUAUUGGAGAAAGGUUUCAUACGCCAAGUACUUCACCUUGGGGUUGUCCAGCCUUGUUUGUGAAAAAGAAGGAUGAGAGUCUACGAAUGUGUGUGGAUUACCGACCUCUCAAUGCGGUGACUAUCAAGAAUAAGUAUCCUCUUCCCCGCAUUGAUGUUCUGUUUGAUUAGUUGGCUCGAGCUAAAGUGUUCUCAAAGAUUGACCUUCACUCCGGUUACCAUCAAAUCAAGAUCUGACCUUGUGAUAUUCCUAAAACUGCUUUCUCCACAUGGUAUGGACUAUACGAGUAUCUAGUUAUGUCCUUUAGGCUCACGAAUGCACCUGCUUACUUCAUGUAUCUCAUGAAUUCGGUGUUCAUGCUCGAGCUCGACAAUUUUGUCAUGGUCUUCAUCGAUGACAUUCUAAUCUACUCGAAGGAUGAGAAGGAACAUGCAGAACAUCUUCGCAUCGUUCUCCAACACUUACGAGACCAUCAGCUGUAUGCCAAACUCUCUAAGUGUGACUUUUGGUUGGAGAGUGUGAAAUUUUUAGGACACACUAUUUCUCAAGACGGCAUCGCGGUUGACCAAACCAAAGUGCAAGAAGUCAUGGACUGGAAGCCACCUACUUCAGUCCAUCAGAUUUGAAGUUUUCUCGGUCUAGCAGGCUACUAUCGCCGGUUUAUUCCGGAUUUCUCCAAGAUAGCAAAACCUAUGACUGAAUUGUUGAAGAAAGGAGCUAAGUUUGUGUGGAGUGACAAGUGUGAAGAAGCUUUUCACACCUUGAGACAACUUCUGACUUCCGCCCUAAUUCUAGCUCAACCCGACACUAACCAGCCGUUUGAUGUUUAUUGUGAUGCCUCUGGCACUGGACUUGGAUGUGUUCUUAUGCAAAACAACCGAGUCAUUACCUAUACCUCCCGAGCAUUAUGGCCUCACAAGCAGAAUUAUCCUACACAUGAUUUGGAGUUGGCAGCAGUGAUUCACACUCUGAAAAUGUGGAGACACUAUCUGAUGGGCACUCAUUGCAAUGUCUAUACUGAUCAUAAGAGCUUCAAGUAUAUCUUCACUCAGUCAGAUCUGAAUAUGCAUCAGAGAAGGUGAUUGGAGCUAAUCAAGGAUUAUAACUUGGAAGUGCACUAUCACCCUGGCAAAGCAAACGUGGUUGUGGAUGCUCUUAGCCGCAAGGCCCAUUGCAAUUGCUUGUCGGCAGUCAAUUUCGAGGAAACUCUAUGUCACGAGAUGGCUAAGCUCAACUUAGAGAUUAUUCCUCAAAGUACCCUAAGUCACCUAAGCCUCGAGCCCACCUUAAGGGAUCAAAUUAUUCUAGCACAAAGGGAAGAUGAAGAGCUGAAACUCACUAGGACAAAAAUUGCUUGGAAAGAUGAUGGAUUUAAACACAUCCGACAGGAUGAAAAGGGAAUCAUAUAUUAUAAGAAUCGAUUGGUUGUUCCUAAUGACCCCGAGCUGAAGAAGCAAAUCUUGACUGAAGCACACAUGUCUAAGUUCUCUAUUCACCCCGGCAAUAACAAGAUGUACCAUGACCUUAGACAGAACUUUUGGUGGAAUGGCAUGAAGCCACAGAUUGCACGUUAUGUUUCGGAAUGUGACACAUGCCAAAGAGUUAAAGCCAGUCACCUGAAGUCAGCGGGCACUUUACAACCCCUACUUAUUCCGUCAUGGAAAUGGUAGGAUAUAAGUAUGGACUUCAUUGUUGGAUUGCCCCCUACCUCUCAGUGACAUGAUUCUAUUUGGGUUAUCAUGGACCGCCUCACCAAAUCUGCACACUUUCUUCCUGUUCACGCCACCUACACAGCCAAGAAAUAUGCAGAGUUGUAUCUCGACUGCAUUGUUUCCCUGCACGGUAUACCAAGGAUGAUUAUAUUUGAUCGAGAUGUUCAGUUUGUAGCACGUUUUUGGGAACAGUUACAAACUUCACUUGGCACCAAGCUAAUCCGUAGCUCACCGUUUCACCCUCAAACAGAUGGUCAGACGGAGAGAGUGAAUCAAAUCCUAGAAGAUAUGCUACGAGCUUGUGUCAUCCAUUAUGACAAAAAACUGGGACAAGUGUCUGCCGUUAGCAGAGUUUUCUUACAAUAAUAGCUACCAGGCUAGCUUGAAGAUGGCACCAUUCGAGGCCUUGUAUGGUUGAAGGUGUCGGACACCCUUAAAUUGGUCACAAGUUGGGGAAAGACAAACUUAUGGUUCUGAUCUAGUAGUAGAAGCCGAAAAGCAAGUUAAGGUGAUUGAAGCCAAUCUUAAGGUAGCCCAAUCUCGACAAAAGAGCUAUUCUGACAGAAGAAGACGACCCCUAAAGUUUGAUAUUGGUGAUCAUGUAUACCUCCGGGUCUCCCCGACUAAAGGUGUACAACGGUUUGGAGUAAAAGGGAAAUUGGCUCCCCGUUACAUUGGCCCUUAUGAAAUUGUGGACAUAUGCAGACCCAUCGCAUACCGGAUCCAACUACCCAAACAGCUCUCAGCUAUUGAUGACAUCUUCCAUGUCUCCCAACUGAAGAAAUGUGUCCGAGUCCCGAUCAAAAUCUUGGAGCAAGAACAACUCGAAAUCGAACCCGACUUAUCCUAUGCGGAAUAUCCUGCCAAAGUCCUCGAUCGUAAGGAAAGGUACACCCGACGACAAGUUAUGAAGAUGUAUAAAAUUCAGUGGAGUAACCACACGGAAGAUGAAGCAACAUGGGAAAUAGAGGAAUACCUGAAUAAACACUUCCACGACUUUCUUUUCAAGCAAGGAGGUAUGUUGCGCAGAAUCACCCCAAUCUUUUCAUCCGAAUCUCGGGACGAGAUUCUUUUUAAGGGGGUAGACUGUAACGAUUGAGCUUUCUAAUGAACAUCGUUAAGAUCAGCAAGAUCAUUAGAGUCUUUUUGAGCUGAUGAUUAGCAGCUUUCACAGCAAAAAGACCAUAAUGACCUUAAGGAGUUAAACUGUUGUUUACAUCCUAAACCACAUUUUUGCACAACAACUAAGUUUCACCAACAAGAAAGUUGUCCAACUGGUUAACUACCAGCAACCUUGGUUCUCGACUUUUGUUUUUCCUUAGCCAACCAGAGCUCUAAAUCUAUGAGACAAGUUCAACCUUGGAGCCUUUUUACUCCAAUCCAUUGCGAUCUUGAUCUAACUUCUUUUGGUAAAGUUGUGCACGGGUUCAAGGAUAGAAACUUGUUAAAAAGUUCAAUUGGCGUGCGGUUCAAAUUUUUGGGAGAAGAGUCGCAAAGCAUGUAACUGCUUUGUCUCUUCGCGUCCCGAACCAGAGCCCCUGUGCGACGUCGCCGCGUGGCACACCACCACUGGCAGCUCGCCGGUAACCAACCCGCAGCCCUGACGCGACGGGACAGCGCUAGCAUUGCCCAAUCGCGCCAGCAGGCCAUCUCUCCUCUCUGUUCCGAAUCUCCAGUGCCCAAUCCCGCUCCACCUCUCCCCUCUCCGCAAACGCCACACCACCGCAGCUCACCGGCGCAUACCUUCGCCCAGUAACCAACGUGACGCGACCACACACGCGCGCAGACCUAGCAGAUCCACGUGCCCAGCAAACCCGCCUUGCCCAAGCCCCAAAUCCUUGCUGCCCAACCAGGGCAAGAUUGCAUCCGACCUCGCCAAUGGAGGCGCCAACCAAUCGCCGCCGCGACAGAGCACUUCCUUCUCCCUCGAUCUUAUCCUCUCGCCCGCUCAAGCUCGUUUCCUUCCUCCGAACACUUCCGCGCAUCUAUAAAAAGGUAUCGAAGCCUCUUACCGGAGUUCCCUUCGCCCCCACCACCAUUGUCGCACUACCUGCUCUAUUUUUCUCCACCACACUCACCGCUGCACUUGGAGCUGCCACUCCGGCCAGCCCCACGCCGCGACACCGUCACCGUCAGCUUCGCCUUGGUCGCCUGGAGCUCACCAACCUGCUCAGGAGCCUCUGAGGCCCCUGUCACGCCGGAUCGCCGCCACCAGUUUCCACGAUGCCGACCCGAGCUGCCAUUGUUCCUCGUUCCGCAUCGGCUUGUUUCUCCCAACCCCGAGACCUCAUCAGUAGGACCGGAGGUGAGCUGCCGACCCCUUUAUAGCUCUUCCCGACCCUGAAUCGUCCGCAAAAGCGACCGGACCUUGUCCGCCUCGCCCGAGUGCUGUCCGCCUCGCCCGAAGGCUCGGUUGUGUCUUUUCUUUUGACUGAGGGUAUGUGUGUUAAAUUCCGUGGACUUCUCUGUGUUAAGUCUGAGGAUCCCGGUACAGUUAUUCCUUAAGUGAUCUACUGUAAAAAUUUGGGACUUAUUUGACUUGUACAAAAAUUAUUAACAUUAAAACAAUACCCUAUUUAAGAUUUCAUAGAUCUAUUUUUAUCUCAAGUUCUAGAGACCAUCUGGAUCUGAAAUUUUUACAGGAGGUUACAAAGUCCUAACAGAGGCUACGGUAAAUUUUGCAAGAUUUAUUGAGCAUGUUAACUAUUUAUCCUAUUUUAAGCGUAUUAACUACAUGCACUUAUUUAAGCUAGACAAAAAAUGUAUCCAACAGUAACUAGUAUUUUUCCAAGGGGAACAUUUGUAUCAUGAACUCAACAGAAGUGAUCUUGCAUUUGUCUCUAUUUUCUUCCCUUUACAGUGUAAAUAGCAAGAUUUAACUAGCAUUUAAGCAUUUUAGAUCUAAAAACACAUGAACAUCACCUUGACCAGUGGCACAAGUUUCAGGUCUUGAACAUGCAUGCCACAAGUGAACUAACAAAAAUGGUUUCACAUUUUUAUCAUUUUUCUAUGAUUUUUAGUGCAUUUAUUAGCUUAUACUCAAAAUAAAAUCUAGUGCUAAAUACAGAUGAACAACAUGCAUAUGAGUAUUCUUAACUGAAACUAAACAUCACCAGAAACCUAGCAAAACAAGAAUCAUAUUUUUUUCCAUUUUUCUACAUUUUUCUAUACCUUUUCAAAGUUUCAAGCUUUUUAGAUCUACGAAAAAAAAUACAGAAAACUGAAGUUAUCUUGCAAACUAGCCCCCAGAUCUAAGGUUUAAACGCACAUAAGUCCCUGAACUUUAACUCAUAACCCCUUCUCCUUUCCCCUUCUUCUCUAACUAGAACCUUCACACAUAGAACACACACAACAUAGCACACGGACAGAAAUAAGCACUUGGCCGGCCAUGCCUAGGGGCCGACGGCGACCAGGGGGAAGGAGCGGCUUGGGGAGGGGGAAGGACGGUGCACGGAGGCCAGGAACCUCACCAACAGCGACACAGGUGCGAGGAGGGGUGGCGCCACAGGGCCUCCAGGAGGUAGCGGAUGGAGCGAAUGGGGGCUCCCGUGGAGCGCUGUCCGGUGAGCGAGAGAGGCCGGGAAGCGGCAAAACGGAUGCAGGACACCGAGGAGAAGGUGUGGCUAUGAGGAAUCGAGCCGUGGUUCACCAACGGCGGCGGAUUUCAGCAGUGAACAGUGGGGAAUUGAAGCUCGUGGUGCUUGUAAUGGAGGCAGGAGGAAUGGAAGCCGGCGGCUUGCUUUAUAGGAGGGGGAUGGCGAGAUGAUAAGGCUGGCGUGAGGAGAUAAGGACGCCACGGCAACUCUACGUGGGCAUUGGUGGCAAGGACGAGUGCCAUGCAUGGCGGACCCGUGGUGCCCAUGCCGUGCGGGGGGAGCUCUGCCCAACCGGGCGCGAGGAGUGGCGUGGGACGAGAAGUGCUUCAUGUGGGCAUCGUUGGGGUGGCCAAUUGGCAAGGGGAGGCUCGCAGGCACCCCCAAUGGCGAGUGGCGCUGCUGUGCUGCCCAACUAGUGGCGCACGGGUGUGGACAGAGGACGAAGAACGGUCUGACGUGUGGGCCCACGAUAUUUUCAGCCAUUAAAAUUUGUCCCCUUAUUUAACAUAGCUACAGGUGUCCAAAAAUUGCCCAAAAAUACUUGUUGGAAAUAAAAAUUGCAAAGAAUCCAUUUCCACAAAAAUAAACUCAAGACCUGCUAUGGUUUUCACGCAAUUGGCAAAACAAAACAGCCAAAAUCAAACUUUAAAUGAAUUUUUAGCACAAGCAAACAUUUCCGAAAAAUUUGGUAAAAACAUUUAAAUCACUAAAUUGUAUCUAGUAUUUAAGGAAAAUAAUAGGGGGCACAUUUGUAUAGCAAAAAUUAGGGUUUCUUCACAAGUUUGAAUUUUUAACAAUAAACAACAAUUAUGUGAAUUUAACAAUGCAUAACUUCUACUCAAUUUUGAACUUCCUUUCCUCAAAAUCAGAAGAAGUGUAAAUAACAAAAGUUACUUAUUUUGAAAUGUUCUAUAACUUUUACAUUGGCUAAAAUUUAAGUUCUAAUAUGAAAUUUUUGUUUUUAACUCUUACCCCAAUUAAGUGCUUUUGAGGGUGACUUUUAACACUUAGGCAAUUUGAAUGACUUUUGAGUUUGGCACUUUGCAAUUUGGUUUGUUUCUAGUUUUUCCCUUAAUUUCUCUUAUUUUUACCCUUUGACUCUGGUUUUAUCCCUUUUUGAAUUUAGAUUCCCCUUCCAGGGUGUUUUCAACACUCGGAGAAUUAAAGUGCAUCAGAAUUUGACAAGUAGCAAUUUGAGUUUAGGGGCGAUUCUUUGCUUAAACACUUUUGAUUAUUCUUGAUUGGCUUUACUAAUACUAGGGAUGUUAUGGCUUUGCUAAUACUAGGGAUGUUACAAACCUCCACACGAGGAUCAUCACACCGCAUGCCCAGAAGGUUGGCGAUCUUUCCCUCCCCAGGAGGAUUCCCAGCAUCCUUGCUGCGACCCACCCACCCACGCCCUCUGACCUGAUCGUGGAGCCAGACCGCAUCAGCAACGCUAUCACUGAGUGCAUCGACCUCUCUGAGGUGGCGCUACGCUCAACAAGGUUGGUGCAGGGUCCCUCCCUCACCCCCUUUGGUCUCAAGAACUCGACUGCUGUGUUUUCCACCAAACUCGCACAAUCUUUCCAGAUCCAAUAUGGAGACCCACCCACACCCACCCAGUUUCUGGACUGCGACGAGUUCCAGGUUCCCUGCAUCGUCCUGACCCCGAACCUUUAUGGAAACAACAUCAACUCCUCCAUGCUAGAUCGCGAAGUCUUCGUAGUCUCCAUCGAAGAUCCACCCAUAGAUGACGAUCAGCUUGCUGUAAACAUGGGAGCCGAGGCAGAAGGUGACCAGCGCCAACCACUGCCCGCUGCCAACGCUGACCUGCUAUGCACCAAUGAUGAUGACAACACCGACCAGGACAGUGCUCUGGCAGAUGCUGGUGUCCUAUGCGUGACCACAAUCUACAAGACGCCCUCGACGAGGCCGGCCACAACGUCUUUACCCCACCCCAGGCUAACCUGGGGGAUGCCUUUGCCAAUCUGGAACACCUUCCAGAGCUAAUCCGACAAGUCCGGGCAUGUACUCGCAUAGCCAAAGCCCAGAUCAAAGAAUGGGCUCGGAGCCAAUCAACACACUCCAGGUACCAUCUACCCGGCACCCUCAAAGCUAAUCCACUCAUAGUAGAUCCGGUCACCACCAAGGCAACCACGGUAAACACGCGGGAGGUUGGCUGGAGCCUGUCCGUGAGCCCGAGGUCCUCACCACCGAAGUUGAUCCUGCCAGACCAACCACCUUCCUCUGGGAAGAGUUUGAUAACACCAUGAACGCUCCGCGCCCCUUCCAUAAGGAUGCACAUCACAAUCACUGGGAAUACAUAGUCGUUACAAAAGAGCUUGACGCCCCAGCGGAAUACAAGCGACCUUGCCGCAACAAAGACAAUCGUUGCGAAAACCGUGCAGCGACGACCGUGAUGCCCCUUAAUCGCCACGUAGGUCAUCCGGCCAGGCACCUAUCAACCCUAGUGGGCGGACAGCUCAGGUGUCCCCAAUUUGCGGAACAUCGAGCACCUGCGACGCCUCUACCUCUACCCAUAGGACUUAAAAGCUACAUAUUCUUUUUUCCCUUUUCAUUGAAUUAAUAAAACCUCUGAGGUUCUUUGCGCACCUACUUCCUUCCCGUUACUUUGCUUGAGUUGUUCCUAACACUCAGGGGGUUGUCCGACUUGUUCUUCAAACCACUCACUUUCAAGCUCGAGGGCUUCCCCCAGUUGUCGACCACUGGGUCUCUCACCUCCAGUCGCUGACCUCAGGGUCUCUUGUAAUAUCCCAAAAAUUGAGUGAUAUUAAUUGUGCUAGUUUUUCCAAAAAUUUAAAACUUCUUGUUUGAUUGUGUGAAUCAUAUAAAUACUUGGUCAAAUUUAAGUUCAACCCUCAAUUGUUUUCUCUAAAUUCAAAAGCUAGUAAUUAAAAUUGUGCAUUCAAAUUAAAAACAUGCUUGCAUGAGUGAUUUGGAUUUUCAUUUGAUUUUAUUUGGAUCUCAUGUGUGAGUUUGUAUUUUGAAUCUAAUUCGAAAUACAAACUAAAGCUAGCAUGUAAAUAGUAUAAUAGAAAUCCAACAUGACUAACUCAAACUUGCACCCGAGCUGUUCACAAACUCAACCAGCUCGGUCUGAUCCGCUAACUCUCUACUCUCCCUUCCUUUCAUGUGAAGCCAGCGGAUUGCUUUGGAAGCCUGAUCCAUUUUCACCUUUGCUUCCACUCGCAAUGCCCAGCCAAUUAACAUGGGUGUAAUCCAACCCAACCCCCUCUCACUUGUUUUGAACCUAAUCCUUUCUUAGAACUUUGAUCAACCCUGUGAAGCAUAUCUACGCACACACGCACACGCGAGCUCUCCGUUGCCACCCUGCGCACAUGUGCUACCUCCUUAAUCCUUUGUAUAAAAACUAAGUCAUCCAGCUCCUCUCAUAACCCAGCCCAUUCCAACCUGAUUCAUUUUGUUUCCAUGCGAAGCCUAUGUGCUACAUGGCCUUAGCCUGCUAUGCCACCCAGCCCGUUUUGCUGUUGCAGCCCAGCUUCGCCUGCUCCGCUGGCCAUCAGCACGGACACGCCAGUGCCUCCUCGCGUGUUCUUCACGCGAUGCCGCCACCCACCAGCUCUCUCCCUGUUUCUCUUCCUCCUUCACACGGACGUUGCCACUCUUCUUUGCUUUUCGCUUUCUAGCUCACGCCUGCGUGCAAGCCUCCCUCGUGCCACGACCCUUGACCGCCAGUGCAGCACCCACCCUUGGAUGCUCGCCUACCUCGCGUGCGAGUCACGCCCUCGCUGCGACCGACAGAUGCACGCCGCGUGGCCCUGAGUACGCGAAUCGGAGAUCAGCAGUCGUCCGUCCUACAUGGGCUCGCCCCUAGAACCCUAGUCCUCAGGCUAUAAAGCCUCACAGCAGCCACACCCUCUCCAUCUCUCCCAAGCCACCACCGCAACCUUCCUGCUCUCUUUCUCCCUUCUCUGUUCUUCCUUCACGGUGAAGCAGUUGCUCUGUUCUUUUCUCCUUCCACCGCAAGCUACUUCCUACCCUUCUCCAAUCGAACAGCAAGAAGCCUAGCAGCAGCACCAGUACAUGGCGCCCCCUCCAAUCCUCUCUCUCUCCCUCGAAUCCAAGUAGCAGCUGCUCCUUUCUUUUCUCUCCUUUUUCUAAUCAGAGUAGAGCAAGAACAGACUAGCUCCAACCCAAGCACAAGCCGCCGCCCCUGCCCUUGAACUGUGGCGUGCUGGUGGGAGCUCGCCCAGUGGGCCGUUCAUCCCUCGAUGUCGUCCGCAAGCUCAUUAUUUAUUUUUGCGUCACAUCUUGUUUAUGUUUGUAGACCCGAGCUGCGAUGAUCGAUAUUUUACCUUUCUUGAUUCAGUCAUGAUAGACUUGUACCGGCAUGUGCCGAAGAUAUGUACUCAUUACUUAUGUUAUUUAUGAUAUCUGUACUCUAUUGUUGCUAUAUAUUUCUAUGUUGGUAUGGAUUUGUACUACAUGAGAUAGGGAUUCGCACGUGAUAGACUUCCUCAGACUAUCACCGAGGUGCGUAGGCUUGAAUUCUCAGAAUUGGAAAUUCGGGUCUGUUUCAGCUAGUAUCAGAGCCAUACUUGACCGUAGGAUGAUCCCUAGCAAUAAACGUUAGCUUAGGACAGCCUAAACAUCCUUGAUUGAGUAUAUACUCCUUGAUUACUAUAUGAAUCCCUUGCAUUCUACUACUACAUCCUUGAUUUCUCACUAACUGACUUACUAACCACCCUUCGUGCAAUUUCUGUCUCAUGGUGAACAACAAAUGUCACCUACUUUAUAUUAGUACGUCAAGGUCAUGCAACACUAAGGAAGGAUGUCUGAUGCAAGAUGAAGUCAAUGAUUGCAACGACAACUAUAAAGGUUGAAUAUGGGGAAUGGAUGAAGAUAACCCUAUAGGACUCACUUGGAUUACCCCCGCAGACUCUUUAGUGCCGGACUACACCACCACAGUUGUCUCUGCCUUAAGUUCAGACCGUCAAAGGUCGAUCAUACUCCCACCAGGAUGCUAUGUCAGGUCCAUAAGCGGAUGAGGCUACAACUAUAGGAUAUACCCUGCCACCUCUUGCUCAGGCCAAUUCAAGAACUUGGAAGCUUUCAGGAUGAAACUUGGAUGGUCGCCCUCGUCCAUGCUAUGAAGAGAAUAAGGACUUUGAGAUUUUAAUUCGUUGUGUGCCAACAUCAGGAUGUAUGAUGAUCAACUACAUGGUAUCUGCACACACGAGCUCGGAUGCAGGAUUUGGAAACUCCUGAGAUGCCCAUAGCUCAACAUGUGGAUGAAGAUCUAUAGACUUGAAGCUACAAGUUUAGCCAAGUUGCAAAGGAUUAAGAUAUUGUGACAAGCAGCAGCUACACGAGGCAAAAGGAUUGAUUGAAUGGAAGGUUAAGAUCACCCUGCAAGCCAGCAUCACAUACCAAGAAUAAGGAAUUAUGAAUAAGGACUUGUUACUUCACCAUAAGGAAUUUCCCAUUGCAAAUAAGCGUGAGAAAUUUGGGGGCAUGGAUUUUAAAGACCUACAAGAGAAGUUGCCCUAUCUGAAGGUGAAAAACCAAAAGAAAUCAUAAUGGAGAAUGGAUAGAAAUGGACAUCAAGCACCCCUCCUUGCAAGGACAAAGCUGUGAGAGCCAUGGACGAAGGAGAGUAGUCCAACUACGACAGAGUAUCUGAACUAGCAGAGUUGGACGAGAAGCCUUGGUCUAAGAACAUGGAGAUUUUAGCUCCCUCCUACCAGAACCCAUGUUCUUCUAAGGAUACUUAUGGAACACAUUCUGUCAAAAAAGAAAAUAUGGUAACGGGAUCUUAACCCGGUUGGUUCAAGAACCUAGGUUUGCUAAUGGUUGUAGACCUGAAUGCAUUAAGUGUUCCCAAGAGCAAUAUGGAAUACAACCAAGAAGAUGGGCCAGCAUAAAUACAGAGUUUCACCAGCUUUCUUUGGAAGCUUCACACAAAGUCAUGAUAUGGAAUAGAUGCAGAAGUCGGAGUGAAGCUUGUAUCAUUCAGUGAUAUAUCACCAACAUUAGAGAACCCCUACAUACCCCCAUGGCCACGAUUUACUAGUACGCUUCUUAUCGUCCGAGUGUAAUCUCAAAUGUCUUAGGAGUCAGCCUCGAGAUACGCUCUUUUGUUUGGUGCACUAUUUGAAUGAAUUGGAUCUUUAUGGUCUUAUGGAUCUUAUGCAUCUUCAUGCUUGUGUGAAAUUGUAUUGUGUGCUCAUGCUGGCUAGAUCCUUUAGAUGACUCCUUUAGAACCCUUAGCCUACCUUGCUGCAAGACCAUGAGCUUGAAGAAUGAAGGCCAACGCGUUGAAGCAAAUUAACAAGAUCUACUUCAGAAGAAGAUAAGAACUUCAUUGCAAUCUCGGCAAGUCAGACUAAGACGUUGGAUAAGCUAUCUGUGAAUAUUGGAAUUUAGAUCAUAGUCCUGGUUAUGAGUGCCUCGAAAAUUUGGAACCUCACAAGUUCAGAAGUGCAUGUAUACCCAUGGAAGCACAUAUUGGUUAAGAGCAAUUGAGUACCCUGAGACACUAGCGAUGCAUUUGGACAAGUACAGUCGAUUAUUGGUACUUAGUUAAUGGACAAAGAGAAAGUACUCCCUAUGGAACAAAUAGUUUAAGAGCUCCCACUAGAGUACACUACCUUCCCAUUUGCACCUUGCUUGGAAUUGUCAAAGGAAAGGAUGAGAUUUGCCAAUAAGAGGGCUCUCUCUAUCUCAGGUAAACUCAAGCAAGGACCUGGAACAUGGAACCCUCAUAUCUUGGAAGUUGAAACAUGGACACGAGUAACAAGUGCUUUCGAAAGGAUCCCAAGAUAAUGAAAGAAUGGAUAAAGUGUUUGUCCGUUCCAAGUCAUUUUAGCGAUCGAAGAUAAUCUGCACUGCCAAAACCCUUAAUAUGUGCAUUGAGCCUUCCAUGGAUGGACGAUCAUGCAUUCUUUCUAGAUUUACACUUCCCAUGCCACUCGGACAUAACGAAUCCAUGGCUAUAAUACCAUGACAUCUCCAAAAUGUGGAAGCAAAUGGACUGCAACUGAGUAAUACAAUACUUCGACCUAAAGAUAUUGUUGAAGUGUUUGGAUAUGGUUGGAUGACCAAACUCGAGGGAUACAAGGUUUUAUACUACAUGAGUAGUCAUCCUUAGGUCAUACUAUGGAAUUAACCUCACUUCCACACCUACUUAGUUCUUUCAGAACUAUUGGAUAAGCAGCGUAACUGGGUAAGCACCAUAAGUUGUGCCUUGGAAAAGGAUACAUGAAGGAAUUCUUAAGGAAUUACUAGGUCUACAAGUGGAUUGAGAUAUGGAGUUCCGAUCAACCCCACUUUUGGAAUAAAUCCAAUGUAAAGAAACUCUACUGGACACUACCUAUUGGACUAGUGGCAUGAGAAAUAACUCCAAGAACUACUGGACAAGAGUUAAUUGACCUAGUAGUUGAAACCACCUAAGUUAUUGGAAAAUAAGUAAAAAACAGAUAGUGAGCACAAGUAAGGAUUACUGCUCACCUAAAUGAAGUAACAAACGAAUGACAUCAUUUAUAAUUGCUGACUGCAUGGCAACAAGGUGAAGUCAUGUACAUUUCCAGGAUAUCUACAAGGCAUGAAUACCAUCAAGAGGAAUAAUGUGAACGAUUUUCUAGGGACAGUGAUCCACACUACGGAUUGAUAAGUGAUCCAAACCGCCCCUAGAUAUGAGGAAUAAGGACCCUACUGGGAAUUGGUUAAGAGUUAUGGUAUUAGUAAGAGUUAACCUCAACUAGCCCAAGUUGGCUAAUGAGCAUUUGUAAGAUGCAAGUCAUGCGCUUGAGUAGAUCUACCUUGAGAAAUUGGAUCCAAAACUGACUAGUGUGAGCUUUUGGUUAAAGAGAUUCUCUCACAUAGACGAGGGUGUUGCAGAUAACCCCUCCGAACAUGGACAGCCAUGAAUGGGGAGUAAGCAUGCAUAAUAACAUUUCAAACCAGGAGAUAAUUGGUUGUGUUAGAUAAUGCUAGCACUUUGAUGAGAACCGUUCAAGACGUCUAAACCAACAAAUGGAUUAUAAAAUAAAGCAACCUAUGAAGUUGGUAUGGAUUAAUGGACGCGAGAACAGGCGCUAGGCAAGAUUGACGAACUCUUGAGCGGGAGUCACCUUAAUUAACCAUACAAGGUCCUAUUAUGAAUACAUGUUUGGACAUAGUGCAUACUUCAUGUACUUAUGCAAGAAGUGAGUACAUAAGCCUUGCUAUAGCUAUGGAGGUAAGAAGCAAGCUAUCUAAGCCUGCGAUGCAGUUAACUAAUUUAGAAUGCAUGUCAUGGAGAUGUGGCUGCACUAAUACCUUGGAAAUACAUGUUAAGCCCACAUGGAUCGAGAGAUAACAUUUCAUAUCUUCGACAUGUUCCAACUAGACAUGGCACCAGGAAGAUUGCCUAGAUAAAACAAGAGAAACUUGGGGAUGUUCAAAAGAUGGACGAAGAAAAGAGAUUUUGGACUCAAGAGUGAACCUAGGUCCCAGGAUCGAGGGGUAAGGCACCCAUGGAGAACAAUAGUGCAAUGAUGUGCCAAAUGGAUUAUAUUAAGAAACAAUCCUAAAAGAAGCUCAUGCUUUCACAUUGUUACGCCAAGAGGUUUAACAAUUCAAGAAUGAAGGUAUGGUGACCAAGGAUGAAAGGUUAACUAACCUACUUCGCGGUCUGUAAAGGAAAAUGCCAAGAAUUGAAUCUCAAUAAGCAGUGGUAUCUGGUAACUACCCAUGAAACUCUUCGAAUGAGACUCGUCUACCACCCAGGGUAUCACUUUCGGAAGAGAAGUUGAAUUUGGAAGAGACAACCCUAUACGUCAGUAGAUGCUAAGGAUGCAUGCAUUUGUAUAUAACAAGGUAUUGGAUCAGAGUUUUGCUAAUGCACUACCCCAUUACCACCAAGCUACUUGGUAUGAUUGGAAAUAUCGAAUUUAAGAACUCUGCUAGGCAAAAAGUAUACGACUCCCUACACGUGGAAAGAAGUGGGAAAAAACAUGCCUUAUUGGAUUAAAAGUACAUCAUGGACGCCAUGAGAACAUGGCCAAGUUCAUAAGGAACAUGUUGAAAUAAGUUUAAGUAGCUAGCAAGGGCUACACUGACCAGAAGGAUCCAAUAACCUCGAAUUGGAGGAUUGCACUAAUCUGAGAUCAUCAUAUUCUAUCGGGCACAAAGACUCUAAACCUAAGCUAACCAAAGCCGAGGUAUACACGGCUAGAUGAGAUGGAUUAAGAUAAUAGGACCCUAGCCUAUAAAUUGGAAUUUCCCAAGGGCUCGACGGAAGUAUAGCCCCUCUUGCUUGUUUUGAACAUAUUCCUUGCUUAGCACUUUGAUCAACCUUGUGAAGCAUAUCUACGCGCGCACGCAUAGGUGAGCUCUCCGUUGCCACCCUGCGCACGUGUGCUACCUCCUUAAUCCUUUGUAUAAAAACUAAGUCAUUCAGCUCCUCUCGUAACCCAGCCCAUUCCAGCCCAAUUCAUUUUCUUUCCAUGCGAAGCCCAGGUGCUAAAUGGCCUUAGCCUCCUACGCCACAUGGCCCAUCUUGUCGUUGCAUCCCAGCUUGGCCUGCUCCGCUGGCCAUCAGCACGGACACACCAGUGCCUCCUUGCAUGUUCUUCACGCGAUGCCGCCGCCCACUAGCUCUCUCCCUAUUUCUCUUCCUCCUUUGCACGGCCGCCGCUGCUCCUCUCUGCUUUUUGCUUUCCAGCUCACGCCUGCACACUAGCCUCCCUCACGCCGCAACCCUUGACCGCCAGCACAGCACCUAGCCUUGGAUGCUCGCCUGCCUCGCGUGCAAGUCACGCCCUCAUUGUGACCGACAAAUGCACGCCGCGUGGCCCUGAGCAUGCGAACCGAAGAUCACCAGCCGUCCGACCUACAGAAGACCUCUAGUCAAUGUGACCAUUUCUGAAAAGAAAUCUUAUCUCUUCCGAAAAUAAAGGUAACUGCCAAUUCAGGUGUCGUGAAAUCUAUGGAUCCGUUAAUUCUGAAAUCCCUUUAUUCACGCCGGUGUUACCGCUCCACGGAGAUAAAUAAUGGAGGAAGUUAUCCCUCCCAUUUCACCUUUGCUAGUUGCCUUUCCAAUCUCCAAACUGUAGCCCUAGCGCUGCCACUACCCAAUCUCCGAGCACGAGCGCCACCACCCCCCACCAAUCAGCCCCUGAGCGUAUGCGAUAGAAGAAGCUCAUGUCAUCAAGGAUGGGGAGGAAGGCUGCUGCUAUCAAGCCUGCCGAGAGGGAAAAGAAGAAGAAAGGAUCUGGCAAGGAAAAAGAUAUUUAGUUGCCGGCGCCCAAGUACCAGAAAAUUGAUCAGAUCGCACAGCCAACUCCCGCUUGCGCAUGGAAGCGGUCAUGCUUGAAAGAGGAGGAGAUCAAGGUGCUUGUGGCCGCCAAGCUGCUCCAAAAUAAAGACAUCAUCAGUUGGAGAUUCGCCCACGGCAAUUCGUGGCCAUUGGAGGAACACUCCAAUGAAAUGGUAAUUUUCGCUCACUUCAUCGAGCGCGGUCUUGCAUUGCCAACUUCUAACUUUUUCCGGGGUCUUUUGUAUUACUAUAAGUUGGAGCUGGUUCAUCUGAAUCCCAACGCAAUUCUCCAUACUGCCAUAUUUGUUCAUUUUUGUGAAGCUUUUCUAGGAAUCAAACCCCACUUCCAGUUAUUCCAAAAAAAAUUCCAUGUAAAGCCGCAACCAAUGAGGGAUCAUACUCAAGUAGUCGGAGCAGCUGGUAUCCGAUGCAGGAGAAACUCAGCAGCCUGUAUCUAGAUUAUGAGUUGAUAGACUCCAAUGCUGGGUGGAAGGAAAAAUGGUGCUACAUCGGCAAUCAUGAUCCGAAACUACCCGAGCUGACAGGACAUCACCCCUCCUAGAACAACCGGUGGCUUGAUGAACCAACACAUGUAUUGGGGGGGGGGAAUAUUAACGACUCCUCCCAAGCCCAUGGAGACGGCAAAAUGUAAAGGCCCAGGCCCACCUGAGGUAACAAGGCUGGCGCCGGCCCAACACGGGGAGCAAGAAUCACGCUCCGCCUCGCCUGACCCGGCAUCCCGGGGUCAGGCAUCCCCAACCCCCACGAGACCAAGCUCCGCCUCGCCCGACCGCAGGACCGGGGUCGGGAGCAUCCGACCCCCCGCCGCAGGCCUCCGCUUCGCCCGACCCCAAGCAUAGAAGGUCGGGCUGGCCCGGGCCCACCAGACAAGUAUCCGCCUCGGGCACGGAUCUUGUGGGUCCCCCUAUCGAUUCCACCAUAAAUGCGCCGCAAAGCUAUCAUAAGGAAGGAUCUCCGCGCCCCCACGCAACCCGUUGCAAGUACCCAUGUGCGGCCGCACAGUACAUGCUACAGUAGCUGCGACCCUCUCCGAUUGGUCACAGGGUACUCAUGAGCUGCACCGCCCAGGGCAGGAAGAGGCCUCGCCCGCUCUCAUGCCCCGCGCACCCGGCGGCAGAGAUGUGACGUCCGCUCUCCGCAGGCCGUCAGCAGAACGGCAAGAUCCGCCGCCUCCCCCAAUGGACACGGGGAUCACGACGGAACGCCAUCAUCACAUCCGGUGGCUACAGUCACCGAGGAGGCCAUCGACAGGAUGCAGCGGCCGCCACCCUCUUCCGGCAAACGCGCCGGUAGGAGCCGAAGGCCGGCGAGGACGCCGGCGACCUGGGAACUUGUUCCCCCCCUCGCAUUAUUCUUUUUACUUAGCCACGUUUAUCUUUUUAAUGCUCCCCACACUCGGUCUCACCUGUAACCCCGGUGGCCUCCUUAUGCUAUAAAAGAGGAAUCGAGGGCCCAAGACAGGAGAGGCUAAAGGCACAACUAAAAGCACCACGACGCUUCCAAGCCAACAAAACACACGCACACACCCUUCUAGAGCAUCAGUGCACAUCCAAGAGACCUGGGACCGGUUCCGUCUCUCGUACUCCUGUAACCCCUACUACAGAACCCUGCGUGGGCAACACGAGCAGCUCCCGAUACUGGAUGUAGGGCAUUCCCUUGCCCUAACCAGUCUAAACCAUGUGUCUCCCACGCCACCAUCUGAAGCCUCACGCGCAUAAAAGAAAUUUACUCGUCUAAGUCUUGAUCCGCUAAUCUUGACAACGACAACACGGGAAUUGCUUCCAACUACCCGAUCUCAUUGAUAGAAUAGCCAAGCUGAAGCAAGAAGGGCUCAUUGGAGGUCGAGUAGCCUUUAGUUUUAUGAAGCGAUGAAUCCAGCCCUUGCAGCAGCGAUGCCACUGGGGUUAUGAGUAUACUGGUGUCAAUGAUCCAUCCAGACUUUCUCCUGAUGAGCUUAGCACAGAUGAAAUUAUGGCGAGGCUAAAGCGGAAGUUCAAAAAUGUGGGUGAUAUCACUACCAUUUUGCGAGAAUUCAGCGCCACCAACCCACCAAAGCCUGUAAGUACCCGUGGUUGUAGCCCCCAAGUACUUAUUUGAAGUUGUUGGGUUUGCUAACUUGUCUUUCUUUACAUAAAGAUGUCAGCUUGUACUUCUCUGCUCCUCCUCCCGGAUCGGAAGAUACUUGUGAAGCUGCUCCUCGCGUGCAUACGGCGGAGAGUGCUAAGAGUGAUGACGACCAAGAGGAGGAAGUACUCGAGUCCUCUAGCGGCACUAGCUCUGAUGCCGCAGAUGAAGUCAAGGCUCAGCCAUCUGCUAAGGCUGGGUCCUCUUCUGGAGCAAGGAAACAAUCGGCUGCUGAUGAGCUUGAAACUGCGAUCCCUCUGCCACCAAAGAAGAAAUGGACUAUUGCGGCGAAACGAGCCGUGAAGAAGUCUAUAUCGGUAGAUUAUGUGCCUCCCAAGGUAAUUACCUAUGAGGAAUGACAAGAUCCUGAUUAUUAUGUACUCGCAAAGGAUAUUUCCAAUGUCGCCACCGUGUCUAAUUAAGAUGACACUAGUGGACUGCAGGUCCUUGAGCGAGUGACGGAUGCUGAAGAAGCGGCUGCUCUGGUUGCACAAGACAAGUUGCCGAUCAUCGAGGAGGUGAUUAAUAUUGAAGAUGAUUCGGAGCCUCCUGUUGCUGUCAAUAGCAACACAUCUGGAUUGGUGGUUGACCCUGCCGCCGCAAGAACAACUCGAAUAGCAGAGGCGGUGGCUAAGGCUGGCAAUGAUCAUGUUGUGACCAUUCAAGCCGCGCCAAGGAAAUCGUCUCCUACCAUUAAACCGCUGCGCCUUAUAGGAGAACCCUCUUUGAAGUUGAGGAGAUAUACAAGGUAUGUCUUGCUGCUCCUUUGAGUACUAAUUGUAGCUCAUGAUCGACUUGUUAUGUCUCUGAAAGCUUUGUCUUAUGCAUGAAAUCCUAUGAUAGGGACCUUGGAGAGCCUAGCUUGAGGCUCGUGACUGAUGGCGGUAGCCUCUCAGUCCAGGACGUUGACCCAGCCCAAGCAAGUCUGCAGCCAGAGGAACAACCCACGACAACAAGUAGUCGAGGUGCUGUAUCAUUUGUAGCAGCAUUGAUGCGAGAUGUCAUAUCAUCUUUGACUGACAUUGUAGUGCCAGCCCCCGAGCAACAAGUACCCGAAGAGGCGAUGGCUGCUUCUGGUGCGGCGACCAAUGUUGAUAUCUCAACCUCUGAGCAUCAAAUACUGAGGAGGCGCCAACUGCUGUGGACGUAGCGACUACUUUUGUAGCCCUGGAGCAAUGGGUUGUUGGUGAAGCAAUGAUUACCUCUGGUGUUGUGGCUGCAGAUGUAGCCCCGAGCCAGAGAUAGAAGCCGAGGCGGCGACAGCUCUUGAUGCCAUGGUCGUCAAUGCAUCUUCCCAAGUUGGGACAUUGACAAGUCUUGAGAUGGUCCUUAUGCAAGCACGAAAGAUGGGACUAGCUCUAAUAGGAAGAUGACUCUGGAGGACAUCCAGCUGAUCGAUGAUCCAUUGCUGAACCCAGAGAUGAUAGCUACUAUCAUGGAGAUGCACCGUCAUGUCGGCACUUAUGCAAAGGUGAGUUGAAUUUGCCUUGCUUUGCUGGCGCAAUAUUUGCUAGCUUGUACUCAUUUGAUAGUUCGAGUACUAAUUUCUGAGUUCUAGGACUUGAUCAAUCGCUCCCGUCGCAAGUCAGAGAUGCUUGAAGGGUAUGGUGAUGCCGUACUCCGUGCUGAAGCACUGGAAAAGGAGCUUGCUAAGGAAAAAUUGUAUACCUCUCUCUUGAUGAUGAAGCACGACAGCACGACGGCAACCUUCCAGAACAGAAUUCAGGAUCUGGAGGACGAGAAGGAGCAUCUUGUUGCUCGCAAUAAGUCUCUCAAUCAAAAAAAUUUAAGUUGGUCUCCUCUCCUUUGAUGUCUUUCGACUACUCAUUGCCUCACGAUCUUACAGACUACAUGCUAAUGCUGCACAGAAUAUAAGAAAUUGGAACCAGAGCUUCAAGCGUUAAUCACCAAUUGGAAGAAUGCUUUUUACCGGGUGACAGAUCAACAAGAUAAGCCGGUGCGUCAUGUUGAGAAGUUGUAGCAUGAUCUGGAGAAGGAGACGCGGAUCUGCGAGGAUAGUGAGAUUGAUUUGGUCAAUGCCAUGAAGACCAUCCGAGAGCGCGAAGCUGAGCUGGAAACUUCCAAACUCUCUCUGAAGGACAUAUCUAAAGCGGCCCAGCCAAUAGCGGAUAUGGUGGAGCUCCAGUUGAGGGUGUAGAGCCCCAUCCGCUAUCUGAAGUACUCAAGGAUGUCUGAAGUACUCAAGGACGUGCUAGGAAAAUUCACCAGCUUUAUUCAGAAGAUGGCAAAGUCUGUCUCCAAGCAAUUGCUGAGCUUCGUCAAGUCGUUCUAUCCUCAAGUUGAUCUAGCUCCUGUUGCGGAGGGUACAUCAGAGGAUUUCUCUGACGAACUCUUUCAAGAGUACUUGCAAGAGAUGGACCCCAUUGCAGAAGAAGUAGCCAAUCAUCUAAUCCUUAAGUAGUUCUAUAUUAAAGCAAACAUUAGUUCUUGUUGCAACCUCUGCUGCUUUCGACUUGUUGUUUUUUUAGUGCAUCUUACAAUCUUCCCUGAUAUUUGCUCGUACGAUAGAUGUUAGUGUCUGAACACAAGGCUUCUUUGAUCAGCCUCAUCAGAUGCACAUUGUAGAGUACUUUAAGAUCGCAUUCUCCUUUUGUGGGUUGCGAGUACUCAGGCUAUCUAGUAAGUAGACCUCUGGGCGAGUAGUCUCUUCAGGGUUUCGUUGACUAGAGCCUAUCUUCACAACUUCUCUAGGUUGUAUUGAUGUUGUGCUCUGAAAAACCUGGAACUGCGGACUUGUAAUUACAAGCCGCGACUAGACAGAUUUAUCUCGUAAAUAGUUACUCAAGUAGUUAAUUAACUCCUGAGGUACUGAUGGCUUCUUUUUUUGCAAGCUGCUAAGGGACAGAUUUGUCCAAUGAGUUAACUAAUUCAUGAAGUUUACUACAGACUUGCUUUACAAGCCACUAUUUGGACAAUUUUGUUCAGUGAGUUAAAUAACUCAUUAAAAUUUUGCAGACUUGUCUUUACAAGCUGCACUUGGGCAAUUUUGCCUAGAGAGCUCAAUAGCUUGUUGUAGUUGUGCAGACUUGUUAUUACAAGCCGCGAUUUGGGUGAUUUUUCCUAGGGAGCUGAAUAGCUUAUUAGGAGUACUACAAACUUCCUUCUGCAAGCCGUGAUAAGGCAGAGAUAAGUAGUCGAAUAAAAAUAUGACUGCUUUGCUGAGUUGUAAUUCCACAACUAGGGCUGAUGGCCAAUUUACAUGAAUAUGUAAAUCAAAAUUAGGGAUAAAAUCGACAGAGCAGCUUGAUGUUCCACAAGUUGUCAACGUCUUCACUAGAGAGAUGUUGGAGAUGAUAAACGGUCUCUCCCAUGGUGAGUUUAGCUUGUGUAGCCCCUUGAUGUCUUAGAUACACUUGAGGACCAUAUCGCCUAUAUUGAAUGAAUGUUCUUUGAUGUUGCGAUCAUGAUAGCAGCGGAUUCCUUCAAGGUACCUUGUAGACUGGACGAGUCGCUGCACAGUGAGGUUCUAUGAGGCUGUCUAAGUCUAGAAACCUUGUUUCUUCUAUUGCAUCCUCCUCGUACUGCUCGACUGUUGCGAUUUCCACAUAACGUCAGUAGGUAGGAUACUUUUGGAUCCGUAGACCAGGAAGUAGGGCGAUUGCCCUAUAGGCAUGCACGGCUGGAUACGUAGCCCCCAGAGGACAUUGGGUAGUUCUUUGAGCCACUUGCCUCCUUUUGUGUUUCCGAUAUUGUGCAGCCUUUUCUUGAGAGCUUCUAGUACCAUCCCAUUGGCACACUCAACCUAGCCAAUAGCCCAUGGAUGAGCGAUAGAGACAUACCAGAUACCGAUCCCACUAUUCUCGCAGUAUUCUCAGAACUUAUGAUUAUUGAAAUUGGAGCCUAGGUCUGUGAUAAUGCGAUUGGGGAAACCGUAGUGGUGGAUAAUUUAAUCGAGGAAGUCGAGUACUCUGUGAUAAUGCGAUUGGGGAAACCGUUGUUGUCGCGAACUACAUGGUGGAACUUCAUACCAGAGAAUUUGUUCUCUAGCUUGUGUACUUCUAGGCAAUACGCAUCCAUAUUCUCCUUGUGACGAUCCCACUCAUCAUUGACUUGAUUGAUCACCACUAGUGAGUCAUCGUAGACCAACAAGCGCUUGAUUCCUAGCAAGACUGCCAGGCGGAGUCCAUGUAGAAGCACUUCGUAUUCAGCUUCUUUGUUGGAUACUUCCUAGAAGAUUUGCAAGACGUAUUUGAGUUGUUCACCUUUGGGAGAUAUCAAGAGUAUUCUUGCACCGGUUCUCUUGAGCUUGAGUGAUCCGUCAAAAUACAUGACCCAAUGCUCUAGACGCUCUGUUGGUAUUGGUAUUUGAUUCUCCCGUUAUUCUACCAUGAAAUCGACUAAGGCCUGGGACUUGAUUGCAGUCCUCGACUAGAAUUCUAGGGUAAAUGCUCCGAGUUCUAUCACCCACUUAGAUAUUCUUCCAGUGGCAUCCCGAUUGUGGAGAAUUUCUCCAAGAGGGAAAUCUGUGACGAUGGAGUGUUGUGUUCCUGGAAGUAGUGUCGUAGCUUGCGCGAGGUGAGCAGUAUUACGUAUAGCAAUUUUUGGACUGGCGGGUAUCUGGCUUUGGAAUCUGACAACACCUCACUGACGAAGUAAACGGGCCUCUGUACUUUGUAUACAUGGUCUUGUUCUAAUUUUUUGUACUUUGUAUAAAUGGUCUUGUUCUGGUUUUUCGACGACAAUCGCCGUACUAAUGAUGUUGGUAGUCGCGGCGAUGUACAUUAGCAAGUCUUCAUUAGGGUAUGGCACCAUGAGGACCGGUGACUUUGAUAGGAAGUCCUUUAAUUGAUGUAGGGCUUGAUCUGCUUCCUCGGUCCACUGAAAUUUGUCUUACCGCUUGAGUAGUUUGAAGAAGGGUAGGUCCCGUUCUCCAAGCCUUGAGAUGAAUCUAUUAAGGGCCGCUAUGCAUCCAGUCAGCUUCUAGACAUCCUUGAUGCCUGAUAGGGCAUGCAUAUCGGUGAUGGCGAAGAUCUUCUCGGGGUUAGCUUCAAUGCCUCGGUGACUAAUGAUGAACCCGAGUAGUUUCCCGGAAGGCACGACAAAGACGCACUAUGUCGGGUUGAGCUUCCACCGGAAUUCUCGCAAACUUGCGAAAGUUUCUUCUAGAUCUGCAAUCAGGUCAUCGGGAUUUCUGGUCUUUACAACCACGUCAUCCACAUACGCCUCCAUGUUGCGGUGUAGUUGCUUCUUGAAACACUCCUGGAUGGCCCGAUGAUAUGUCACGCUGGCAUUCUUCAGCCCGAAAGAUAUUGUUGUGUAGCAAAAAGCUUCAUAUGGGAUGAUGAACACGGUCUUGAUCUGAUCUUCCUCUUUGACAGCUAUCUGGUGAUACCCCGAGUAGCAAUCGAGGAAACAGAGAAGGGUGCAUCCAGUUGUGGAGUCGAUGACUUGAUCGAUCCUAGGGAGCCCGAAGGGAUCCUUUGGACAGUACUUGUUGAGGUCUGUGUAGUCGACACAUAUCCUCCACUCAUUGUUAUUUUUCUUUCGUACCAAGACGGGAUUGGCGAGCCACUCUGGAUGAUAGACUUCUUAUGAAGCCCGCCGCGAGUAGUUCGGCUAGCUCUUUCUUGAUGGCUUCCCUUCUGUCUUGGGCGAAUCGUCGUAGUCAUUGCAUUUUUUGUGUAGCUUUUGGAUUCACGUUAAGUGAGUGCUCGAUCAACUCUUUGGGCAUCCCCGGCAUGUCCGCUGGUUUCCACGCGAAGAUGUCUCUGUUGGCCUAAAGAAAGCUGACGAGCGCGUUUUCCUAUUUAUGAUCCAGUCCUAUGCCGAUCGGGGCUAUUUUGGAGCUAUCACCAGUCUCAAGGUCAAUGGCUUUGAUGUAUACUUCACUUGCUGGCUUGACCUUGCUUGCCCCCUACUUCUUUUCUGGGAUUUCGAGCUCUGACAUGGACAGCUUCUUGGAUGCGGCGAAAACUUGCAUCAUCGAGUUUGGUACUUGGGUAGUUGCUACUAGCUCAACGGUUUCUGUGUCGCAGUCGUACAACCUCUUCAAGUCUCCACGCAGGGAGAGUACUCCCUUGGGUCCCGGCAUCUUGAGUACUAAGUAUACGUAGUACGGGAUGGUCAUGAAUUUGACCAAUACUAGUCUUCCGAGGAUGGCGUGGUACGAUGUUGUGAAGUCCGCUACCUCGAACUGGAUGUAUUCUAUCUGGUAGUGUUCUUUGGUCCUAAAGGUAACUGGCAAAACCAUCUGUCCAAGGGGUAUAGCCGCGUUGCCCGGGACGAUCCCAUAGAACGGAGAGUUCGUUGGGGUGAGCAUAUCGGUGACGUCGAGGCCCAUCUUCUUUAGUGUUUUGACGAACAGGACGUUGAAACCGCUGCCGCCGUCGAUGAGUACUUUAGUAAGUCUGGAGCUAGUGACAACCGGGUUUAGGACGAGGGGAUACCGUCCUGGAUCUGAGAAACUAGUCCAUUGGUCUCUGAUAAUGCGAUCGAGGAUUAUGGAGCAGGACGGCGUAGUCUACAAAGACAGGAAUUAGUCGAGGAUUAGAAAAGGAUUAGGAAAGUACUCAUUGUAAUAAGAGUAGAUCUCUUCUAGUCGUAUCCGACUAGUAUUCUUGUAACUAACUGACCUGAAACCCUACCUCCGGCAAUAUAAGGUGAGACAGGAACCCUCCAAAGCAAUUCAAUCCAACCAACACACAGGACGUAGGGUAUUACGCAAUCUAGCAUCUCGAUCCUAUCUAAAUCGUGUGUCUGUGUUUACCUUCGAGUUCCUAAUCUCGACAAGCCCUACUAACCAAAACAUUACCUCGGGCACCCCCCUCGGUAGGUUGCCGGGCCUAAACACCGACACUAACCUUUGCGCUUCAAAAAAAAGAACUAACUUUUGCUAUACAAAACAAUUUCUAUUGAAUAUUUUUGAUAAAUAAAGAGUAAAUUUCAUUAUGAUUUUUAUACUUCCUGCGUUCUCAUCCCAGUCCAGGUGCUCUCAAAACGCACAGUAGCAAUUCUUAAACUUGUCCCGCUUUCCAAUCACCGUUCCGAUACUCCAAAAAUGAAUUAAAAAACAUUGCCCUUAAACUUAUCGCGUGUUCUGGUUCCAUACCCUAUGCUCCCAAAAUGCAUUCAUACCUGGAUUCUUUUUUUUAUUUGUUUCAAACUUUUAAGGUUUUAAAGUAAGUUCGAAUCCCACUCAAACUUGAUCUGAAAUUUGUGAUUUGAAAAAAAAAAGAGCAAGACUUGGGCUAAUUUGUCGUCUCUAAGCGUGCAAACAAAAUCCCCGUUGAACCACGUCCACAGGUAGUGGUAGACCGACCCUGCAGAAGACCGAGGGAGGAUAACGACAGGUCGUUCCCUGACCAACUUUGAAACGGCUCGGCUCCGGUCUUAUCUUGUGGGCUACACGGUCGCGCUGCCGUGCCUGGCAGAUUUGCUUCACAGAAGCGUACGUGUGCCGGGCUGCCAGCUGGCCGCGCCUGGGAAUAAUGUUGCUGUAUAGUGCAGCGGGACGCUUGCCAACAAAAAUUGUAGUUUAUGCAGCGCUCCUGCAUUAUUUCAAAAAUUGUAGUUUAGGACAACGAGCUCGACCGCGACAUAGUAGGUAAAGUUUACGCUCGCAUAGUCGCAUUUUUUUUUUUUUGAGGGGGGCUCGCAUAGUCGCAUGGCCGGGUAUCAGGAAGGAAAUCGCCAAGGUCCGGCAAACACAAGGCUUUGGGCCUUCCCCAAUCCACCUUAUUAUAUCCUUCUAGUCCAUAUAAGGCCCACCUUUCCUGCACAUUUUGGCCCGCAUCUUUUUCAAAAACUUUCUGAUUUAAGGAAGAAAAAGAUCUGGGAAACACAUCCCUUCCGAAUUCCAGCCCCUGGCCUCGUCCGCCGUUUCCAAUCCAAAGUCUCCUUGCUCGCCGCCGGCGCCGGCCUUUCGCCGGACCGCCGCCGCCCCGCCCUAGACCGAACUGGAAGAAAGUAACCGUCCAGGGUGCAUAAAAAGGGCAACUUUUCUACAGCUUGCUCCGGCGUCGCUAUGUUGAGGUACCGCGGCCGCGAUCCCCCACCCAACCUCUCUUCUCUUCGCUUCUCCCUCCUCGACCUGCCGUGUAGAAAGGCAAGGAGAGUCUCGAUUCCGGUGGGCACACGGUUGUGGGCCCGUCGUGUGGCUUCGAUCUUGGAUCGGCCGUGGCCCGUGGUGCUGGUGGUUCUUGUGGUGUUGUUGGAUUGGUGGGGUUAGGGUUUCUUUCCCCGAUCUUUGUUCGUUUGUUUGCGGUACUCGCUGCCGUCUUAGCAUAAAAAUCAUGUUUAGAUCUUGCUAAAUUGCGUUAGGAGGAUUGGAAAAAUUCUCCCUUUUUUAUGCAUCGCAACUAAAUCAAGUUAUUUGGUCAUCUUGGAGAGAUGGCGUAGAUUAUCAAGAAGACAAUUGAUUCAGUGUUUUUGACUCGGAUUUGCAUAGUGGAGGAACCUGGAUUCAUAAGUAAUCAUUCUCUAUUUCUUGUGCUGUGUGCAGGUGGCUGAUGGUUUUCGAUCAUCAUUGACCGUUUGCAGGACAAAAUCCGUGAUUUGAUCUUAAUAAUUUCAUUUUGCAGUUGGAUCUCAUUGAUUUAUGUGCUUUACAUUCCUUCGGUCCCAGAACAUGGCACAAGCAUGUACUGUUUCGCAUGCUGAGAAUAAACGCAGUCUACCAGCAUGGAUGCUGAAAGCAAGCUCAGGUAAUGAAGUGCCAAAGACAGAAGACCGGAAUAGGCAAGCAUUGGAAUCUAACGUGAAAAUAGGGACUGUGGAUCCAACAAAACCUAUCAAAAGGAAUACAGGAAGGCGGUUAAAAAGUGUGGAUUCAGAGGGUGCUAGUGAACUGGUAGUUUUGCAGUGGUGUCAGGGUAAAGAAAAUGCCAGAAGAAAGAGCAAGGGUGCUGUCCAAGAUGUUGUUGAAGAAAUUAGGGAUGUACCUAUUAAGAAAGGAAGAAAAGUGAGCGAAGGAGCUGCUCCAAAGAAUAACAGGAAACGCAAACUAGAGAAUAUCAAAUCAGAAACAUCAUCACCAGUAUCAGUUGAUGAUGAUGUAGAGCUUACUGUGGAGGACCUCCUGAGCAUAGCUGAAGAGGUAAACAACAAUUCUCACUAAUUCAUACUUGCAACUUUAUGGGUAUUGUUAUGUAAUGGCCCUCUUUGAUUUGGCAAAUAUACGAUGGCUAUAUGACUUAUUUGAUCGUGUUGUUCAAGUAGAGGGUCUCUGAUUUUAAGUUGAUCACUUGUAAUGCCGAUAUGCAUUUGAUUAUUGACCUAGGAUGAGAGUUAUGUUGUGCGUUAACAUCAAUGUGAUCACAAUGAAUUAUUUUUACUCUAGCCUUCUUGAGUUGCCUAACAGGUACCUAAUGUUUCCUUGCUUUUUCUCUACCUAAAAAUGAGGCUAGUUUUAUUGUAAGAAUGGCAAGUUGGAAGGAGGUUAUACUAGUUCCAGGGAGGUUGACUGUUUGAUAGGAUCAUUUGGUAGAUUUUCCUGUUAUAUAUUCUUGGAGGAAAUGGCAGCGCAUAUUAUUCAUAUCAGAUAUGGAUAAAGUUGUUGUCUGGUUGCAUUUGAAUUGCGAAGGUGACCUAAUUUGUCUAGUGUCUUGAAACAUUCUUGUAUGCAACUCUCGGACCUAAGUAUGCGCAUGUAGAUGUACCCUUGUAGUCCUGGCCUCCUAGCGUUAGUCCAGAGACUUGGCUUAGCUUAUCAUAAUAUGACCUUUCUAACUUCUCUGCAAGAACUGGAAACUUAAAAAUGUGAUAUACUUAAGAUGUUAAUGACAUAAUUUAUUAGGUGAUAGAACUUUCUACUCGAUAGUUUACCCGACUUUGCUCCACUUCUCAUCUUGCAACAUAUUUGUGCAUGCUACACUAGUAUCUGCAACUGUAGCCAGAUACAUCUUUUUCAUUCAGUGCAGUUCUAAACUCCUAAUAAUAGUCAGACGUGGCUUAGCAUAAUAUUUCUAACUUCUCUGCAAAACUGAAGCUUAUGUUAAUCACAGACUUAGCGCUGAAUUUUCUUAGGUGACCAAUUCGGUUUCCUGAAUUCCUGACAGAAGUUUUAACUUGAAGAACUCUGCACAUGUGACGAUAUACUGAUACAGUUUCAUUUUACAGUAUGUAAAUGCUGAUAAACAGAAGCAGCAUGAAUUUGAAGCCAUGAAGACUAACAGACGCAAAGAGAAUUUCUCAUGUCCAACUGAGGCAGGCACAGGAGUAUCAGCAGUCAAUGAUCCACCAAAGAAGGGAUUGUUGCAGUGCACAACAGCCACAAGAAAUACAAGAUCGAGUGAGCAUACAGAGGAGAACAAGAGCCAUCAAGAGCUGCAAUGUUCGUCAAGAUGCGAAACGACAGAAGAUGUUGCUCAGGAUAUGCUAAACCUGUUUCUCGGUCCUCUAUGGAGUAAGCCUGCAGGCUUUUCAAAAAAUUCUGAGCCUGUAGAAUCAAUAACUAGGAAUACGAAUAAUCAUAUGCCAGAGGAGACAGACUGGCAUAGCGAAGUGCAAACGCAGGGGGAACCAGUGAAGAAAUCCAUGCUGACUGCAACUAUAAAUCAUGUGCCAAAGAAGAAAGGCUGUUGUAGCGAAGUGCCACCACAGGGGGAACCAAUGAAGAAAUCAAUGCUGACUGCGACCAUAAAUCAUGUGCCAGAGAAGAAAGACUGGCGUAGCGAACUACCCAAGCUGGGGGAACCUGUGAUAACAAAGAAAAAGAGCAGCUUGAGAGAUAAGGUGGCCUUGUUUCUUUGACUACAUCUGAUGGUUCUGAGCGUGUACAUUGCCUGUAAAUAUGCCCCUAUCCCACGGGAUUUUAUUUCACAUAUAAUUAUAUUCUUUGGUUAAUAAGCUGGCUUCUCGAUAAUGUAAGCCCGACCUCUUGGAUGUAUUGCUCUUCCACGUUUGUUGGGAUGGUAUUCUUAUGUGAGAAUAAAGGAUAUUGGGUCCAUUUUCUGUUGUUGGAGUACGUCGAAGUAUAAACUGUGCCCGUGCCCAGCAUGCAGCUACCAUUGUAACAUCUCAUGUAAUCGUUACAUGUUCCGGCCUUCAGUUUGAAGAUCUUACCAUAUAGAGCUGCAUAGCUGACGUACGAACUGCAAAGUGAACUUCAUCAAACAAGGAAACCGCAGCAAGGAGAACUUCACUAGUUUUAAGGCUUUUUAAGGAUUUCAUGCUGUCGUUGGCAUUGUAAAGAUGGCACCCAUGCCACGUCCGCAUGGCUUUUUUUCAUUGGACUUGUUGUACAGGCUACCCUGAGAAUGUUUUUGUUUCAAGCUCAAAUGUUCGCCCCGCACAACACGAUAAUCAGCUUGCUAUUUCAGGGCGUGCCGCUCGGUUAAUUUAGUACUGUAAAAUGAAUUGCAAUAAACAGUAUGCGAGGCGUAGGCCAGGCUCGGUUCAGCUCGAGCUGAUGAUUCCCUGCUUGUAUCGCUCGCGAGCUCGAGCUGAUGAACUCCAGAGUAACGACGAUUGGACACAAAGGGCAGGAACAAGAUAGUAAACGCUCGACCAUCGAUGGAAUUGUUGCAGUGCACAACAGUCAGAAGUUCCGAACAAAUUGAAGACCAAACGAGCAUGGAGAAGACGAAAGCAAGAUCCAGAAAGAACUGCAGUGUGCAGCAAGGGUAGUCGAAACAACAGGCAAUGUUGCUCUGAAUAUGCUAAACCUGUUUUUCGGUCCCCAACAAUUACAAAUCAUGUGACAGAAGAAAGACGGCCAUAGUAAAGUACAACGGCAGGGGGAAACUUGUGACUGAAAAAGAAGAGCAGUUUGGAUGAGGUUUGGUUCGGCUGUCUUCUCAACAAAUAUUUUGUGAACCUCAGAGCAAAAAUGCACUAACCAAAACAUAUUAGAAGAAUAAUUCUCGGUACAUUGCUCUGUUAAUAUUAUAAAAUUGCAGAAUAAAAUCACUGUAUUCGUCCAAUUAGCCAGGGCUCAAAGAUAUCCCAAAUGAUAUAAUGUUAAUUAGAAAAUGAAAAAUUGGUCAAACUGUUAAAGCUCCAUCUACUCUCUCAAGGCCCCGAACCCAAUGCCAUAGGGCCCAUAAAAACAAGGAGCUGGGCCUCGGCAAGAAAACCAGAGUUCUCUCCUUCUCACCCAAGGCCCGCAUGCCACUCCACCUUUGGCAUCCUUUUUCAUUUUUCUAUUAAUUUCAAGAAGGAAAAAACAAAUACCGAGCUCAUUUUUUAAUUUUACACUUGUUACGCAUUUUUUUUUGUUUCUACACAUAUUAGCAGCGUUGAUGAAUCAACUCGCAAAAUCAGUGAUUUAAUCUGAUUCCCCUUCCAAAGUUAUACCCUAAAAUUUGGCAGAAACUUACAGGGCCCACAGUUUAAUUAGCCCGAAGUGACCGCUGACCACCGACUGGAUCGACCUGAGACUGGAAGAACGAAAGCCACCAAACAGGCGAGCGACCACGCACCCGGCACCCGGCAGGCCGGCACCCGAAGCCGAGCACGAGCCGCCCUCCACUCCCGCACGAGGCAGAACCCGCGGCUCCCGUCCAUCACGAAUCGGACGGUGCUGAUCGCCCCAAGGUUAAAACCCUAAACUAGAAAGGGGCUUGCAGUGGCAGCCAGCCAGCCAGCCUCCCGAGCCCUAUCCUUUUCCCCUCCUCCCCCGGGUCCUCUCCCCCCACUCCUCUCCUCUCUCCUCCCCUCACCCGCGCCGCCGCCGCCGCCGUAGCCGCCGCCGCGGCUUCCCCUCCUCCCCCGAGCCAAGGUGAGCUACCUACCACCCCGGUCCCGUGCAGUAGCGACGGUAACGUGACUACCUUCCUUCCUUCCCGCAUCGAGGACUAGCUGCGUUUUGCUUGAUUUUGUUCGGCCUAGGAGCGGCUGGAUCUGCACGUCUAGCCGGGCUACGUGCACGUGGGUUUGGAGGAUUUGAGUUGUAACCGAAGGCUAUCGUCUGGGCUGUUUUGUUGGUUGAUUUGUGGUCGGAGCUAGCGGGGAAGCACUAGGGCUUGGUGGUUCCCAUUUUUACUAGAUUUGCGGUAUUGUGGUAGGGGAAAGGGGUUAGCUUGUUCCGUUUUGAUUAGGUGAUAUGAUGUUUGGUAGCAGCAGGCCAGCAGCCGUCUCAGAUUAGGUUGUGUUGGGCCAUGUAAGUAGUCAUUGAUUGAUUUUUCAUACUGUGGGAGUAAUACUGUGGUAGCAUUUUUGUGCUAGGUAACAGCUGCAUGGAUACUUCUAGUAAAUGAAUGAGCAGUUAGCUCCAGGGAAGUUAGAUUAAGAACAUAUUUUUGCAGUGGCUCAGCAGAUGUUUUCUUUGUGGCUUCUCCCGUGCAGUUGCAAACUGCCUCCGCCAUGUCAGCUGCCUUUGUAUUGAUGAACUAGCUAGGAUGCAUGCUGUUGGUUGUUUGAACUGGUUUCCCUGUUUUUCGGUUCUGUGUAUCGUUACUUAUUUAUGUCACGACAUGACGUUGUAAUUGGUAGAUUUCUUUAUUUCUUCCAUGCAGCUGUUGUGGCAUUAAUUGUCUGAUUAUGCCUUCUGUUUGCGCUUAUGUUUUCUGCAAGCGCUUUCCGUUACUUCUUCGGUGCACUUGAACUACAUGUUGUACUUAGUGUGUCCUGGCCACUGCCUGAUUUUUUUUUUUUUUGUCUCACGUGCAGAUGGAUGUUGAAAAGCUCAAGAGGAUGGCAGGUGCCGUGCGCACCGGGGGGAAGGGUAGCAUGCGCAGGUGCUUAUUCUUCUCCUAGACUUAUUCAUGAUGAUGUUUUAACAGUUGUGCAGAAUUGUGCUUUUUGUAUUAGUUCCUUUACUUUGUGUUCGCACAUGCAUUUCUGUUACUUUCACAACCUGUUCACAUUGACUUAUGUGGUGCAAUUAAUCAUUUGUUUAGCAAGAUUAUUUGUGCUGAUUACCUUUAUUUAUGUGUGCUUGUUAUUCUUACCAUGAAUGCACUUGCCUUCUAUCAUUUCUUACCUAUGAUACUGUCAGAAGACUUGUGCAAUUUAUACUGGUAUAUAAUCUGCUAUGAUCUAAAACUAUAGGCGAAUGACAUUAUAUUAGUUCAAAUCAUGUGCAAUUUGCUGCAAAUCAGCACCUAUGCAUGCUGGUGCUGUCAUAUAUGGUAUGGUACCCAUGAUGUUUUAUAAUUUAGCAAUGCUAGCAGGCUAGGAACCUCAUGGAUUGUACUUAUAAUGAGUUUUGAUUGGUGACAGGAAGAAGAAGGCAGUCCACAAGACUACAACCACAGAUGACAAAAGGCUUCAGAGCACCCUGAAAAGAAUAGGAGUGAACACCAUCCCUGGUAUUGAAGAGGUGAACAUCUUUAAGGAUGAUGUUGUCAUUCAGUUUGUGAAUCCUAAAGGUGAGAUACCCUAACACCAAAAUGUCAGCUCUGCAAGACUAGCUUUCCACUUCCUGUUCUUUUUUUCCCUAACAUUUGGUUUUUUGGUUCCCCACCAGUGCAAGCUUCAAUUGGUGCUAAUACAUGGGUGGUCAGUGGAACUCCACAGACAAAGAGUAUGUUCUUCGUGACUUGCCUUAUUCGCUUAGCUAGCUUCUGUUAAUAUGCUCUUUAUAGCCUAUAUUGUUCCUUCUGUUGUGUGCUGGCUUUCUACUUAACUAGUUAUCAGAGAUGUCUUGUAUUCACUGUCACAUCGGCAGCUGAUUCUGUGUUACACAUGCCUUUCGUCAAUUUUAAUUUUACAAGGAAAAAUUAGUUAUGAACUUCUUUGUGCUAGAUUAACAUUAGAGUAUUCUCAUGUUUGCAUAUUCUUAUUUGAACAGAGCUGCAAGAUCUGCUUCCAUCAAUCAUCAAUCAGCUUGGUAUGUUUCUCUUCACCUGUUGAGUUCAAACUUCAAAGUCAACAGUACUGUCUACAUGUCCCUUCUUGUUCAUGGUGUCCCCACCAUUUUUCUAUUAACUUGCGAAUUGCUGAGAUCUCCUAUGUAGUUAUGACUUAUGAGCACCUUUAAUUGUUCCUCCUAUUCAGGUCCUGACAACUUGGACAACCUGAGGAGGCUUGCGGAGCAAUUCCAGAAGCAGGCCCCUGGAGCUUCAAGCGCUGAGGCUGGUGCCAGCGCAGGUGCUGCUCAGGAUGAUGAUGACGACGUUCCCGAGCUUGUCCCUGGAGAGACAUUUGAGGAGGCCGCUGAAGAGAAAAAGGAGUCCUCAUAAUUUUGCUGCGUGCCUGCUGUUGUGAAGGGUUUAUAAGUGUCAAGCAUUACCAUGAGAAAAAGACAUCCUGUUGAGAACUCUGACCUACCUUAUUUGUGCCCGUGGUCCGGUUUUGUCAUGCACGAGAACUUGGUCGGAUGUGUCGGUGGGAUUUUACAUGAAGUAUGCCUCUUUUUUCUACCCAUAUCCUCGUUGCUUUGUGUGCUUCUGUACCAUUGCCCUGGUAUUAUGACGUGUUAUUGUUGAAGUCUUCCCGAUGGUUAAUGUCUCACUCCAGCCAUGGUUUCAUGAUUCAUGGAGAUGAGAUCAUGAGAUACCGUACAAUACCAGGGAUCCAGCUCACCCUAUUUUUUUUUUUUGAAAAGGAGGAUCCAGCUCACCUGUCAACUGUUAUUUAUUUAUCUCGGCUGCAGGAAAUUUCUCUUGGUUUCAUGCGUCUAUCCCUUAUCUGGUUGAUGAACCUGCUUCAAGUAGAUGUUACUCUACUCCUACAUGUACUCGCGUUGGAGUUUGAUCUAAGAUUUGUGCCUUGAUAUGUCUGAAACUUUAAGGUUAGCAUAGACUGUAGCCGCAGGAAUAUACCCAAAUGCAAGACCGCCGCGCUAGCCGGGCUCCCUUAUCUUGUUGACCGACCACACAGGUCUGAUCGUCCAGAUAGAUCUUGGCAUGCUGAAGAUGAAGUCAGCCAGAGAUGGGCUAGUUUAGCAGGAUUCCGGCUCCUCUAAAAAUGGCUCCGGCUCCUCCUUUUAGAAAAUCGUUUAGCAAAACAGCUCCUCCGUGUAGUUUAAAAUGGUUAGAUAAGAUAUGAAAUACCCAUAAUAUCCUUUCUUUUUCCUUUUCUUUUUUUCCUUCACCUUUUCUUUGUUUUUCUUUUCCUUUUCUUUUUUCCUUCAACGGCGUGUAGUUUAAAAGUGACGCGGGAACGCGUGCGGAGGGGUGAAAAGCGGCGCGGGACUGUUGUGACGUGAGGCAAAAAGCAGGCGCAUGUGGGACGGAGCUGCCGGAGCCAAAAAUUCCGACUUCAUGCGCCCAAUUUAAAAAGAGCUCCGGCUCCGAAGAGCUCCUCCAUUAAAGCCAUUUUAUUUUUAUGCGUUUGGCUCACUCCGGCAAAAACGACUCCACGAGCUGUUUUUGGAGCUCUACCAAAUGGGGACCAUCAAAAUGGAGAUGGUGCUGUCGUCAUUCCUACCAAUCUGUUAUUAGGUCCGUGCUGGGUGAUGCCAGUGCCAUUGCCUCUCUCCCGACUCCCGCGGAUCACCGGAUCACUCCGUUGCCGCGGGGCGGCGUUCCGCGAGGAAGUGGCGUGUUCGUCCCAAGUUCGUGGCUGCAGAGGCGGAAAGAGACAGCAGUUCGGCCGCACCCCUUGCCGGCGGCGGCGGCGGCCAAGGUUGGUAGGCGGACGGAUCUUACCGUCAACUAGUAGUAUUAUCCAUGCGCCUACCAUUCCCAGGUGGUGUCGUGGUGACAUGGUGCUAGAGGUUUUGCCGCUCUCGAUGUCGUGGCAAUCAAUUCGGCGGCUGCGGCUUCACAGUUAGGUUUGGUCGCGUGCUCUGUGGCCGGCGGCCGGGCGUUAGGCGAGUUCCCUGCCCUGAGCGUAACGUGGCGACAGGUACACGUGUGCUGAUCAAUUCCCUUCGCCUACGCUGUCGCGCGCUCGGCGCCAUCUCUCUCCUUCUUCGUCGUCUCCAGAAAUACUCGUGUGCAUAUUGUAAUCCGUUCUGGCGGACGGGCUCACGUUGCUCGCUAUGCGUCUGUGGCUUUAUGGUCUCCGAUACCACGCAUGUGCUCGGGCCAUGUCUUCGAGGACUCCGUCCCGUCCCCUGCAUACGCACGUACCUGGUGUAAUUCUUAACGAUCCAACUAUCCAAGCACGAGGCGAUACACCUCUCUGAUCAUGCUCCUGUUUGUGAACGCGCGCCCUAAUGCCCUAUACACCAGAUCGAGUAUAUAGCCCAUUUUUCUCUAGCGCAACCCUGCUGCACUUUUCACAUGCCUGCAGAUCGAUCGGCAACACGAGCAAGGUGAAACGGAUGAGCAGACCCGAUCAAGGACCAAACCUCAACUUUGAUCCUUUGAUUAAUCGAUCGACCUUGUUGACGCCAUCUAUCUUCUUCCAAUAAAAUCGCUGAUCUCACCCUUGAGAAUCUGCCGACGUAUCAGAAAUGAGACGUCCAAUAAGAACUGCGCGCCCUCUGAAAGUUCCAAAUCGCGCGGUUGACGGUUCUCGCCGUUUGGUUUGCCGACUUGUCGUUGAAACAAACCUGCCGAGACGUCUGCAUGCGUCCUAAAUAGAGCGCAAAUUUAAAAGGAGGUGUGGCUUCACCAAUUGACGCGUUGAUGUUGAAACCAAGUCCAAAAAAGUUUGCCUUUCAAAAGAAUGGGUCCAAACACUUGAACCGUUCAUGAGCACGCAUAUGCACACGCCCGUGACCGUGAGGUUGGCCAAGCGUACGCGAGCUUCACUCCUCGAAUUGAAAUGGUCGCGACUGUCGAAUUAGCGUCCAAGUCUCAACAACUGUGGCUUACAAGCGAGGACGGUUGUCACGGUUCGGUGAUGCGCCGGGGGAAAAAGGAAAAAAGAAAACUCAGUGGUCAGUAUCAGGUCAAACGCAUGAGCAUGUGAGGAAGCACGAGCUGAUGCAGCACCGUGUUAAUCUCCUUGAAAUAACCAUUGACUUGAUGUGUUUUAGUUAUGUGAGUCGGGUAAGGCACGGGCUUGCUUUCACAAGAUGCACGAACAGCCAAUUUUCUUCAGACUAAACUGUAAACUCACAGCUCCAAAAGAAAAAAAAAACAGAGCGGAAGAAAUGGGCUACUUGUUCAUAACUGCAUCGGCAAUCAUUCUUCUUUGAUACAAGUGUCUUCACCGCACACUGCACUGAUGCUUAUAGGUGCGUAUACACUUGAAGGAGUCAGCACCGUUUCAACGGGGACCAAAUGGCACAGGAAACCGGAUAUGGGUCCAGCAGGCCACGAGCCCACGACGCGCUCUGAAUUUGGCGCGUUUGUUUAUCCUUUUCUCUUGCAACCGCACGCAUUUGUUUAUCCGCUGGUGUCGGAAGGGUCGAUACUUCGGCGGGCAGGCGUGGGGCUAUAUCCGGGAGGAUCUGAAAGUGACAGCGAUCGGAGCUUCCUUUCAGGCCUUCGCUUGGCGCUUGACCGGCAAACCCGAUGCAGCGAGAGUGCGAGACCGUCCCGUAGCGACUUGUUCGUUCCUAGCGUGAAAACGACUAGGAUUCGUACUCAGGCUCUCGGACAGACACGCCGGUUUUCUUUCGUCCGGCAGUGGAAACUCUGACGAAGCUGCUCGAAUCUUGACGGUUUCGAUGGCAUACGAAAAGAUCUCGUAGUACUAGUAUGCUGCUAGUAGCCUCUCCUCUCUCCGGCCGUAUCCGUUGUGUGUCAGCGUCCGUCGCGUGACUCGGAGAGAUCUGCCCGUACCAGGCGCCAGCGUCUGACGGCGGCUUGAAUUCCACAGCCAAAGUCCGCCGCGCCACAUAGUACCAGUCUAUGGUCUAUACAUACGAAGUCAAAGGUCAGGCGUAUACAGACCGUAGCACGUCGCUCGGCUCAGUGGCUCCAAUCCCGCCGCGUACGGCGGCGAGACCCGAGGCCAGGAACCCGAGCCGUGCCGUGCCGGCGCCGGCCGGACCCGGACGCGGCAGCGGCGCCGACCGCCCCGGAAAACGAAAGGAACCCACCGAGAUCGCCGCGCCAGUCACACGGCCCGGGAGUCGCUCGGUUCGGCACUUGGGGAGUUGGGUGGCUCGUCCUCGGCGCGGCGGCCUCACGCUCCGGGCCUGACUGACCGACCGGCCGUUGAACACUUCGCGGGAGCGGACGCACGCACGCACGCCGGGCCCCGCGCGUCAGGGACCUGCCUGUGGCAUCGCCGCAUCGCCCCCCGCGCGCACCGCGUCCACGCUCGGACCCCGUCGUGGGCGCGGCGCAUCCCGCGGCGGUUCUUAAACCCCCCGCCAGCCGCGCUCGCCUCGCCGCUGAGAGCCUGAGACCAAAUCCCAAAUCCCGUUACGCAGCCGGACCACCACACACAAAUACCGUUGCCGUCCCGUCCCCUCGCGCUCGGGUCCGUUCCUUCGUAAACCCAGUCCGGGAGGAGCGCCAUGGGAGAAGAGACCCUCGUGGCCAUGCCGCUCGCGCCCCACCACCACCACCACGCCCGCCUCGAUGCGCUCCCACACCACGUCGCCCCCGCGCCGCCGCCGCAGCAGCAGGCGCCUCCGCCGGAGCCAACCGUCGCGGACAGCAAGGAGGAGGAACGGGAUCGUGGCGUCGUCGAGCCGCCGGCGCCAGCCCCGCGGCCGGAGACCCCGCCGUCGCCCGGGCUCGCCGCCGCGGCGGGCGCCGGCGAGGUUGGGGACGUGUACUACGCGCGCAGGAUGCUGCAGGGCGCGGUGCUGCGGCCGCCGCCGCACCUGCCGCAGCCCGAGGCGCCGCCGGGCCUGGCCAGGGCGCUCUCCGCGCCCGCGCCGCACGGCUACGCAGAGGAGGAGGCAGAGGAAACAGAAGCGGGAGGGAGACAGAGGCCCGUGGACCGGUCCGCCUCCGCGAACUCCGCCGCCGCCGCCGUCGCCGUGGACGUGGCGUCCAUCGGGCGGUUCCUCCGCGACCGCCGCGCCGUGCUGUCCUCGGCCAUCACCCGCCGCAUCUCGUCGCUCAAGGAGUCCUCGGCGCCUCCCGCCGCGGCCGACACCUACGGCGUGCAGGAGAUCCACCUGCCCAACGUGAAGGUCACGGUGCGCCUCAAGGACGCGAUCGCCGCCGAGGACGACGACAUCUCUCUGGCUGACAGCAACGACGACGGUGGGUACUCCUUCUCGGGCGGCCACAUCAAGGGCCGGGUGAGCUUCUUCUCCCGCUCGGGCUGCCGCGACUGCGCCGCCGUGCGCGCCUUCUUCCGGCAGUCCGGCCUGCCCUACGUGGAGAUCAACCUGGAUGUGUUCCCGGAGCGCGAGGCCGAGCUGGCCUCCCGCGCGGGCGCCGCUGCCCGGGUGCCCCAGAUCUUCCUCAACGAGAAGCUCCUGGGCGGGCUCGUCGUGCUCAACUCCCUGCGCAACAGCGGCGAGUUCGAGCGCCGCGUGCGCGACCUCGCGGGCCGGCGGUGCCCCGACUCGGCGCCCCGGAUGCCCGUGUACGGGUUCGACGACGACGCCGGCGGCAAGGAGGGGGAGGAGGCCGAGGACGCCAUGGUGGGCGUCGUGAGGGUGCUGCGGCACCGGCUGCCGAUCCAGGACAGGUUCGUCAGGGUGAAGCUCGUGAAGAACUGCUUCUCCGGCGCCGACAUGGUCGACGGCAUCGUGAACCAUCUGGAGUGCAGCAGGAAGAAGGUGAGUCGCCGUACAUCCUAGAUUGCCAUUGCUGCUGCUUCAUCGUUUGACUUUUUACUCGUUGGGUGCUUCGGUGCAUGCUGCUUGAUCUUUGUUUAUGCAUGGAUGAAUAGUGGUCGUGAACUAGUAGUUAAUAUAAGGGGCUUGAUUUGGGAAUAGUUGACGGGUGUAGGGGGAGAGUGUCAUUUGUUCCCAUUAUAAUGCGUUAGCAUUAGUAAUUUCUUUUAUUCGGCUUCUGCCGUGUUGGAUACAGUAAGUUUAAGAUAGGCAGACCUCAUAUCGUCUUGGGCUGAUGGGAUUCUUCGGAGAACCUCAUCGUGCUAUUUUUUUCGAAUCAAACACGGCUUAGUUUUAGGAGUAGUAAAUAGAGUACAUUUAAAUGCCUUCUGAUAUAAAAAUAUAAAUAAACAGUUUAUCUGUAUGGAGGGGGCAAUGCAAAAUGGCAAUUAGGCAUGAUGGCCAACCAGAAUUCAAUGCUCUUAAGUUAGGCCAUGUAUGGCAUCUCAGGGCAACAAAAAUGCAAAAGAAAACUCAAGCAUGUCGCGGCAUUUCUAGUUAGGCUUGCAUUUUUAAGAAGCUGCAAGCACGCACAGGCAAAAGAAAGUGUAGAAAAUGCAAAAGUAAUAUUAACCCCUUAAGCCCAUGGCUCCUUAAGUUCCAAAUAAAAUUGUACAAAAUGGAUCGCGGAAAUGGGAUGUGUCGGCGUCGCUCCAUUCAGGAUUGAGGCCCAGUGCUGUUCCAAAUAAAAUUGAAAACCAUGCGGGGGUGGGAAAAUGGAUCGAUGAUGGAAAGAAGUCAAGAACGAGAGAGAUCAUCACACGGCCAUACGAAAUACGGAGAAAGCGAGGGGCCCGGGCGCAAAACUCGCCCUGAGAUCGCGUCACGUGCGGCGGGCGUGUGGGGGAGCGUUACGUGCUGCCGUGCCGAACCGGUCCGCGGGUCCCCCCCCCCAAACCCAAUCGCCCUGCCCGCUCGGCCUGGUUUUCCCGCGGCGCAACCGCAAGGUGCGGGGUGGGCACUGGGCAGCAGAGGCGACCGGAACGGAGCGGCGCGGCGGGGGAGACACCGACACCCGCAUGGCAUGAUGGCGUGAUGACCGAUCGAUUCGUUCGGCUGGUUUGGUUCGUUGCGGCCGGGCCCCACCGGCGCGAAACCGCCCCGUCGAUCGCGUUCGCGUCCGCGCCUCGCGCGCGCACGCCUUGACCAAUUCUGCCACCCCGGCCCAACCAUUUCCAAUCCCAUUUUUUCGCCGAUCGCCGGUGAAUGAUCGUCUCGUACGAUACGAUACGAGAGAUGGCUCCAAGGCGCCCCCGUAGACGUGGCUAGGUGCAAGUCGGGUCCUGAUCAUAUCAUCGCAUGCGGAUGAUGGGAGCCGGUCGGUCGUGCUCAACUGUACAAGUGAGAUUGUGUGCCGACCACGUUGCUUUCCAGCCUUGGAGUACAAUUGUUACUACUCACGCGGUCACCAUGACACGAUCCGACCUUCGUGAGUACUACUACCCCUUCUGAUUGGCCUACGUGCUAGGAGAAGAGAGGAUUUUAUUCCCUGCACAAAUCUUCUUCGUACUAAGAUUGUUUUUUCCACGCCUGCUUGACCUAAUCUUUGAAUGAGUGGGAAUAAAUUGUUCUAUCAGAUCAUGAGUAGGAACUAUGAACGUGAUUGGGGUGGUGAUUCGAUUACGUGACAACUGGGGGGCAAAAAAGGUUAAACUGCUGAAAUAGAAGGCUGGGACUUACGAUUUGCUCUUAUGAGUCUUAGUGGAUGAACGGAAAGCAGAGGCCAAUAAGGUCAUCGAGUCGCUGGUGCUUAAGCACCGGCCCAACAAUUGAUCGGGUGGGUGGGUUCCGGUCCCCUAAUUUUCCUCUACGAAAUUUGACUUCGGCUCCGUGUUGCCGUCCCUGUCCUAUCUAGUCGCUGUCAUGGUUGCAUCCGCACCACCUGACGGAUUUUUCGGCGUGCAGAUUCAGAGUGUGGUGGACGAUGAACUUGAAUAGUGUAGUUUGUCUUUCGUCCUUUUUAUUAUCAUCAUGGUUUUGGAUAAGAACCUUUGGUGCUAAGGUUGAAGGCGUCGUUCACGAAUCUUGUGGGUUGAUUUCGUCAGCAAGUUAUCUUCUGGUCUGAAGAACUCCAUUGCAUGUUUUUAUCAAACCAAAUUAGACAGGAAGCAAAUUAGCUGCUGGCCAAAGCCUCAUCUUGGCUGACUUGUAAGGGUAGGAUCAGGCGACAAUGAGACCGUCCACUGUUCUUUGCACAUUAACAACUGUCAACUGACGGUUAAGACGGUUAACUGACCAAGGGAAAACCCUACGUGUCUCCUCUUUUUCUAUCCCCAAAAAACUGGCCAAAAAGGCUCAACCGUGCGCAUACUGAAUGUCUUGGUGCAGCCAUAUUCUCGUGCUGAAUGAUGAUCAUCCACUGUCUCUGCACCCUUGAUCUAAUAUUAGAGUAGCAACUGACAGCUACGCAACUGUUGUUUGUAGGCGGUGGAGAUAGGAAAGGAGCUCGCGAGAAAGCACUUCAUCCACCAUGUCUUCAGGUCAGCGCACCAUCCAUCCAUAGCAGUUACUGUACCAAACAUUCAGCUCGCGACCUGCUCUCGCAAAUUGCAACGUCAUUCAGCUCACGGGUCCAUGAUACCGUGUUGCGUGCAGGGAGAACGACUUCGAAGACGGCAGCCAGAACCUGUACCGGUUCCUGGAGCACGACCCUGCCGUCCCCAAGUACUACAACUUCCGGGGCUCCACCAACGACGGCGAGCCCAAGCCGGCGGCCGCCGUCGGGCACAGGAUGACCAAGAUCAUGCUCGCCAUCCUGGAGGCCUACGCCUCCGACGACCGCCGCCACCUCGACUACAGCCGCAUCGCCGCCAGCGAGGAGUUCAGAAGGUGGGAAAUGCAUGCAGCGUGAUCUCGCAGCUCUGCUUGCGCUACUCAGAAUCUCAGGAUCACGUCAGUUCAGGCAAUGUCAGUGGGUUACUAACGAUAUAUCCUUUUUGGUGUGUCAGGUACGCGAACCUGGUGCAGGAGCUCCAGCGGGCGGACAUGACCGCGCUCCCGGCGGAGGAGCGGCUGCCGUUCUUCCUGAACCUGCACAACGCCAUGGCCAUCCACGCCGUGAUCCGGGUCGGCCAGCCAGGGGCCGUCGACCGGCGGCCCUUCUUCUCCGACUUCCAGUACAUCGUCGGCGGGCAACCCUACUCCCUCGCGGCCAUCAGGAACGGCAUCCUCAGGGCUAACCGGCGGCAGCCAUACACGCUGGCUAAGCCGUUCGGCUCCAACGACAGGAGGCUCGAGGUACGUGUGCGGUCCAUUCAGUUCAGUUGCCAUCAGCGCUGCAGCUCUGCAAUGCUCCGUUAGGUGUAAUCACCCAUCAGUAAUCAUCGGUGCACUGAAUAAUCGUGCAGCUCGCGCAACGGAGGGCGAACCCGCUCGUGCACUUCGCUCUGUGCGACGCGACGCGGUCGAGCCCGAUCGUUCGUUUCUACACGACGCAGAGCGUGGAGCCGGAGCUCCGGCACGCGGCCAGGGAGUUCUUCCUCCACGGCGGCGUGGAGAUCGACCUGGAGAGCCGGACCGUCCACCUCACCAGGAUCGUCAAAUGGUAAGAGCUCUGCACUUCUCUUUGGCAGGUCGCUCUGCUUCAGUUCAUGCUCAGAUGUCACAACAGACAGCUAGUUUGCCCAUGGGUUCGGUGGGCAGCUCUUGUGAUUUCAUUUCAAGAAGAGAUUGGGAUCAUUCAUGACCGAUGUGGUGUUUUUCAGGUACAGCGCUGACUUUGGGCAGGACAGGGACAUUCUCCGGUGGCUCCUCAACUACUUGGACCCGACCAAAGCCGGGCUCCUGACGCACCUCCUGAACGAUGGCGGCCCGAUCAACGUCUCCUACAUGAACUACGACUGGUCUCUGAACGUCUGAGCAGAAUCCACCCGGCGAAGUCUUCUUGUCCGUACAGUUGGUAAAGCCUUGUGGCCUUGUGGGCGUGCCACGACCCACGAUACAGUCAGAGUUGCAGUCAGUGGGAUUAGCAAUUGGCCAAUGGCCAAUAGGGCGAAUCACUGAGCAUAGAUUGCAUCAGGAUAUGGAGCUUAAUCGGUAAGGGAGCGUGGACAUGUAUAUAUAGCAUUGUGAACUCCGAUAGGGAAAGAAAAAGAGUAGGUUUACGCGGGGAAAUGGUGAAGAGGUGUAUGCAUUUUGUGUCGCAUUGUUCGUAUUGAAAAGGUGUAUGCAUUUUGGUAAUGGUGAAGUGACGCAGAACAUUUUGAAGUUUGAUGAUGUAUGUAUGUGCAUUUAAGCUUUCACUUUUUUUUUUUGGGAAUCGAAGUGUUGGAGUUCUAUCAAAUAUGUGUACACACCGUGCGAAUUACUAUACCUCGCAUAUAUUUUACUUUUUAUUAAUGACUGCCUCCAAAUAGAAUCUAAAAUGCAUGAGCUUAUGAGCAGAUAAAACUAAGGGAGUGUUUGGAUCUUUAGUCCCGACUAAAAUUCAUGUCACAUCGAAUAUCCGGAGAUUAAUUAGGAGGACUAAACAUGAGCUAAUUAUAAAACUAAUUAUACAGAUGGAAGCUAAUUCGUGAGACGAAUCUAUUAAGCCUAAUUAAUCCAUCAUUAGCACAUGUUUACUGUAGCAUCACAUUGUCAAAUCAUGGACUAAUUAGGCUUAAUAGAUUCGUCUCGCACAUUAGUCUCCAUCUGUGCAAUUGGUUUUGUAGUUAGUCUAUGUUUAAUACUCCUAAUUAGUAUCUAAAUAUUCGAUGUGACAUGAAUUUUAGGAGCUCCUAGAGAACCAAACACCCCCUAAGUACUUGUGGGUCCCCUUUGGCACACCUUGUGCUGACUCGGGCUUUAGCAUUCGGUACUGUUGCGUGAAGCAGAUCGAGAAAGAAAAUGAAUUAAGGGAAGGGUGAAGCCGGUGAAGCUAGUUUUUUUUACUUCACCGGCUUUCUGCUACAAAUAUGCUACAGUGCAGAAGCCAAAGCACCCGUAAGCUGUGCUAAAGGGGACUGUAGUUGUAGACCAUGAGUCGAGCACCAUGUACUCUCAGGCUUAGAAUAGAUUUUCACCCCUACUAUGUUUUUUUGGAGUGGUUGUAUAUAUGCAAUUGUUCUCAGCUCAUGUUAUAUAUUUUUAAAUGAUUUAUAAAGGAAGCGAUGAGGACCACUAGGUUGUAUUUAUAAAAGAACAAUCAAGUCGGCACAUAAAAACACUGAAAAUGUCAUGUGCAGAAAUCAUAGGGAGUGAGGAAAAGGAGACGAGGGGGAUGGAGAUGGUGAUGGUAGGGUACUAGGUUGCUUGGGAGCAGCUAUGGAGGAUGGCAGCUGCCCUAGGGUAGGGGGACAACGAUGAUAGUGAACAAAAAACUAGGAAGAAGGAAAAAUUAAACUAAUUGACUUUACCCAUAGGACACAAUAUAUUGAUUAUUAAUAAAUAUAAUCCGAUUUAAUUACAUCCAUAUACUCAAAUAAUAUAUUCCUAAAUUUUUAUCUUUGUGGGGGCCUCUCCAGUCUAAAUAACUAAUCGGACAAUUGUUUUGACACUUCCAACAGCCUUAACUUUUUAAACAAUUAUAUAUUUCCUCCAUCCCAAAAAGAAUACUGACUCUAGCUAUGAAUCUGUUUAAGCACUUGUUCACGUUCAUGGUCAUAAUUGCAUUCUUUUUGGACGGAGUGAGUAUUUCUUUUUAAUGCAACAAAAUAUCCGUAUUAUGAUGCCAGAAAGCACUCAAUAAACAUUUAUUUUACUUCCUAAGUUUUUUUUAUAAUAGAGGGAUAGGGAGAUGAUACCGGUGGAGAUGCUCAUUUAGGACUUGCUCGGGUGUGGUGGAGAUAGGAGGCAGAGGCCAGAGGGGAAACUCCAACUUUGCUUAAUGGUCUUUUCUCUAUAAGUUGGUACCUAUGACUUUAUUUUUUGAGAUGUAUCAAAGACUAGAAACUAUAGAUUGGUUCUUACUCUCAAUAAAAUCCUCCUAAAUUAUCUCGCAAUAAAACGCAAUGAAUAGAACUGGGCUAAUUAGAAAUCCCUUGACCUAAAUUAUCUCGUUGUUAGACCAGCUGGCCCACCAUCCAAAACAACUCGCAGGCCACUUGGGCUCGGCCCUUCCGUCGGUUAUAGGAAAUUUUCAUUUAGAUAGACAGAAAAAGUGAUCAUAUCCUGAACCAGGAAACAUUAAGAUAUUUUUUUCUCGAACAAGAUUGUAGUACGUACACUUGAUGCAGCAGAAAGAUCGCACGUACCCGUUUGUCCAGUACGCUGCAGCAGUACAGGCUCACCCUCAAGGACAGUUUUCCAGUAGCAUUCAGACAUCCAGCGCUCCUGAUCUUAUCGGCAGCACAAGCUCAUAUCUGUCGGAAAAGGAAAAACUGUCCUGAAUAAAUCUGUCAGAAACGAGGUUUGAUUUUUAAAGGGUUGCUUCACAGCUGUAACCUGAACAAAAUCGAGGUACCAUAAUCUUUCUCUAUCAGCUACUGAAGCAGAUACAAGAAUGGUUGGAGAUAACUCGCCACUUGCAGCCUUCAAUACCGAUCGAUUUUCCCUGCAUGGCUGCAUCCGCCGGCAGCCCAGACUCAGGGACAAUGCCGGUACCAAAAACCGAUGCCUUACCACUCGCCAUCAGGAGCGCUCCAAAAAUAGACCCAUCAACUAGUAUGCAAGGCUCUUGCUCAUAGACUCAGAGUCAUAUCGCAUCGCAAGCCCAGGCCUAUAAAUACAUGGGUCAUGGGACAUGGCACCAAGCCACCAAGUGACUGUAUCGCCAUGGCAGCUUCUUGCUGCCCCGGCCAUGGACGAUUCUGCCUCAUCCUCCUGCUUGCUGGUGCUGCGGUUGCAUCAUCUGGGUCUGGAUAGCUCAUCAGACUGUGUGUCGUCCUGCUGCAUCUCAUGCUUUGCAUAUUGUUCGUCCUUUUGUUUCACUAACUGGAUUAAGUACCUUUUUCGCAAAAAAAAAAAGGAUUCAAUUACCUUUUGGCACUUCUCUUUUUUUUUUCAAAAAAAAAGGGUUUAGGGUUAGUUCGUAUGAAUUCUGUUUCCUUUUCCUCCACGUUUUGGAUGAAUUGGUUUCCUUACGGCCAUUAAUCGACAAGAGACUUGCGACUUGUGAAUUCACUAACUGCUACUAUACAAACAAAUAUCUGAAUGGAUAUAAAACAAAACAAUAAAGAUUCAAUAGCAACUUAUAUGAAGCUUGUGGUUAAGUUAUUCUCCAGCAACUUUUAACUAUGCGUGGCCACAUGAAGAAUCCAGAGCCAUGCACAGCUCUUACAACGAGCCACGAAUAUUCAUAGAAGUGCAAUAAUGUAUAAAGUGAAGAGAUGUGUUACGGUGCUUGGAAGAUGCCUCGGUUACCUCCUCUCAAAGAACCUGUUCAGAGUUCAGUGCAAUUGAGGGAGAAGUUUUGUAAACAUGGCUAGUUAGUACUUGUCCAGAGUUAACUGUCAGUGACACAUUCCCCUCGUCCCGCGACUCAUCUCGAGUCAAAAUGAUCUCAUCUGAAUUGCGUGAAAAUCAAUCGAAGUAGCUCUUAAUAUUCUGGACUGGAAGUUUUGUACUAGAAUUUGAUUCCGACUUCAACCGAACACUCUGUCUGAAAACUCAGAGCACAAACACGGCGCCGCGACGGGCACGAGGAUGCCGAUCGUGCACCAGCUCGGCCCGUGCUCGCCACUGGCUGACAAGCACGGGAAGGCGCCUUCCCACGAGGAGAUCCUCGCCGCGGACCAGCCGCGCGUCGAGUACAUCCACCGCCGUGUGACCGAGACCACCGGCCAGGUGAGACCGAAGCGCGCGGCGCCGCCGUCCGCGCCGUCAGUCCAGCUCCAGCCCACUCCGCUGUCGUCGUCCGCCGCGUCAGCGAAGCUUCUGGCGUCAUCCGGAAACGCGGUGGGCACGGGCAACUACGUGGUGACCAUCGGGCUCGGCACGCCGGAGGAGCGGCUCACGGUGGUGUUCGACACCGGCAGCGACACGACGUGGGUGCAGUGCCAGCCGUGCGUGGAGUCCUGCUACCCGCAGCAGGAGCCGCUCUUCACACCGGCCAAGUCGUCCACAUACGCCAACAUCUCGUGCUCGUCGUCCUACUGCUCCGACCUCGACAUCCGCGGGCUGCGGCUGUUCUGGCGGCCACUGCCUCUACGGCGUCCGGUACGGCGACAGCUCCUCCACCGUCGGCUUCUACGCCCACGCACCCUCACGCUAGCCUCCGACGCCGUCAAGGUACUUGUUUCUCUUUCUCUAUACGUGCGGGAACCGUAACAGCUGCGGGCUGACGUGUGCAGGCCGAUGGCACGUGCGCGUGUGUGCUGCGUGCAGGAGUUCAGGUUCCGGUGCGGCGAGGACAACCGCGGGCUGUUUGGGCGGUCGGCGGGGCGGAUGGACCUCGGCCGCGGCAAGACGUCGCUGACGGCGCAGGCGCGUGACAAGUACGGCGGCGUGUUCUCGUACUGCCUCCCGGCGGCACAGUCCGGGACCGGGUUCCUGGACCUCGGCCGGCGGCGAACGCGCGCCUGACGCCGAUGCUGACCGACAAGGGCCCCACCUUCUACUACGUGGGGCUGACUGGCAUCAAGGAGGACGGGCGCCCGCUGCCCAUCCCGGAGUCCUUCUUCUUCGCCGCCGGCGCGCUCGUGGACUCCGGCACGGUGAUCACGCGCCUGCCACCCAAGGCGUACUCGCCGCUGCGGUCGGCGUUCGCCAAGGCCAUGGAGGAUCUGGGCUACAAGAAGGCCCCCGGGGUCUCGAUCCUGGACACCUGCUACGACCUCGAGGGGGGCGAGGGCAAGGCGCUCCCCGCGGUGUCGAUGGCGUUCCAGGGCGGCGCGAGCCUGGACGUGGACGCGUCGGGGAUCCUGUACAUGGUGAGCGAGUCGCGGGCGUGCCUGGGGUUCGCGCCCAACAAAGACGACGCCGACAUGGCCAUCAUCGGGAACACGUAUGCAGCCGAAGACGCACGGCGUGCUCUACGAUCUUGGCAACAAGGUCGUCGGCUUCGUCCCCGGAGCUUACUGAUCUGUUGCCAUUCACCACGCUGGUUUACAUAGUACGUAUUUGUUGAAUAACUAGCCGAAAACCCAUGCCGGCAUCGUCACACAACUACAAGCAUCAAGCAUGACGUGACCCAAUAGUAUGUGUGCGCUUGGCUAUGCAAACAAAAAAUAAGAUAGCACCGAGUUGGAUAUGAUCUAGAAGAACGCAAAGAAAUAAAACCAGCAUCGAGCAGACAAUUGUAGCAGCUGGAUGGUUGAUUGCAACAGAAUUUGGGAUGUAGCUAAACCGCCACUUGUUUUCUUGUCUACGGUACAUGUGCAAAGAAAAGCGAUCCUUGUGAGCAGAGGUGGAGCUCGACCAGAGAUACAAAGGACCGAUCCAUGUAAUUAAGCAUUAGGGUGUGUUUGGUUGCAUGCACCACAUGAUGCAUGCAUGGAUGAUCCUGGAUGGGGUGGUUCAACCAAUUUACUUGUACCAUAUGGUUCACUCUAAUUAGUAGAAUAAUGUAUUAAGUGGGAUAGCCUCAUCCUGGAUGAGUUGGUCCAAUUUACCCAACCAAACAAAAGAUUAUUAUUAUUUUGAAUCAUUUCAUACAUGAAUCAAAUGAUAUAACCAACCAAACACACCCUUAAACAUCAAUGUACAGUACCAACUUUACUGUAUAUUUAGGGCAUGGGGGUCAUGGCCCCCUUUAAUUUCCACCCUGCUUGUGAGAAAUGUAAAAAAAAAACAUACGUACUACACAAACCAAUUGAUGACCGUGGACAAUUUGUUGAAAAGGAAUAUAAUUAAACCGGCUACCUGUCAGUUUUGCAAUGAAUAUGAAACCAUCUAGCACCUCUUCUUUAAAUGUGUAGUACUCUCUCCAUCCCAAAUUACAAUUUAUUUUGACCUUUAUAGAUAACAUCACUUUUGCGCCAUGCACCUAUAUAUAUCUAGAUAUAUAGCAAAGUGAUAUAUGUAGAAAAGUUAAAACGAAUUGUAAUUUAGGAUGGAGGGAGUAACUAAGAGGAUGUGGAUGUAUGUAAAAUCUUUUGCUGAGGUACAGAUUGGAUCCUAUCUGGAUAUGCCUAGUAAAUGGCCAUGUGGUAAAAAAAUUUGACACAAUCAACAGCAUCUCUGCUGGAGUAUGUUGGUGUUUGUGGCUAACUAGAAAUGAUAUGAUCUUUCGAAAACAAGCUUGGAGAGAUAUAAAGAUGGUGGUGAGAAAGAUGUGGAGGUGUACAACAACCUGGAAGCCGAUGUUCAAGGGAGCACUGGAGGAGGAUAUAGGCCGAUGGUGCAACUUCCUGGGGGCAGCCCUCUCGACCCCCUUGGAGAUCGACGUUUAAUGAAGAAAUUCAAGUUGGGCACAGGGUGGCUGCAUAUCUGAAAACGAUGCCCUGAUGGAGAGCUACUGAUUUAUCGUAACACGAAUAAAAUCUAGCAUGCAAUUCUCUAACAUACUAGACAAUAGCAAGCACAACUUCAUGAUCUCAAAAAAUAUGCUAAAAUAACAGAUCGGAUUACGGCGUACGUACUUAGCGGGUGCAGCUGUGAUGACAAGCGGUGCUGACGGAACAAUGACGGUGUUGCGGAUGGAGCACAACAAAUGACUUCGAAGAUGAUGGUACGCCGCAACGCCAGACUUGGACGGAGGACGAGCCGUGGUGAAGAUCUUGAGCAGUCGAACGGAGCGCUUCCCAAAAACCUUAUUCGCCUUCUCCCAGUCCAGGAUCACAAGAGCGAGAGGUUCCGAAGACCUGCUCUCCCGUUCGCCGGUGCACGCCUGCGCUCGAGAUGGAGUAGACUACGGUGGCAGCACACCCUAACUCGAUUAGAUGUGUUUUCGAUAGAGGAUGGUAGGUCAUAUAUAUAGGAAAACCCACGAUCUCACGUCACGAUUGUGAUCCAACCGAUUAGGCUUCCAUAUAUCUCACUAACUUAAAGGCCAAGUAAUUAAAAAAUAAAACGAUAAAAGGAAAGCGCACCACCGCAAGGCUGGAGGUCGGAUUUCGGUGGACCAUUCACGCAGGUGUCACACGCCCGCGCCCUUCGCCCCGCCUAGCCCGGCGAGGCGUGGUGUGGUGAGCAAGCGCAUGCGUGUGGAGCUUUCCUUCUCUCCCCACAUAUAUAGGUUGGAGGAGUGGAGACAACCUUCAUAUUUAUGUUGGCCAUCGUUCUCCUCCACUAGUAAUGUAGGACUAAAGGUUUGCACCACUCCAACCACUUGUUCAUGCCCACACGACCUUUGAGAUUUAUUUGGAAUUUCUGAAAUUGCAAUGGGCCAAGCUCAUUAUUUCAUCAAUCCCCCACCAGAUCUCAAAUGUCCAUAAGAGAUUUUGCCUGUUUCUCAUUGCUGUUUAUAUACCAGCGUUUCAGUAAGGACUGUUAAGUUGAGCUCUUACCUAGAGCUUCAAGCUACAUUCAUCCACAACUUGACAAUGGACUAAGCCUUGAAUUGCAAGUUUUGUGCAGAUAAGUUUCACUCAAAGUCGGAACUAAUACCUGGCUACCAGUAGCCUACCCCGCGGGUGGAGCAUAUUCGUCAUACUCCUUGGUCUCUUCAUGAGAUUACUAGAGAUCACCCACGUCUCAUAGACUGUGAUGUUCUACAGUCGGGCUCAUAUAGGUGUGUUCUUUCAAGAAUGCUCUGUAGGACAACAUCUUCGCUUAAUCAAGCUAAUAGAAGAACAUUAAAGCAUAUUGCUAACCUUCCUUACAACAUUUGAGAGUAUUGCAUCUUUACAUAAAGAGGGUUUAAUAAUUACUCUCCUCAGUCAACCGGCAACUUGUUUUUCCCAAAUCCUAAUUCAUGGAUCUUUCUCCCAGAUCUUUCACAUCAAAGUUCUGUGAUAGAAAAGACUUAACCUCAUUGAUCACAUCAAUGUUUGUGCCAAAGAUCAGUAUGUCAUCCACGUACAAGCAUAAAAUAACCCCUUCACCCCCACCAUGGCGAUAGUACACAGAUCUAUCAGCCUCGUUAAUGACAAAAAGCCCGCAGACGUUAAGUUCUGUCAAACUUAUCAUGCCAUUACUUAGGUGCUUGUUUCAGACCAUACAAAGACUUCAACAACUUACACACCUUAUUUUCUUGACCCUUCAGCACAAAUCCGUUAGGAUUAUCCAUAUAGAUCUCAUGAUCCAACUCUCCAUUUAAAAAAGCUAUCUUUACAUCCAUCUGGUAGACGAUAAGACUACGCCCGCACCCUUCGCCCCAGCCCGGCGUGGUGUGGUGUGGCAAGUCAGCGCGCGCGUGUGGAGCUUUCAUUCUCUCCCCACACACAUAGCUUGGAGAAGUGGAGACAACCUCCAUAUUUAUGUUGACCAUCCUUCUCCUGCACUAGCAAUGUGGGACUAAAGGUUUGCGCCACUUCAACCACUUGCUCAUGCACACAUGGACCUUUGAGAUUUAUUUGGAAUUUCUAAAAUUGCAAUAGGCCAAACCCAUUAUUUCAUCAUUUUAUGUUUCCUGUUUUCAUUUUGCCCAUCUCGGACGUUAAUGUAAUGCCUACCGGCAGUGCUCUGCUUGAUGCUGCGGGUAGCCUCACGAACGAGUGCUGAUCCGGUCUGUAAUACGCUUAAACGCUGAACACUGCGCUCUGUUUGCCUUGUUUUUCAUUAUGAAAAAUGGGGCAGGGCUGUUAUGCCUGUCCGCUCUAAAAAACUACACAAACCAACCAUGUGAAAAUAAGCACAAAUAACUUCUUGGGAGCCAGCCGGCACAAUUGCUUCAUCUUUUGACAUGGUUGAAGCGCAGUCGUGUGCUUUGUGUAGCCAUGGAUGUCCCGAUCAAAGGUGCUGAACAAAUGGCAAAAAAGCACAAGCUCGCAUUACUAGGGAUGCAAUGCAAGUGGUGGCUCCAAUUAGGUAGUAGUAAGUCGGCUAGCUAGUUUAUUUUUGUCCCACUUCUCCAAAUCCGGAUUAGUUUAUUUCAAUGAAUUUUGGGUCAUUCGAUCCAAUGACUCGGAGCAAAACAAACUUUGCAUACCUGCACAUUACCAUCAACUGAAGAUGUACACGUUUUCAAUCUCUAUCUAACUAUCUCUAAUAUUAAAGUGCGGUCGUUUUUUCCAACUGUCGGGUAGUUUUGAAAAAAAAUCCUUUAACUUUUUUAAUCAACCCACCGUCCUCUAUCUCUAAUAUUAAAGUGCGGUCAUUUUUUCCAACUGUCGGGUAGUUUUGAAAAAAAAUCCUUUAACUUUUUUAAUCAACCCACUAUCCUUGGAGUUUUGACGAUUUGCAAAAAAAGUACCUUUCUUCCUCGGCUGCGUGCAUUUCAAAAUUGGACAAGGAUGACGAUGAGGUUGUGCCGAGAAGCUCGAGGCGAUGCUGUAGGCGAGGGCUGCUAGGGUAGGCAGAUCCGCCAAAGAGGAGGCCAAGGCGACAUGGGGAGGCCAUCAGGCCAAGCGGUGUUGUAGGCGACGACGCUCAGGGCAAACGGAUCCGGGGAAGAGAAGGCCAAGGUAACGCGGGGAGGUCAGGUGGCGCUGCGGGCGAGGAGCUCGAGUUCCGCCGACCACACGAGGUCCUCUGGCGGGAUGAACUCCCCCAAUCGGGUGAGCUCCAAUGUCAGGACAAAUUCCUUUUGCGAGGCGAGCUCCCUCCGUCCCUCGGCAGCCGCGCUUGUGUCGACGCGAACUGGAAAGGAUAGCGACGCGGCUGGAUAAGAUAAGGCAUGGGUGAAAGAUUUUUACUGCACAGGCGGAAGGAGUUGAGGUGCGACGCAACAUGUAUAAAAAUAUAGGCAUGACGCCAUUAAAAGGAAAAAGAAUAGCAUGGAGUUUCAGUGGAUUAACUGUGUUAAUUCAUCUCUGAACCAAAAGGAUAAGAAUGGACUAAUCUCCCAAUCAAAUACAAAAGUCAGUCAGUGCAAGAAAGUAGUGGCUCUAUUAUUCAAUACCGUUAUGAUAAUAUCUCCCUAAUGACGAGGGAUCGACUCAUGUACCGGUGACUUGAGGAUACAAUAAAGUUAUUUAGAGCUUAAAAAGACAAAAAGACAAUUGUGAGCCGGUCAUGUAUUUUAAUUUUUAUGCCAUGAAAUUCAAAAGCAAAGCAAGACAUACUACCACACGAGAAUAGCAUCGUGUACCACCUAUGCCUACGUGGGUCGGCUAUUAGAAUCAGAAGUAGAUUUUGCGAGCGACACAUGCAGAGAAGAGUUGAUAUGAGUCACCCGCGCAUUGCAUGCUAUUUGGGUUGAACAAUAGGACUACGACGACUACGACUUUUAGAGUAUGACGUUACACAUAGAUAAGCUCGUCGGGCCAGUGACAUGUCACACAAAAUUCUCAUCAAUUUAGACCAGAGACUAAAAUUAGAGAUAAGAUCAUAUGAUAGAUCCUAAAUAGUAUAUAACAUUUACCUGUAAUAACACACGGGCAUAUUUGCUACUUAACACUAAAAUUGCAAGCGUGUGAUUUAGCAAUAUAGGAGAGAGCGGCCAAACGGGAGGAACGGGGAAGAAUAUUUAGGGUGUGUUUGGUUGUAUGCACCACAUGAUGCAUGCAUGGAUGAUCAUGUAUGGUGGGGUUCAACCAAUUUGCUUGUACCAUAUGGUUCCUUCCUACUAGUAGAAUAAUAAAUUAAGUGGGAUGGCUUCAUCAUGAGUUGGUACAAUUCACCCAACCAAAUAAAAUAAUCAUUACUCCCUACGUUCCAAAUGGUAGGUCAUUUUGACUUUUGCAGGUUCAUAGAUAUUAUUAUGCACCUAGAUAUACACUAUAUCUAGAUGCACAGUACUAUCUAUGAACUUAGAAAAGCUAAAACGACCUACGAUUUGGAAUGGAAGGAGUAUUAUUUUGAACCAUUUCAUACAUAAAUCAAACGGUACAAGCAACCAAACACAUCCUUAGUAGACAACGAUAGGUACCCCAUCAUCACAUAUUAAACAUCUUAAAGAUGGUCUUAGCUAAAAUGACACUUACGAUGGGAAGUUUGAUUUCAUAACACUUCCUCAUUUUUAAUAUAAUUUCGUUUUCUUUUCCAUUGAAACUAAUGUUUAGCGUGCCAAAACAGCAAUUUUCUUAGCUUUGACGAGCUCUAAACGAUUCCAGUCAACAGAAUGGACUUGUACUGUUGUACACUUGUACACACAAAGCAUGACGAAAAGAACACCGACUGAAUAACAGAACAAACAGACUGGCCCAAAGAGAGGAGAUUCCGGACAUGCACAAUAAGCGAGGCCCAAUAUCAGCCCAUUCAUUAUCAUCCGCCCGUCUCGAACGAGCGGCUGAGAUCUCCCUCCCUACUGCGAAACCCUAGCCCCCCACACGGCCGCCUCCCUUGUAAACUCCCAUCUCUCGCCUCCCCAGAACACUUGCUCUAUUCCUCGCCCCCCGCCGCCGCCACAAACCAGCGCAUAGCCGUCGCCGGAGGAGGAAGGAGCCACAGCCAGCAGCCAUGGGUCGCGUCCGUACCAAGACCGUGAAGAAGACCUCCAGGCAGGUGAUCGAGAAGUACUACUCCCGCAUGACCCUCGACUUCCACACCAACAAGAAGGUGCUGGAGGAGGUCUCGAUCCUGCCCUCGAAGCGCCUCCGCAACAAGGUGGCCGGCUUCACCACCCACCUGAUGCGCCGCAUCCAGCGCGGCCCGGUCCGCGGCAUCUCGCUCAAGCUGCAGGAGGAGGAGCGCGAGCGCCGCAUGGACUUCGUCCCGGAGAAGUCGGCGCUCGAGGUCGACCAGAUCCGCGUCGACAAGGAGACCAUGGAGAUGCUCGCGGCCCUCGGCAUGGCCGACCUCCCCGGCGUUGAGCUCCAGCCUGAGAACUCCAACGCCCCCGCCUUCGGCCGUCCGCAGUACGGUGGUCCCCGUCGUGACCGCGUCUAGGCUUCCGCGGGUCGCACUGGUUGCCUACAUCUAUGGUGAUCUAUGGUUUACUUCUGUGGCGAUUAAGCUUUGGACCUAUCUUUUAUGUAAAUCGGUCUGGUUGCGUGUGAUGGACAUCAGAUUUAUAUUCUCGCGCUUUUGAAAUCUUAAGCUAUUUUAUAAAGUACAAUGAGACUUGCUACAUUUUAUGCUCUUUGGUUGCUUGUCAGCUUGAAUAUUUUGUUAUGCGCAAUAGAAGUAUAGGUGCUUUUGCCAUGGAAAAUCGUUAUUUUGUAUCUUUUAGAUCUAGAAACACAUUUUGCUGUUGCUGUUAGGCCCAUUUGUUGAGAUUAAAUUUGUUCAAUUUCAGUUGUUCAUUAUACAGAACAUAGAUGUCUAUAUGUAGUUGUUAGCCAGGAUCAUUAGUGAUAUGGAUGGAUGGGUUCUUAUCAAUUCAACAAUACUUGGUAUACAUCUAAAAUGUAAAUUGUCUGUUUUUGUUUACAACAUUAAGCAUGUUAUAGGAACUUCUUACAUUAUGUUCUGGCAAUUGCAUUUUCACUUGCAUCUUUGCCCAAUGGGUGAACUCCAUAUUGUCGGCAAUGUCUUCUUUUUGCUGCUUUGUUUCUUGGAUAGGAUACUUAGUUUGUGUCAAGCUAAUAAUUAAAUUAACUUGUUGGUCAUAAACUCAGUAGUAAGAAUGAAAUCUUCCUGUGGUUGUUUGUUAGUACACCACUAAUUCAAGAGGUACAAUUUUCUUUGCAUACAACAGUGUUGAGUUGGUUUGACAUGCAAAGUUUGCAUGCAGCUAUGCUUUCCUUUGUUCUUUUGUAAUUGUUUUCUAGGAUAUGUACUUGUUUGAAUUAGUCAGUUUAGAAGACAUUGUUGCUUAUUAAUGUGUUGAUGUUACAUUCGCUAGUACAGAAACCUCUGCGGAUAAUUGAUAUUGCAUUGGUAGAAUAUUGCUUAUGUUUUAUGAAUAUUGUUCAUAUUCGAUGCUUUUCAUCCAGAAUUGAAUUUUGUGCUGUCGAUAUUUUUGUUGUGUGGUGUGGGUUGAUGUUCACAGUAGCUGCUGUCAUUAUAAUUAAACUGGAUCCGUUUUCAUUGUUGAUAGUAGCAAUUAAUUCUGUGUAUGUUGCACUUCCUCAAAAAAAUCUGUGUAUAUUGCUGGUGGAAUUAUCCGGUGCCUUUAUUUUCUGUGUAUGUUGCCUUUGCUUGAUGCCAUAUAAUCGCAUGGGGUUAGUUCGACACAGUUUUAUGAACACUGAAAAAUAUUCGGUUUUCCCAAGCAUGUUUUGCAUACAUUAUUGCUUCGAAUUGUUGUGCAAUGACUAGAACAAACUUAACAAAAUUUAUUGUGUUUGCCUUUGAGGAAUCUGUACGUUGAAAUACCAGCUCCUGCUAUAUGUGAUCUAUGUUGAGUAUGAUGUAAAUCUGUGUCUUGGUCUAAGGAGUGAAGAAAUCAUGUUUGUUGCUGGCAUUCCCUUAGAAUUCUGGGGUUUAUUUCUUGCCAGCGACAAUGCUCCCUCGAUUUUGCUCAUUAUAUUGUGACAUGGGCGAUGCUUGUGCGCUGCGUGUUUGUGAUUAGGAACUGGAGCUGGAUCAUUUGGGUCUUGUGUGUAGCUCUUGGAUUCUGCCGAAAUGUAAGCCUAUUUGCAAGUCCGGCAGCAUCAGAAUGUAAGAGUCGAGCUGUGUCUGGCUCUUGUUUGAAUACCUGAAGUUGUAUCCAACCAAUGAGGACCAAUUAUAACGCUAUGAUCAGCAUAGUUUUACCGCGCUACGUGACUCUUAUGGAUGAACUCCGAACUUUACCCACAUGGUUCGUCCGUUCUUUCAUUCUUCUGUGUAGUAACUUUCUGCACUAACCGGUUGCGCAGACCUGUAGAUUGACACAAAGAAAAAACUGGAUCUAUGCCAUUAUAAUUUUCACAUUUCCGAGCCACGCAACUACUGUACAAGUCAACAUAUGUCAUUUUCUACGUCUUUUGGACCAUUGGACCCACGCACAGGUCGCCGUAUUUUUGUAUAGACUAGAAUACCCUCCUACAACUCUAUCUCCAUCUCACUUACGUGUGGGUCCCACGCAUCAUCUCCUUCCUCCCUCCUUCCCACCUCCGCCUCCCUACCACCGGCACACCUCCCCUUUCCCUCUCCUUCUGCACCUGGGCCAUGGAGCCACCGGCGCCGGAGCUCGCGCUCACCCGCGCUGGAGCUCGAGCCCGCGGUGGUGCAUUUGGGCGACGAAGCUUGGCGGCGGCGCUUGACUCCGGCGAGCUCAAGAUGCGGCUUCGGUCCAUGGGUCAAGACAAGGACGGGGUAGAUGGGAGGAAGGAGAGGCGGAGGUCAUGCCAUGCCGCAGCAGGGUGCAGGGAACCCACCAUCCACCGUCCACCAGGCCUCGCCGUGGGUGCCGUUGCCUGGCCGCCGCCGUCCAUCCUCCCAUAGCUGUCGCCUGUCGGACGAAGAUGAUGACAUAUGGGGCCCACACGCCAGCGACCGGGGGGGGGGGGGGGGGGGCGGUCGGUGUGGUGUGUGUUAUUUGGGGCAAUACUGAAGUACUGUGGUCUGCACGUGGGCUCAAAGGUGAUCCGAGCGUAGAAAAUGGCAUGGUUCAAAUUACGCGAGAAUUGUAACGGCGUGAUUCCUAUAUCGCGAACAGUAGUGGCGUGGCUAAAAAAAGUAAAAGUUAUAAUCACGGGCAAGCUAAACUGUGUCAAAACUUCGAGUUAAGAUAGCUUUGUGGUUAGAGUUGGAAAACAAUGUGUUCAUGUUCAGCACAUAGCUUAAAAAAAGGGAUUAUCUCGCAAAAGAAAAAAAAUGGAGAAUGUAUCACACUUCUUUUUCCUUACGGGAAAUCACACACUGUUUUUCAUCAGAAAGCAAACCGGAUACCUCAUACCAACCUUCUGCUCUUUCUAGCGCCCACGGUAGGUUCCACUAGAAUGGUUGCACUUGCACAUUGACAAUUCGAACACAACAUUAAUGUAAACUGGCUUGAAGCUUGUUGGGUUCAGGCGUUCAGCACAAGAUGAAGUGCAAGUGCCACACUGCCACCAUAGGGAUUCAGUUGCAGGAACCUGCUAAUUAAGUGAAUCGGUGAGAAGAAAAACAUCUCAGAGUAGAAGUGAAGAAAGACGUAAGACAAUAAAUUUACUGUGAUUGCUAAUGACUUUAUUGGAAUAAGACCUCUGGCUAUUUGGUAAUCUACUUAUAUCGACAGUUCACUACUAUUUUGGCCGAAGAAACAAACCACAAGAUAUUUUGAGUGAUACUUGAUGCCUGAUUGGUAUGCAUUCCAUGUUCUGUUACGGUACAUACCUGAUACCAGCCAUAUCCACAGCAGUGAAAAAGUGAGCAGUGUAGGAGCUGAGAAGCCACAAAUAUUCUGAUGGAAAAAUGGAUUACUCCUCGUUUCCAGCAGACAGCAGUGUAUGAGCUGAUAUUAGCAUGAUGUAACUUACUCAAAAAUACAAAACAAACAGAAAAACAGAGCAUGCGCUAUGAGGAGUAUAAGGUACAUGUUGCAUGAAAAAUAAAUAAACCACAGGAUAUAAAUUCAAUAGGGAAAGUGGAAACAGGUUGAAUAGUUCUUCACAUACAAGAAAUUAUGUUACAUUCAACCACCUGAAUCAAAAUAUAGAACACAAUUUUUUUGUGAUGUGUGACCAUCAACAUAAUAUGGUGCAAACAUGAGGUAAAGAAUACAAGACAUGUACCUUCUCAUGGCAUAGUUUUUCUCCAUAAAAACUGUUAGAGUAUACGUAUGAGAAUGAGGCCUCGUUUGAUAGGGCUGCGGCUGUGGCUGAAACGGUUGUGGUUGUGGCUUCUUUGGUGAAAUAUUUUUUUUGCUUCGACUUGUCUGGAUGAAAAAACGUUUGGUAAAAUAGCUUCUCCUAACUGUGUAAUAUGGAUAAAAAUGUGAAGUGCUCAUAAUACCCUUUUUUUCCCUUUUCCCCCUUUUCUUCUUAAUUCUUUUUUCCUUCGCUUUUAUUCUCGUCUUAUCCAUUCUCUCUUUCUCCUCCAUGCCUGCCGCCUCGCCUCUGCCGCACUUGGACACCACCUCAGCUCCCGGCCUCCCGCCGCCGGCUCACCCCCGGCCCCCGCCGCCAGCUCACCCCCGCCUCACCCCCGACCCCCGCCGCCAGUUCACCCCCGCCUCACCCCGACCUCCGCCUCCAGCUAUCGGCCUUUCUCUUCUUUUCCUUUUCAUUUGGACAUCUUGCGGCCAGCCCUGCCGUCACGCAUGCUGGUAUCCCGCGGCACGAACCGCCCCACCUCUAGUGGAUCAUCGCCGGACGCCUCCGAUUCUGGACAUAUAGGUUUCGUCGCCAAUCUACAGGUCCGAACUUCAAGAGNNNNNNNNNNNNNNNNNNNNNNNNNNNNNNNNNNNNNNNNNNNNNNNNNNNNNNNNNNNNNNNNNNNNNNNNNNNNNNNNNNNNNNNNNNNNNNNNNNNNNNNNNNNNNNNNNNNNNNNNNNNNNNNNNNNNNNNNNNNNNNNNNNNNNNNNNNNNNNNNNNNNNNNNNNNNNNNNNNNNNNNNNNNNNNNNNNNNNNNNNNNNNNNNNNNNNNNNNNNNNNNNNNNNNNGACCCCCGUCGCCUCAUACCGUCAGCUCCCGUUCUCCUCUCGGCCUCCCACCGCCGGCUCACCCCCAGCCCCUGCCGCCACGCUUGCUGGUCUCCCGCCGCCGAACCGCCCCCACCUCCAGCGGUCCUCGCCGGCCGCCUCCACUCCGGCCAUCUCCGGUUCCGUCGCCCAUCUCCAGCUCCCGACCUUCCACCGCUGCGCCGCCAUGCCUCCCGCUGCCGGCCCACCCUCGCCACCUACCGCGCCUCCGGUCCUCGUCGUCGGCCAGCUCCACCCGAGCUCCACCCGCAGGCCCUUCUCACAAGGGCAAGUGGGGAAACAAGGAGGAGAAGCCGGAGGGAGCCAAUGUUUUUGGCUCCCUCCCCACCGAACGGCUCCAGUCAUCGGGAUUUUAAGGGCUUCUUUCUUGAAGCCGUUUUCCAACCAAUUGUUUGGUAGGGUUUCACCAAAAGUCGAUGGAGAAGCACUUGGAGAAGUCAUACCAAACGGGACCAAACUGUUGGAGGGCUAAUACAUUUGUGUUGAUUUGGAUAUUUUAAUAUUUUAGAUCACGAUCGCUGGGUUCGGCCGGUGGAGAUUGAUUUGUUCGAUCGAUCUCUGAGGGGAUCUGAUUUGUUUGUUUUCCUACCCAGUGGUCCAAAACGAGAUUACCACAUGACGUUUUCUUUCCAAGGGAUUUAGCCAUGUUCCUCAGGUAGUUAUUGUCGAGAGAUGACGCUAGCUUCGCUUUCCAUCCAUUUCCCGACGGGUACACACUGCUACAGCUUGAAUCAGAGCUCCCGCCGGCCUUCACCACGCCGGCUAGGUGCGCUAGCUGAAGGUCUGAUCUACACAACUGAUCAGUGCCAUCUCCAUUGCUUAGCAGUAGUACACACGGCAUGCACAUCCACAUUAUGACUUUCAUCGGGGGAUCAAAGGUGGGGAAGGUGUGAGUUCACACUUCACAGAGAGACAGAUGUGUCAGAGGGAGGAAGCAAAUUACCUAUACAGCAUAUAUGAAGGCUCUCACCACACGUGACACGUGCAGAGAAAAAAUGGCACCGAAAGCAUGUUCGCCUGUUGGCACCGAGUUUCCGAAAAUGGAAAUACAUUUACACGCUGUGAAAAGAGAUUUUAGAUGGGGAAAGCUCGAGUAUUUUCCUGGCUCCCUACACUCGAAUUUUUCCUUCCCCCCAGCUCUCACCUUCUUCUCUAGCUCCGCGUGCCCGAUAAGCUCCGACGGGCUUUUAGGGUUCGGGGUUUUGGGGAGGGGGCGUACCUGUCUCUGGCGAACCUAGAGGGAGCUCCGGGCGGCAAAGUAGCCGGCGGUGGUGGCGGUUCGAGCCAGCGGGGCGGCAAGGCGGCGCGGGCGGCUGGUGGACAGCCGGAUGGACCGUGGAAGCGGCGGCGGCGAGCACCGGCGACAAGUUAGCGCGGGAGUGGGCGGGGGAGCCGCCGGAGACGAGGAAGGAGGGCAGGGCGGGGGCGAGAAGCCAUGAAUAAGCUCGCUGGAGUUGAAAAAUGGGGUGCUGGGGGCAUUUCCCAGGGCGAGGGCUCAUCGACGUUGCUCGCCGGCGUCGGUGGAGGGAGCUAUGGGCGCCGGAAUGUCCGUUUGUCACAGCGGCGGCGCCCCUGUACGUGCGUGCGUGCUUCCGUCAUGAGGAAGACCAUGGGCAGAGCAUGGUAGGGUUAUGAGGUAGGGGAUGGACAUGAGCCGUUGGAUCAGAUGGAUGGAUGGAUGGAUGGAAAUUCGAGUGUGGGCUGGCCCAAUAAUACUCGAGUGGGCCGUAGACAUCCCUUUUUAGAUAGGGGGCUGCACCUUCGUUCCUGGAAGCUUCCCUCCGUCGAUCGGACAUGCGCAUAAACUUUGAAACAUCGCUUAUGGGAACUUGGUGCGCUCAGAUCGAUCUUGCUUGGAACAUGGAGGUUGCGAACUUUUUUUUAUAUUUUUUAGGAUUUUGCAUAAAUAAAUGCAGAAAUAGAUCUAUACCGUCGUACGAGGUUUGGUGGCAGGACGCCUGCCGCGAUCACCAAGCUUAUUUCGCCACUUGAGAUGGCGAUAGGUCAGUAGGUUUGGAGUGGCGGCACUUUCCCAUGUUGUGGUUUAGUCAGGUUUAGCCGGGUUGAGGAUGUUAUAGCUGGUUCAAACGGAACUUCCUACAGUCAUUGAUAUUUUUAAAAGUGAAAUAUGUAGUUCCAUUGCAAUAUGUAACUUCGUAAUUUGAGAGAGGUAGAUUAUUGAAAAUGAUUUAACUCCCGACCAUUAGAUACAUAGUUGUUUCCAGCGAGAUUACAACGGAUGCAAACGAAAUUUCUGCGGAACAUACGAAGAAUAAUGACUCUAGGGUGAACAACUAAUUAUACAUUGCAGUGGUAUAUGCGGCACGGAUGCUAGCCGUUGCUAAACCUAGCAUGCCUUAGGUAAUUGAAAUAGCUGGGGAAAGAGCCAUGUCUACUUCCUAAUAGAACUGGCUCUGCGAGGACUGUGAUGGCCCAGCUCCAUAGUAGCCAGCACCCUAAGAGGAUGGUGGAGAUAGGGGGCGAUCCUUAUUGUGGUGGUAGGGGCACUUGCACUAUGAAUCGGUGCAAAUCAAGAUACCUGCAAUGUCAACCGCCCAAGGAUUCGCGACAAUUUUGGACUGAAGAUCCUCAACCUUACGCUCCAAGUCCAAGAUCUUGCUUCAGGUAGUGUAUGUACUCCUGGGAUGGCUUAGGAAAUGGUGGAUUGACCCAGUUGGCGUAGCAGCAGUUACCUUCAUUGAAAUAGCUUUGAACAUGAUGUUACUUUGAAGGAUGAGAAGUUUAGGAAGAGUAAUGAAGUAAUAACUUUACUCACCAACCUAUACGAGCAUCAAAAGAAACGGCGACUUCCAUCACCGUAGCCGUCAUAGAGCUGGACGACACAAGCCACGCCAUCGUGACACAUUGGCCACGUAUCGUGGAGAUCGUCAUAAGGCCUAAGACAAUUUGGAGGGGCAUAGUUAGCCCUGUCCUCCAGAGGGAACUUGUCGAGGGGUGCCUCGUACUCCGUUGGGCCAAAAGAACCUGACCAAGUGAUGGUUGGAAUAAGAGCACCCCUCCUCUUCCCCUCCUCCCACGACCUCUCCCUCUUGCAGAUGCCAUAGUUUUUACCCGUGCUCAGUGGCGCCAAAGGAUAUGGGAGUGUUACUCGUGCUCAGUUGCGUGGAAGGAUUUGGGAGAGGGGGGUUCAAUAUAAAGAGUGCUGAGAUGAAGACGCGCUGCACCCCCAUGUGUUCAGUACGCCGUCGUGUUCAAUCAUCCUGAGAAAUGGUACAUAUAGCCUUUGCAGGUGCAUGGACGUAGGUGUAAGUGUGGAGUCCCAUCUGCCUAAGAAGGCUUCACAUUCAGGGUCCUUGCAGUCUACAAUAUAGCCUUUUCAGUGAGGGUUCAUGAAAAACGAUGUAUAGUGUAGGCUUUUCAGUGAGGGGUCACGUCAACAGUGAAACCACUAUUUGAAUAGUGUACUUGCCGCAGAGUAGUGUAAUUAAAUAGUGUGGAAUUUGAGUACUCGAUAAAAGAAGAUGAAAUGUUAUAACAGUAUGAGCAACAAUACAAGCAACAGUACAAUGGCAUCCGAGGCGCCCAACAUGACAAAUCUAAAAGAACACCUUUGCUAGAAUAGAAUGCCUUAGGUAAUGUAAAUCGGUAGAGGACAAGUAACGGUCUACUAGGUGAAGUGGUGAAGUUUCCCCUUGCUCAAUGUUGUGGAGGAAGAUUCUACCUCCUGCUGCUUCAUCUUAUUCUGUCGUUCUUCUUCCUGGAGGAGCUGCGUCUGAUGAGUUUUUGUUCACGCCAGAUUUUGACACGUAUGGGAUCGGCAUCAAGGGAAGAAAGGAAUAGCCGAUGCGGCAGAUUAAAAGGUCACAACUGGGAAUCAGCCGAUUGGUGCUACAGUUGGGAAUCGGCCGAUUGGCGCUAUAGUAUUUUGGCGGACGGAGUUGGUAGAGAUCGGCCGAUUGGAAGGCUAGAGCGGUUGGGCCAAUAUGGGCUUAAAGUGGAUCAGACAAAAAAUAAAGGGAAAGUUUGGCACGUGGGGGUAUAAUAACCAACUCCGAUACGAGUUGUGUUUGUAAAUAUUCGUUUUCGUUUAAAACUAGAGAUAGAUCCUAGUCGGUUAGGAAAUUGGUUGUAACAGGCUAUAAAUCGCCAUCUUUAGAGAUUUGUAAAAAACACAUCAAUCAAUACAAACAAUCUACUUUUUCAUUGUACUUUACUUUCAAGGCGGUGACUUUGCCAAUACUUCUUUUUCUUUCACGAGUUCGUACGGGUUGGCAGGACUGCAUCGACACGAUCUCCAGCCGAUUCUGUAAGUUCCGUUUAUCAAAUAAUAUCUAAGCUUUAACUUCAGGCGUAUCGCUGUCGUUUCAUUUGGAUUUAUUCACCAGUUAUCGAUAUUUACUAGAAUUAUAGGUUUUAUCUAUUGUUCUAGUUUUAUCACCAGUUAUCCAGCUUGAGGUUUGAACUAUCGGCUUUAUUAUCGCUAUUCCUGUUCAUCAUUAUAUAGCCGAUUAGAUCUAUUUCAAGUGUUGCAUUUGUAGCGUUAUUUAACCUACUUUGGUAAUUUCUUCAUAAUCGUUACAUGAUUAUCGGCUAUCCUAUAGCUGGUCAUCUUCAUAGCAAAUCGGUCAAUUCGCUGAUACGCUUUUCGAGAUAGAUCGAAACUUCAGCCGAUCGAAACUCCUGGAAUUUAAUACGUUUCUUUCCUUGUCAAUCAACAGGUCAGAUUGACUGGCACGCCGCGCGAACCGCACCAGGGGGAUCACCCGUACAGGAGCUAAGCAGAUUCUCCCGGGUCGUGUGUCCGACGCUGAAGGCCAUCGGCCGAUUUUUAGCGCCAACACACUUUUGGCACGCUCGGUGGGACAACUUCAACACCCAACAUGUAGAAAGCUACCGAAAUCUCCGAAGACAACGUCAUCGAGGUGACGAAAGCAGAUCUCAAGGACGACCAUUAAGAAGAACUGACAAGGCACAUGGAACAAUACAGGAAGACAUGCUUGCAAUCUUUCAGUCGUACUAGAAGCAGGGAGACCGUCAAGAAAGCUUCUUUUCCAACUCCCCGCCAGAUUACCGUUGCUGAGGACUCGGGCAAGAUGUCCGAUAUGAUUCAACAGUCCGUCUAUCAGGCUUUUAUCGACCAAUCCCCGGUGAAGACCAACACGGUGUACAAUGUCGUCAUCAGUUCCCUGGCCAACGGGGUAGCUCAAGGAUAUCAGGGGCCAGCGUACGCCCCACCCAUUGUAACCCCAGUCAGGAGCUUACCAGGCACAUCUCACUCAGCUCAUCAGCCGACACAGACACAACCUGGAGGACACAACACUUCACUGCCUUCGAUGCCUCCAGGGUACAACGGUGCGCCGUGUUUUCAAACACAGGCACCACCUCAGCCUGCCUAGAUUUCCUCUGUGCAAUCAUUGCCCUCGAACUCAGUGCCUUGGGGGGCACCAGUAACGGUGGCUACUCUAGAUCAAUCGGCCGGUAUUGGAGGCUCUCCGAUCCAGGCACCAUUCCAAUCGGCCAUCCUGCCGACGGUCCCACAAUAUCAACCAACCACGUCAGAAAUCGGCCGGGGGGCAGAUGCGAUAGAAGCACUCAGAAGUGCGGCACCUAUGAUGCUGUACAAUGGGACGACCGAUUCUCUACGCCACCAACUGUCAACUGCAUAGCCGGCCACACUGCCGCAGAAUCCACCCCACGCCUUGAUCCAUCACCCGGUCAUCCCACCGCCGAUCCACCAACAUGUGCUGACCCCUCAACCAGUUGUUCAUCAGCAGCAAGUGGAUUGGACAGCAAGGAUAGCGGAGGUAAUUCAAGAUCAAUUCGGGUUGAAGCUGAAGGUACAAACCUACAUGUACAGAACGCCAUACCCACCUGCCUACGAUCUACUGCCGUUUCCCCAUCGGUACAAUGUUCCUAACUUCACCAAGUUUUUGGGACUAGACGACACCUCAACUGUGGAGCACAUAAACAGAUUCACCAUCCAGUGCGGGGAGGCCACCACACAAGAUGCUCUGCGGGUACGUCUGUUCUCGUCGUCUCUGUCCGGGUCGGCUUUCCAAUGGUUCACUAUGCUGCCACCCAAUUCCAUCGUUACUUGGGGCCGAUCUGGAAAAGCAAUUCCACAAGUACUUCUAUGAGGGAGUCCACAAGAUGAAGCUUUCAGAUCUGACCAGCCUCAGGCAGAGGAGCAACGAGCCAGUGACCAAUUAUGUACAGAGGUUCAGAGAGGUCAGAAAAAAGUGCUACACCCUAGUCCUGACCGACGUGCAGCUGGCCGAUAUCGCCUUCCAAGGUCUCCUCCGCAUAUCAAAGAAAAGUACGCUUCCCAGGAGUUCGAAAGCUUGAGUCAGAUCGUUUACCAAUUGGCCGGCCAAGAAGUACGCCCUUUUGAUCAGCGGAGAAAUUUUCAGAAAAAGGUGGCGUACUUGGAGAGAUCUGAAUCUUACGAAGAAGCAAAAAUCGGCCUAGCAGAAUGGGUCAAAGGGAAAAAGCCGAUAUCAUGCCCGUUCGGGAAGAAGGAACCAGAAGCGUUCAGUUUUGACACGUCAAAGGCUGACAAGUUCUUCGAUUUACUUCUCCAAGAGGGGCAGAUCAAGCUCUCACCUUACCACACCAUUCCAUCGGCCGAGCAACUCAAGAAGAUGAAGUAUUGCAAAUGGCACAAUGCCACGUCCCACGACACAAACGAGUGCAAAAUCUUCCGUUAGCAGAUACAGUCGCCAUUGAGCAAGGCAGACUCAAAUUCGAGGUCCCGACGAAACCAGUAAAGUCGAUGAAGAUCGAUCAACACCCUUUUCCCACUAACAUGGUUGACAUAGGAAAGAACGCACUCCAAACCAAGGUGCUGACCUCAGAAUCGGCUAAGAGAAACGGCGCCAUGGACACCAGAAAUCAGGCUACGGUUGAAGAUGUCAAAGGGAAAAGAUGGGUUGAAGAUGAAGGCGAAAGAACGGAAAGACCGUGUAGACCUAUCACCUCCCAAUUCUUGCUCAACAAGUACCAUCGAUAGCAGGAAAGUUCGAGACACCAAGAAGAAAUGAUGCGCUGACACGAAGAUCACUGGCGGUGCCCGUUCUUCAUCCACUGCUGGGAAAAUAACCUCAGGUUGCCAUCGGCCGAUAAUUGCCCGGAGUGCAGCGGUCCAUAUCAUGACAUUCGCCCGUUCAAGAGGUCUCAGCAGAAACUGGCGCGAGCAAGAGGAUUGACGCCUUUCAGUGCGUGAUCGGCUGGGGGGCAGAAUUGACCGGUAUGAUCGGCCAAGGGGCAGGCUUGAACAGUAUGAUCGGCCAGGGGGUAGGAUUGACCAGCACAAGCGACUGGGGGCAGAACCAGCGCAGACGAUCGGCUAGAGGAGGUGGCCGACGCAAAGGUGUCAGAUGAAAACCCCCCUAGGACGGGAACCAGACUGGGAGCGCGCCAGACUGCCGGUCAAACCGGUGAACCCCAGGUGGUGCUUUGCUGGAUUGACCUAAUCCCAAAAAUGAAGGAUCCAACGUCUGCGCCAGUGGGAACAACAAGAAGAAGAGCAGAGGUAGAUGCUGGACAAGAAAGAUGACAGGUCUCGAGUCUGGCGCCCCAAAAGAAACAACAAUGAAGAAGGCGACAAACAGGAAUCGGCAGCUGAUGUCAGCAUGGUGUUCAUCUUGUUGAUGGAGUUCAUGGCUCCCGCCGAUCGAGACGACACGACGAGGAUGGAGGAACAGAUGAUGCAAUUGGCUUUGGAGCCAAUGACAACCACUUUUGAGAAACCCGAAGAUGAAAAACGGCAACACCUCAAGGCCCUAUUCCUCAAAGGACACGUCAACGGUCGACUUGUCACCAGGUUACUAGUAGAUGGAGGCACUGCAGUCAACAUCAUACCGUAUGCCAUGUUCCGGAAGUUGGGCAAAAGCAAUGAGGAUCUGACCAAGACGGACAUGAUGCUCAAAGACUUCGAAGGCAACGUGUCUCCCGCCCGUGGGGUGCUCUGCGUUGACCCUACCAUCGGCAGUAAGACCCUUCCUACUACUUUAUUUAUUAUUAAUAGCAAAGGGUCCUACAACAUGUUGCUCGGUCGCGAUUGGAUGCACGCGAAUUGCUGCGUCCCGUCAACAAUGCACCAAUGCCUCGUACAAUGGGUCGGCGACAACAUCGAGAUAGUCACCGCUGAUUCCGCCUACAGUAUUGCUGCGGCCGAUACACAACUGUGGAGCUGCGAGCACAUCAAGUGCAUAUCCGGUAGAACUUGGGACACCGAUUUUCUCAGAGUGUCCGAUUUUAGACUACAGCCGAUCCGAGCAGUCGGCUCUGAAGAUUUAGAUUAAAUGGAUCAAUUCGUCCGAGAAAAUGGGAAGCUGGGAUACGGGUUUACGUCGGCCGAUUCGUUGGAGAUGGUAGAUUUAGGUGAUGGCACCAAACCAAGGCCGACGUACAUUAGUGCUAACCUGGAUCCCGAGUACAAGUGUAAAUUGACAAAUUUAUUAAAAGAAUUUAAAGAUUGUUUUGCUUGGGAAUACCAUGAGAUGCCUGGCCUAGACCGGUCCAUUGUUGAACACCGGUUGCCUAUAAAACCAGGAUAUCGGCCGUAUCAGCAGCCCGCACGAUGAUGCAAUGCUAAAAUUCUACCUGAUAUAAAGGCCGAGAUUACAAGACUGAUUGAAGCGAAAUUUAUUCGACAGUGCCGUUACGCCGAGUGGAUCUCUAAUAUUGUACCCGUAUACAAGAAAAAUGGAAAGCUGCGCGUAUGCAUUGACUUUAGGAACCUUAAUCAGGCCAUGCCGAUGGAUGGGUAUCCAAUGCCGACAGCUGAUGUAUUGAUAGAUGCCGCCGCGAGACAUAAAGUCAUCAGUUUCAUGGAUGGUAAUGUUGGUUACAAUCAAAUAUUAAUGGCCGAAGAAGAUAUUUUGAAAACAGCUUUCAGGUGUCCGGGCCACCUCGGUUUAUUCGAGUGGGUAGUAAUGACCUUUGGAUUAAAGAACACCGGCGCCACAUAUCAACGGGCCAUGAAUUAAAUAUUUCACAAGCUUAUUGGCGCACUCGUGGAAAUCUACAUCAAUGACGUCGUGGUCAAGUCAAAAGGACAUAAAGAACAUCUGGCCGACUUGCGAGAGGUGUUGGAGUGCACGAGGAAGCAUGGUUUGAAAAUGAACCCGAACAAGUGCACAUUCGGCGUGUCAGCUGGACAAUUCCUAGGAUUCAUGGUACACGUGCAUGGAAUAGAAGUCAAAUGGAAGAUCAUAGCCACCAUCAAUAAGGUUGUAGCCCCACAGAAUAAAAUUGAGCUGCAGUCCCUAAUCGGCAAAGUCAACUUCAUCAGAAGAUUUAUAUCCAAUUUGUCUGGACGUAUUCAAGCUUUCACUCCUUUGUUGAAGUUGAAACCCGAUCAGGAAUUCGUGUGGGGAGAAGAACAGCGAAAAGCGUUGGAAGACAUCAAGCAAUAUAUGAUUUCGCCACCUGUAUUAGUCCCGCCGCAAGCUAACAAGCCGUUCAGACUAUGCUUAUCGGCCGAUGAACGGGCUAUCAGAUCGACACUAGUACAGGAGUUUGAAGGAAAAGAACGGGUAAUAUAUUAUGUUAGCAGAAGACUUCUGAACGUCGAGACAAGAUAUUUCCCGAUAGAACGGCUAUGCCUAUGUCUUUAUUUCUCAUGCACCAAGCUCAGGCACUACCUAUUAUCGGCAGAAUGCAUAGUCGUGUGCAAAGAUGACAUAGUAAAGUACAUGCUGUCGUUGCCAAUUUUGAAAGGACGAAUUGGAAAGUGUAUCCAAGCUCUAUGAGAGUUUGACCUAAGGUACGAAUCGGCCAAAGCUGUUAAAGGUCAAGUCAUGGCCGAUUUCGUAGCUCAGCAUUGUGGACCAGAAGUCGCUGUCGUGGAACCAGUUCCGUGGACUCUAUACUUUGAUGGUUCUUCGUGUGGGGCCGGGUCAGGUAUCGGCAUCGUCCUCAUAUCGUCUCGGGGGGCAAGUUAUGAUUUCUCUCUGCCGAUAGAAGCAUCCGCAACCAAUAACCAGGCGGAAUACCGAGCUGUCCUGAAAGGUAUUCAAUUAUUGGGAGAGAUCAAAGCCGAUGCUGUGGAAAUUUUUGGGGACUCCAUGCUCAUCGUAGACCAAUUAAUGGGGAGAUUUGAAUGUAAAGAUGACAUUUUAAGGAUUUACUACGAAGAUUGCCUCCAGCUUUUAAAAGAAUUCAAGUCCGCGGUUAUUGAGCAUAUUCCCAGAAACUAUAAUGAAGAGGCCAACAGGCUUGCCCAACACGUAUCCGAGUAUCGGUCGAUUCAAGGCGCCAUGACUCUGGAACUCGCGACCGAUGGUUGGCGAAAGGAGAUCGCCGAUUACUUGAAAGAUCCGUCCAAGCAAGUGGAUCGGCGAGUGCGCUUUCAAGCCACAAAGUAUGUGCUACUCGAGGAUGAUGUGUUUUACCGAAUGAUUGAUGGAGUUCUGCUCAAAUGUUUGGGAAUGGAAGAAGCAAAGAUCAUGAUGGGAGAAAUCCACGAAGGUGUGUGCGGAGCUCACCAAUUGGCUCAUAAGAUGAACUGGAUGAUUAGAAAUAACGGGUACUAUUGGCCGAUGAUACUCAAAGACUGCCUUAAGUAUUAUAAAAGGUGUUAGGACUGUCAAAAGUUUGGCAACGUGCAACGUGCGCCAGCAUCGGCUAUGAAUCUGAUAAUCAAACCAUGGCCGUUUAGGGGUUGGGGAAUAGACCUCAUCGAACAAAUUUAUCCUCCAUCAAGCAAGGGACACAAGUUUAUAUUAGUAGCCACUGACUACUUUACCAAAUGGGUGGAGGCAAUUCCGUUGAAGGCCGUAACAUCGGCCGCCAUGGUCUAUUUCGUAAGAGACUACAUUGUUUAUCGGUUCGGUAUCCCUCAAACCAUCACAACUGAUCAAGGAACGAUGUUCACUUUGGGAGAGUUUGAGGAGUUCACUGCCGAUAUGGGAAUUAAGUUGUUGAAUUCUUCUCCGUAUUAUGCUCAAGCUAACGGCCAAGCCGAAUCGUCCAAUAAGGGGAUAAUCAAGUUGAUCAAGAGAAAAAUAGAGGAACAACCUAAAAAGUGGCACUUAUGUUUGACCGAAGCUUUAUGGGCUUACAGGAUGGCCUGUCACGGGGCCACUAAAAUAUCUCCUUAUCAAUUGGUAUAUGGUCACAAGGUGGUAUUGCCUUGGGAAUUAAGGACGGGGUCAAGGCGCACAUCACUUCAAGAUCAGUUGACGGCCGAUGACUAUUCCCUCCUCAUGAAGGGAGAGCUCGACGAUUUGGCAAGUCAGCGAUUAAGGGCCCUGAUCAGCAUUGAAGAAAACAAGAAAAGGGUGGCUAGGUGGUACGAUAAGAAGGUCAAGGUCAAACAAUUCUCCCAAGGAGAUUUGGUAUGAAAGUUGGUGCUGCCGAUAGGGUCUAAGGAUCCCAAGUUCGGGAAAUGGUCGCCCACUUGGGAAGGGCUGUAUAAAAUCGGCCGAUGUGCUCCGGGAAAUGCAUAUAUACUGAAAACUAUCGAAGGAGAGGAAUUCACGAGAGCCUUGAACGGGAGAUAUCUGAAAAGAUACUAUCCUAGUAUAUGGGUGGAUGCGUAACUGAGAAUAGGGUGCGUCAAUAUGACGUGGCCGAAUCUUAUUGGCUCCUGUUGGUAUAGCCGAUGCAAAGAUAAACAUCGCCUUAAGAACGAAACAUUCGCCUGAUCUGGCCAAUUUAUUAUUCGGUACAAAUGACGGGGUACAUGGCCGACACGGUACAAGUCGCCCUUAGAACAAAAAGUACCAACUCAUUUAUUGACCACUCUUUUUCUUAAUCUCCCUCUCGACCCGACCUAAUUCUAUCAAGAGGCGGAUGCUCUUUUCCUCAAGGUCCUCCAUCACGGCUUCGACCUCGAUUUGAUGAGGAAGGGGGUGGCUCCUGUCAAGAGGUGGUCGAGACGUUCCCACUGCGGCAUCUUCAAGGGCGACUGGACGAGGGAGUGGAUGACUCCUUUCAGUUGGCGGCCGCCUGGAGCAAUUGGCGUCGAUAUGGUCCUAGAUCUUCUGGACUUCAAUGGGAACAUGAUCCCUGAGUUCUUCACGAUGGGCCCUGAUUAGAUCUUUGUCCGCCUGCGACAAUGGUUCAUCGGAGUGCAUGAUCUCGAUCGCCCGUUCUAAGUUAGAUCUAAGGCGUCUGGGCUGAAAAAAUCAUCGAACAACUGCUCAUAGAUAGAUUGAUCAAAAUGUUAGACGAGGGAAUAGAGGACGGAGGAAGAUUUCGUACAUGGUUGACGAAGAAGGAAGAGAACGAAGAAGACGAAGAAGACAUCUUGGCGAAUAGUUUGAUGGUAUGAACUACUAGAGGAGGAGAGGACGAGCAAUGCGAAUGCCUUUGGAAACAAUACGUGGCCUCAUACUUAUAGAAGGAAAAGGGGCGAGAGUUUGGUAAGAUGUGUCCUAUCAGAGUAAAAGGGGUAAUAAAUGAAAGGCCGCCACGAAGGACGGUUCAGGAUUGGAUCCACACGUCAAUGGUCAAAAGACAUUAAUGUUUUUACAGAGCGUCUAGUACUUUUGCAGUUCAUCCAAGGAGGGCAUUAAUAGCCACAAUCGCUCGCUGCCUAACCUGAUCGGCCGAGUCUAAAGUCCUCUAGUCGUGAUCAGCUGACCGAGGGACUUCUGGCAUAUGGCGAUGGAGCUUGAUUGCUUCGUGGGCCAGGUUCUGCCUCUCUUGCUUCAGCUCGGCAAUGACAGAUGAGAGGUCUUGAAGUCUCUUCUAUUCGACAGCUAUGGCCUUGGUCACCUGCUCCAUCUCCUUGGCAAGCUCUGCCCUUCACCGUUUAAGGCGAUCUAUAGCACCAACGAUAUCUGGGCAAGAGCUUUCAAGGAAAUUGAUUCGGUGAUGUACCUCUUAAGCUUGAUGCUUGUAAGAGUCUUCCUUCUCGUGGGCUUUUGCUAGUUUGGCGUGAUCGGCCAUGUGGUGCAAGGCCCUGAACACUGGAACCCGCAUUAACUCGAUGUAUGCGGCGGGUGCCAGAGCUUCCUCUGCCUCCUUGGGAACUCGAUCUCUGAUAUCGCUAAAGAGCUACUGAAUCGGCGAGGCGUCUUCCACUAAUCAGCCGAUAUCUUGUUGGAGGAGGAUCCGUAUGCUCUCAAGCUUGGCACGGACGUCGUCGGUGAUUGAGCUCAGUGUGACUUGACGGGAAGCAACCUCCUCAUCAUCGGAAAGUGUGACCGCGAAAGAGAAGAGACUGUUAUUGGGGGCAUCUUGUUCCUGCGAAAGAAUAAAAAAUAAAUACAGAUUAGCCGACGGUAAUGGGAAAUCGGCCGAUUCGGGUGACAAGUCUCUUACCUCUUUGGGACGGAUUUCUUCUGCUUGCGUCUGCGGGAGUGCUACCCUCGACUCGAGAACUGACGUGAUCGGUUCAUCAGAGGAGGAAGAUUCGACGAUUAUUGGUGCCCUGCUCGGGUCGGCCUCCUGGAAAGGUACGAGAAGCGGAUUUUUAUAAGUGUAAUACAAUGAUAAAGGCUGACGGCAUAUGACGACUGUCAUACCUCUGUGGGUUGCUCGGCCGAUGAUUGUUGGAAGGGUACAAUUGAUGUGCCCAGGGUAGCCUGCAUCAAAAUCGGUUAAGCUUUUGGUUAAGUAUCAAAAAAUUGAGUUAAGGGAUUCUCUACCUCGGUAGGAGGAAUUACUGGCGCUCCGAUUUCUGCUUGGGGUGUGGCUAAUUGCUGCGGAGAUUGCACUGGAGCAACUUGCACGGCCUGACAGAAAGAAGAAAUUAAUAUUGACAGAAUACUUAGAAGGAUGUGAAUACGAGGUUACCUGAACAACUUCUACUAGCAAUGAUGCAGCGGCCGCUCCAGCUUUUGUAGCAGCCUGGGGGUCAACUUCUUCAAUGAUCGGAAGAAUCGGCGCAGCCAAAGAUUCAGCCGUUGCCGCCACCGACUGAUCGGCAGAUUCUAUGCGGGCACGCACUCGGCGGCUCGUCUUCUUUGAAGUCUUCUUCAGUGUCUGUUUUGAUCGGCCGGUGGUGAUGUCAUUGAUAGUUGGGGCAUGAUAGCCGAUGAGUGGGAAGUGUGUGUAUGGAUAGCGAUUCUCUAUCAGCCUGCCACUUCGGCUGCGUGUGGGAGGAAGUCGACUCUCGGACUAUAAAAGAAAACAAGAGUUAGUGGCAAAUUUGUAGUAUAAAAAGGAAACGACAUUGAAAUCGGCUGAGGAAAGAGUAGUACCGCUGCAUUAGGGUCAAUGUUGUCAGGGUCCAGAUUGUUGCAGUAUAUCGCAGGAGAUGCACAAAAGAGAUGUUGUUUCCAUUCUGCCCACCAUAGUUUGAAUUGUUGGACAGCAAAAGGUGCCACUAUCCAAUCGGUCAGAUCAAUGGUGCUGGAAUCGGGCACUAAGUCGCAUAGCUGACUAUAGUCGAAGCCCUUAGUAAGCGCAUCUCGAAAUUGUGCACGGCCCGCAAAGUAAACCUGAAUCGGCAGCUGACCAAGGCUGAAUUGCCGUGCCGCGGCUGAAGGAUUGUAAAACUCAUAGGUCGGCGAAUCCUUCCCGGAGAAGAAGUUUGCUGGUAAGAUCCCUGGCUUGAUCAAGGCAUCCGUGAGAUCGUUAUCAAAAUUGUUGGACGUCGAGUCAUAACAGAACAGAAGCUCAAAAAGUGGUUCUGUUCUCUGAUACGGGUACCAGCUGGUGGGUUCUUCACUAAAGCCGUUGUAAAAACAUCUGAAAUACUCAGCUGUUUGGAUGGCGGUGAGCUGGCAACCAGGGAAGGCUGACGCUGCUUCGCCGAAAGAGGUGCAUCGACACCGUACGGUGGGGUUUUCCUCUGACUCAAUAUUGGGGAACAUCAUGAUCUCUAUCCGCUGCUGUGAGAUCUUGCUCAUAUACAAAUUAAGCUAGAGGGUGAUGAACCACCAGGGGCCACCAAGGUUACUAAUCAGCUCCCCCUUGACAGCUUGACGCCGAUGUGGUGCAUCAUAUGGUAGGCCGAUCCCAAUAAGUGUUUUCCUAAAGGAACAUUUGCUCCUCUUGACAGGGCUUCGGCCAGGGCUUGUGUGUUGGAGGAAGGGCCGACUGCCCUACCGCAGAAAAGAUGUUUCUCUAGCCACAUCAUCAAGAAGGCCGUGUAUUCUCUCUCUUGAAUUAUCCCGGUCCUCGUGUUCAUGUUGAUGUACCCCUUCCACCCGUCGAUUCCUUUUAUUUCCAACCGAUGGGUCGGCUUGACCAGAUAAUUGAAGGGAGUAUUGGGGGAAGAAAUGUUAAGGCCGGUCAACAUCACAACAUCGGCCAGGGUUGGGGUCAUGAGUCCAUGUCCAAAAAGAAACACAUUAAGUGCGUCAGACCAGAAAUAAGAAGCUGUUAUCACCAAGGGUUCAUUCUUUUCCAUCUGGGAUAAGGAUAAGUUGAUGCACUGGCUGAUUUUCUUUGCAUCCCAUUGAACUCUCUUGGAGUUGGCCAUUCUUUGGUACCACUCCUUCCAGCUGGCGGUUUCAUUCAGCCAAGAUCUAAAGGUGCCUGACCACUAGUCCAAAUCCAUGGGUGAUUGUUUAAAUGGAAUUCUCUAGGUCUCUAAAUUAAUCAUAUCGGUUGGGUCUGGGUUCCCCAUAGGUCCUAAGCAGAUGAGACUAGGAGCUUCAGAAAGGCGAAUAGUAAUUUGGUGUCUGACUGCCUAAAAAAAGGUAAAAAGUGAAGAACUAAGAAUGGAUCUAAAAAAUGUAUGGGCGGUAAAAAAAAGAGAAGAAGAGUUUCGGAUGCUUACCUCCGGGAUAAAGCUCAUUGUCGCCGAUGGAGUUGCCGACGGAGCCUCUGUCGCCAAUGGAGCUGCUGCCGCCGCUGAUGGAGCUGCUGGCGGAGCCUCUGUUGCUGGAGGAGUUGCUGAUGGUGCUGCCAUUGAGGAGAUGGGGUGGAAUGUAGAUGAAAAGAGGAUCGUCGGAGAAUGCAGUUGGAAGCCAAAAGGGUGUCGAGAGAAGAUGGAAACUGAUGCGCCGGGAAGGAAGUUACUGGGCUUGUGAAGGAGAAGCGGCAGGGCGUGACCAGUAUUUAAAGACGGUCUGAGAGAAGGGGUAAAGGCGAGAUUUUUACCGCGCUGUCUACACGAAUUUUGGGGGAGCGGUUGUCUCAGGCGCCCGUUUCAAAAAGAUUGUAAUCAUCAAGUAGAAGACUGCGAAACGGAAGGAGAUUUUUGCCGCGUUCAUUUCAGAGGAGAAGUUAAAAAAGAAUUUCGAAGUAAAAGUCAUGUUUUACUCCGAAACUGGGGGGCAUGUGUUGACGCCAAGUUUUGACACGUAUGGGAUCGGCGUCAAGGGAAGAAAGGAAUGGUCGAUGCGGCAGAUUAAAAGGUCACGACUGGGAAUCGGCCGAUUGGUGCUACAGUUGGGAAUUGCCCGAUUGGCGCUAUAGUGUUUUGGCGGACGGAGUUGGUACAGAUCGGCCGAUUGGAAGGCUGGAGCGGUUGGGCUAAUAUGGGCUUAAAGUGGAUCAGACAGAGAAUAUAGAGAAAGUUUGGCUCGUGGGGUAUAAUAACAACUCCGAUACGAGUUGUAUUUGUAAAUAUUCAUUUUCAUUUAAAACUAGAGAUAGAUCCUAAUCGGUUAGGAAAUUGGUUGUAACAGGCUAUAAAUAGCCAUCUUUAGAGAUUUGUAAAAAACACAUCAAUCAAUACAAACAAUCUACUUUUUCAUUGUACUUUACUUUCAAGGCGGUGACUUUGCCAAUACUUCUUUUUCUUUCACGAGUUCGUACGGGUUGGUAGGGCUGCAUUGACACGAUCUCCGGCCGAUUCUGUAAGUUCCGUUUAUCGAAUAAUAUCUAAGCUUUAACUUCAGGCGUAUCGCUGUCGUUUCAUUUAGAUUUAUUCACCAGUUAUCGAUAUUUACUAGAAUUAUAGGUUUUAUCUAUUGUUCUAGUUUUAUCACCAGUUAUCCAGCUUGAGGUUUGAACUGUCGGCUUUAUUAUUGCUAUUCCUGUUCAUCAUUACAUAGCCGAUUAGAUCUAUUUCAAGUGUUGCAUUUGUAGCGUUAUUUAACCUACUUUGGUAAUUUCUUCAUAAUCGCUACGUGAUUAUCGGCUGUCCUAUAACUGGUCAUCUUCAUAGCAAAUCGGCCGAUUCGCUAAUACGCUUUUCGAGACAGAUUGGAACUUCAGCCGAUCGAAACCCCUGGAAUUUAAUACAUUUCUUUCCUUGUCAAUCAACAGGUCAGAUUGACUGGCACGCCGUGCGAACCGCACCAGGGCGAUCACCCGAACAGGAGGUAAGCAGAUUCUCCCGGGUCGUGUGUCCGACGCUGAAGGCCAUCGGCUGAUUUUUAGCGCCAGAUUUCAUUGGGGACCCUUUUAUCCCGGUUUGAAACACCAAUCGGGAUAAAAGACCCCCUUUUAUCCCGGUUGGUAUUACAAACCGGGAUAAAAGGCUCUCGACCCUUUUAUCCUGGUUGGCGGUUGGUGUUACCAACCGGGAUAAAAGUGGGGGGUCUUUUAUCCCGGUUGGUGAGCCCCCCCACCAGUGACCGAGCUUUAGUCCCGGUUGGUGAACUUUUUGUCCCAGGCCAACUUUAAACCGGGACAAAAGGGGACGCAUCAAAAGCCAAUUCUCUACUAGUGUUAUGUGCCCUAGGUGAUAAUUUUAACCAAGUUACUUCUUUUCAUAACUUUUUUGCACAAUAAGAAAGUAUUCCACUUCUUUCCAUACAAGUGAAGCAAUUCAUAAAUUAUAUAUCUCCCUUGUUUAGCAGGAGUUCAGUGUAAACCUCUGAGGAACAUGGUGAUUUAGGCAGAUUCGGAUGAAUUUAUUUCACAACGACAUUAGUGGCUUAUAUUUUUGGUGUGUUGGCUAUUUGACUGAUGCGUGAAGGGAGGACGACAUGCCAGAUUGGUGGUUGAAGACCUACAGUGGGCAUGUCAAGAUGCUUUGAGGUUCAUUAUUCCUGGGAGUUAUAAGUCACACGAUUUUUCACGCGAAAUAUGCAGGUGUGCGGUGCGUGGGAUUCAAACCCACGACCUCAAACCUUACGCGUAGCUUCCUUACCAUCUCACCUUCACAGCACAUCUGACGGAGUAGGGGAUGCAACCCUUUUGUAGUAACUCGUGGGGGACCCUUUAGUCCUGGUUGGUAACACCAACUGGGACUAAAGGUCCUUUAGUCCCUGUUGGUAUUUCCAACCGGGACUAAAGCCUGGAGGCUUUAGUCAGGAUUUCUAAUACCAACCGGGACUAAAGGAUCACUAUUACCCCUGGUUGGUGUUACUAGUCGGGACUAAAGGUGUCUCCAAGGACGAAGGAUCAUCUUUAGUCCCGGUUGGUAAUACCAAUGGGGACUAAAACAUCUUCAGUCCCGGGUCAAAAACAACCGAGUUUUUUAUUGAGGAUGGAAGGUUGUUUUUCUCCUAGUGCAAGGCUACCACGUACAACAUGUUUCUCAUAAAAUAAACUACUGUGGCAAUUACUUAUUUGAUUUUAGAUUAGGCAGAUACGGUGGAUCCAAGAUCACACAUUAGGGGGGCUUAUUUCCUCUUAUUCUUCCUCCCUUCCCUUCUUCUUCCUCAAAAUUUGUAGGGGGGCAUUGGGGAGGGGGGGCCUCCGCCGCUGGAUAUGACCAAAGUAUGCACUAUCGAAAAAUGUUUGCACCCAAAAAAUUUUAUCACUGGGUGCGAUGAGUAUUUCAAUUUGGUGACAGUUGAGAAGUUCUAUUUUACACCUAUCAGAAUCAGGUAAUGCCUUCCCUCUCCCGUCAAUAUCAGUUAAUGUUGCUUCGAGUUCAGAACAUCAUAUAACUACUUGACUUAGAAAUAAAUUAGCUAAUUUUAGUUCAAAUUGUAACUAAUCUGUUGGUGCAGUUCGGAGCAUGCCCCGCACACUGUGCUAUCUAUUUUUGAGAGGGUACAUAUAUAGGACGCACACAACCACGCACACCACACUCACACCGCACGCACACACACGCGUGCGUGUCCAUACACACGCUAGAGAAAAGAUUGGAGAGACUACAACCCUUAUUGCACGGGAAACGCCCGCGUGCACAAUAACCUAGGAUUAAAUCCUGCAAGACCAGCAGGAAUUCGUCCCCACUGGGGAUCGAACCCAUGACCUCCCGCUGGAGGCUCCGGUGCUACUGAGGCCUGCUGACAAACUGGUCAAUGCAGACAUAAUGAAAGAAAAGCAGCUCGUGUAAUUGUCUCCCGCUAGGAUAGACAUUAUUUGGCUUAGACCAGAUUGAAUCUAUGUAAGGCAGCAAUUUCUUUUGAUAUAAUGUUAUUGAUUUUUCUAUCUUUCCCAAUCAUAUAUAGAAAGACUGUUUCAUUACAUCAUAAUGAUCACAUGGCACGUGCAACGCGCGUGCAUAGUUACUAGUUGCUCAAAAGGAACACUACCUUAUAAAAAAAUUAGAAAUAAUCUAAAUGAUGCUUUAUAAUGGUAAAAUGUUCAAGCUUCCAGCUCUGCACUGCGAGAGUUAAUUAUUCACGCCUGCAAAGAGAAGACAAGAAAAGCAAGCGUCAGAUCCAUGAGCUGUAUAUAUUGGCGACAUAUUGGUUUCAGCUAUCAACUGAUAAGAAUAAAAGAACACAUCGGGUUUUGGAAGAAAAACAGAAGUCUGUACACCAAAGCACUUAGCAAAGUGAACAAUGGAUAAGCAACUAACCCCUUGACGGAGCUUCCCUUUCACUGGCCACCGAAUCCAUUCGGCAGGGUAUUUCCACCAACGACACAUCAGUCCUUUGUUCCUGUAAUUAAAGCACAUAAGCACAGGCGAAGAAUCAGCUAAUACCUCAGUAGCACAUAAAUAAAACUACAAGAUCAAAUGAGGAACUGUAAAUUCAGACCCAAAAAAUGGCAAGAGAAACAAAGUAGGGAGUAGAGAGACAACUACGACAUACCAGUGCUUACAACUGCAACAGGUAUAGACGUGCUGGAUGAAGCUGCAUGGACCCGGCUCUGUGCCACGUAAGCUGCAUUGAUCCAUGGCUGGCGACCAGGAGCCGCUGCUAAGGUGAUAUUGCACAAGCUGAUGUUCCCUUGGAUGGAAGUACAUGAUAGUGCCACCUACAAGGGUAGGCAAUGCCUUGGCAGAGGCACUAAGAUUCCUCCGAUGUAAGAAAAUGGCCUUAUCUCCUAUGCUUGUCACCGGGGUAUACUUUUCCAUGACAAGAUCUGCGAGCUUGUAAACUAGCAAUUUGGAAGCGAGAUCCUUACUAUGGCCUAUCACCAGGACCUCCGAGUCGCACUCCACCAAGAAGACAGGCACACGUAGUUUAUCUGCAGUACACUUGACGAUCAGCUUCGGUGGCUGUAGCACUUCACCUGGUAAGGGUGUGUCUAUUUGGAAAAUCUUUGCUGAAUGAUCAAACUCCAGAUUAUACACCACGUAAAUCUUGCUCUGGUACGGGAAGGGUGCAAAAUUUAUGACAUAGUUCCAGGUGGACAUAGUCCAUUGGUGAUCCUGUGAGGUAGCAACGGCCACACGACGUGUCGUACGGAGCGCAAGCAUCACGGUGACGACACCAUCAUCAGCGAAGGUAGCAGCAGUAGAGAUGGAUCUGAGAUACGGAAGCUUCUUUCGCGAGGAUAAAUGUGGGAAUACCUCGUGCAUCUGCGGGAGGAGAGUCUUGAGUGGUGGCAGGUCAAGAAUGUCGCCGGUGAAAGGGUGGAGCAGGCGGAUGGCGGUGUCGUCGUCCCGCUGCAGGACGAGGAGGCCGUUGAAAGAAUCUAGAACGCAGUGGUCCUCGAACAGCGGCAUGUGGACGCGGACGAAGGCUCCCGUGUCGAGGUUGAAGAAGCGGACGUAGCCCUGCAGCUUUGGGUGGCCGGGGUAGAGGCCGCCGCCCUCGGAAAGCAUCAUCCAGCGGCGCGGGUGGAAGCGUGGGUCGACGACCCCGCGGCCGCGCGGGGAGGCCGUGCUGGAUCGCCAUGGGGCACAAACGGCGCGGAAGCGGACGUAAUCCAGCAGAUCGCCGGCAAGCAAGCGCGACGCUACCAGGCGAACCAGAUCCUCCGGCAGAGACGACGCCCAGGGGGACGCCGCAGACAUAUCGGGGGAGAGUGUUGCCGUCGUUGGCAAAGGUGCGGCCAUCCUUGAAUCGCCGUACGUCCUGAUCCAGCAAACAAGCGAGAGUAUGUGCGCAGUUGUGGGAUUGAUCAGUGGCCGGCGGGCGAGAUGGCACAAAACUCGAUCGCUCGUAGGCGAGGCCAAGAACUCACGGUUGUAGGCGAGGUCGAUGGAGGCUAACGCGCGGAACGCUAUAUGCAUGACGCGCCCGCUAGGAGCCGGUGGCCAUCCGACUCGUACCAGGCUGCAACUUCGGACUCCGACCUCGAAAUGGAAUUUCUUUUCGGUGCCGCGGACUGGCCGUAGUCGACACGAAGAGCGUGACACUCGUGUUGGUUUAUGAAGCAAAGAAGGAGAUUAUAUAUAUUGUCUUUAUUUUUUUUCGAAUCAUAUGUUGUCUUUUUUAUUGUUAAAUUAUAUAGAUGGACUACACCAAAGAGCACUACUAUCCUAUGCAACAUCAGGCUUCGUGCUGCCGUUUUAAGUAAAAUGUCAACAGCUCCAUGGCUCAACGCAUUCCAGUGAAAGGAGGAAGCCGCCAUCCUAGCUAGCGGCUUGGGAUCACACGGUGGCGAGUCGUCCUGCAUGCCUGCAUGCGGCACAUGCCUGCAAUGCGGCACAUUGGAGUGACUAGCUAGCUCACUUUAUUUUGUUUGCAAUGCAUGCCUGCAUGCGGCACAUGCCACCAACCUACCACCCCGAAACGCUAAAGCCAUGAGACGCAUGAAGAAAACGUCCGUUGGGGCAGAAACGCGGCCAUCCGCGGUGCCCUGCUGCCACAAAUUUUUCAUCCCUCAUUGGAUAAAAAGGGAUGCAGCUUUGCACCUUUCAGCUGGGAACAUUAGUACCAAUGGGUGCCACGAGAGUUGUUUUGGCUAUUGUGGUGCUUGUACUCAACGUAGCAGCAGGAUCGGGAGCAGGAGAAGAAGAGUAAGUAGUAAUUUCUCCCAAGACGUGCUUUGUUUCCGUGACUGAAUUGUUGCUUAAUUGCCUUCUUGUUGCAUAUGCAGGUGGUACGAGCCAUGUUCGACCGCAAGUUUCCAUCUUGAUACCCACGGGUACAUGUCGGUCUUCGGGACAAUGAAGACUUGGAUCUUUGACCACCGCGACAAGGACCCGAUCGAUUUAGCGGAAUACGAGAACCCAAAGCUCACUGUUCAAGACCUCAAGAACAAGCCUCUUCACUGGUUCAUACCUCUCCUAAUGGGCGAGGGGACUGAAAGCACCAAUUUAGCUUUUCGAAGCGAUAAUUUGUAUUUAUCUGGCUUCACCAACCGGAAAGGUGAGUGGUUCAGUUUCCAAGUAGAUG
This 124648-nucleotide long non-coding RNA is filed under the name Setaria italica (foxtail millet). RNAcentral describes it as "long non-coding RNA (SITA_LNC006670)". Lineage: Eukaryota; Viridiplantae; Streptophyta; Magnoliopsida; Poales; Poaceae. The record is from RNAcentral.